CCGCUAUUUGACUAAUUUUCUCAAUAAAAGAACUAAUAAAUAAAUUAAAGAUUAAAGGAAAAAUCCUUCAAAUAUUGUUAAAAAUCGUAAAAAUGAUGUCAAAAGUCCAUUUUGGUCACUGGUAAAAUGAUUACGUUACUUUUUACUUUUUAUUAGGAUAAACUAACGCAUGUUUCAAAAAAAUUGAAUUCAGGUAUUUCAACACCAAUUAUACGAUGACCAAUUGAAACUUGCGGUAACCUUUAGGCUGGUGUUAUUUGAUAGGAAUGAAUUGUAAAUGAGUUCAAGUGGGGAGAAUUAGAAGUGACUGUAAAUGAGAAGGGUUUUCAUAAUCCACCUUAAUUGUUAAAAACAACUGAAAAAUGAGAGAUAUUAUGAAUUUGAAGUUUAUUACCAAACCACUCAAUCCAAAUAAGCCCAAAAAUCAAGAUGGUCCACCUGAAUUUGGUAUUAACUUUUGAAAAACUUCCUUUUACCCUAUAAUUUGACUAGUACUUUUCAAUAAUAGACACAAAAGCAUCAAGUGUAAUAUUCUCUUCUAGUGACAAGCAAAUCAUUCAAGAGCAUUAUUCCCUUCUAGUGAUAAGCAAAAUCUUGAAAUUGCAAUAGAUUUUUUUAGGGUUAAUACACUUUCCACCCUGUACUGUGAAAAAGGUCGCAUUCACCCCCUCAGUAUUAAAAACUAUAAAGACUUCUCUAAUUUUGACAGCCAACCAACAUAAAUUAACGGUUUUAAAUUUUGCAGUGCAAUUACUCUUAUACCCUCUCAUUUUGUCUUUUAAUUUCUCAAAAAUUCUCAGCCACCCACCACCAAAAUCAAAAAGUGGAGACGAUGAUUUCCCUACCACCAUCACCAUCGAUCCCCUCCCGUCGAAAGGAUACACCAUCGCCGCCACCACCACCACCAUUCGGGUUUAUGUUAUAAUGAGUUGUUGUCGUUUGGUGGUGUGACGGGAUUUGGACAGUUGUUGGUGGUGGGAUGGGAUUUGGAUGAUUUUUAGAAGAUGAUGAAGAUAAAUAUUGCUGAAUAUUUGUAUAGUUAGGAGGACGGUGGGAAGAGAAUUGUUUUCUAAGUUUCGAUGGUUGGAUAGGGCAAGGAGGAUUCUUGUACAUAUCUUUAUUUUAUUUUAGGGCGAAUGGCCAAAAGGCCCAUCACAUGGGACUUAAAUGCAUUUUGGUCCAAAAAAAAAACAGUCUCAAUUAAACCCAUCCCCAUGUCUUUAGUCUAAAAUACCCUCAAUAAUAUAAUUCUUAUCAAUUCCACCCAUUAUGCUCUAACUUCCUUAAUAUUACACAUUGACCCCGGAUUUAAACAAAUAUAUCACAUUAACCCCCAAAACUUUUUUUUUUCAGAAAAUAAUUUUUUUUCUGAAAUAUUUUUUUUCUGGUCAGAUUCCGGCAUUGACUUUUUUUUUCCUGAAAUUUUUUUCCAGCCGGUCAAGCACCGUUGACCGCUGGUCUCCGGCGUUGACUUUUUUUUUUUUUUUUUUGAAUUUUUUUUUCUUAGAAAAAAAAUAUUUUAAUUAAUAUUACUGUUUUGGCUACUAAAUUAUUGUCUCAGAAAGUAAUAUUACUGUGUGGGACACUAAUAUUAUGAAUAUUAUUUUUCAGAACAGUAAUAUUAUUAAUAUUAUUGUCUAAGACAGUUAAAUUACUGUUGGAGACAGUAACUUAGCAUCCAAUGAAGUAAUAUUAAUUAAAAUAUUUUUUUUUAAGAAAAAAAAGUCAAUUAACAGUUAAAUUACUGUCUCCUACAGUUAAAUAACUGCUGGAGACAGUAAUUUAGCAACGAAUACAGUAAUAAUAAUUAAAAAUAUUUUUUUUAAGAAUAAAAAAGUCAAUUAACAGUUAAAUCACUAUCUCCAACAGUUAAAUAACUGCUGGAGACAGUAAUUUAGCAACGAAUACAGUAAUAUUAAUUAAAAUAUUUUUGAAGGAAAAAAAAAAGUCAAUUAACGGUUAAAUUACUCUCUCCGACAGUUAAAUAACUGCCGGAGACAGUAAUUUAGCAACCAAGACAUUAAUAUUAAUUAUUUUUUUUUUAAGAAAAAACAAAAUUAUAAAAAAAAAAAAAGUCAACGCUGGAGACCGGCAGUCUUCGGCGGUCAACGCCGGAAUCUGGCCGGAAAAAAAAUGUUUCAGAAAAAAAAAUUAUUUUCUGAAAAAAUAAAGUUUUGGGAGUUAAUGUGAUAUAUUUGUUUAAAUCCGGGGUCAAUGUGUAAUAUUAAAGAAGUUACAGCUUAAUGGGUUGAAUUGAUAAGAAUUAGGGUUAAAAUUGGGGUCAAAAUUGGAGUCAAAAUUGAAAUUAGGGUUAAAAUUGGUUAAUUGAUGAAAUUGGGCUAAAUUGGGGUGUAAAUCAUGAAAUUGGAGUUGAAUUGGGUUUCAAUAAAUUGGGGGUAAUUUUGGUAUAUAUAAAAGGAUUUUUACUUAUUUGCAAAUAAGUUUGAAUGAGUUGGAUUUAUUUGAAAGACAAAAAAGUUGGAUGUCCCUCUUUUAAUUAAGUGUCCUUGUCAUGGGCUUAUUUGCCAUUACCCCUUUAUUUUAUAAUAUUUAUUGAAUUUCUAUAAUAAAUUAUAUUUUUUAUUAUUUUUUGUCAUUUUAUAAAUUAUUAGAGCAUAUUUCAUUAUUUAAUAAUUUCUAUUAUUUUUUGUAAUAAAUUUAUAAUUAGCAAUUUAAAAUUUUCAAAAUUAUAAUUAUUUAUGAUCAAUAAUUGAAACUUGAAGUUUUACAUUUUAUAAUUGUUUCUAUAAUCUUAUAAUUUUUCUGUUAAUUAUAUAAAAUAGUAUAUAUAUAUAUAUAUAUAUAUAUAUAUAUAUAUAUAUAUAUAUAUAUAUAUAUAUAUAUAUUAUUGAAAUAUAUGUGGUCAACGUGCCACAUCAGCUUUCAGCUUUGACUAGCAGAAUAACUAACGACAUGUUUUUUUUUGUAGUUUUUAAUACUACAGGGGUGAAUGCGACAUUUUUCAUAGUAUAGAGGUGCAAACAGUAUUUUAUCCUUUUUAUGUUUUUUUUCGUUGGGAUUUAUAAUUGUGAGCAAAAUUUUGUAAAUUGAAGAUUUUUUUUUUUUUAUAAUUCAGGCAUAUAUUAGGGAGUUAGUUUACCUUAGAAUUGAAUAAUUAGAUGAUAAAUGAAGAAUUAUUUGAACAACAAAAGAGAGUUAAAGAAUUACUAACAUUGAAGAGGAACGACCAACGAAGCUGGGAAGUAACCUGCAUGAAUAAGAGCAUUAGAAUGACAUAAAUGUAUUGAUUGAAUCUUAAUAGUGUAAAAUUUUAAAAUGUUCAAGUGAUGAGAAAAUGUUCUUCUAUGCAUGAAAAAAUGAUGAACAAUAUUACAUAAACAUAAUUGAUUGAGUCUUACCGCAAAACCUAUAGUAUCGUCCACCAAUUGACCAUGGACUGUAUACACAUUCCUUGUACAAACGCAAAAACCACGAAACCUCAAAACCAUAUAGCAGAGCUUUGUGCAUAGUUGAAAAGGAAACAUUCUCUUCUAUUUUAAGUGGCAAUGAAGUCAUCAGCACGAAGUCUAUUUUGCACAUAUCCUUUAUUUGGUGUAAAUCUGUGCCAAACAUUAUAUAUGCGCGACUUCCAUUCACGCCAUAUAAUUUUUUGUCUGCACAAUGAGAAGUAAUUUCCAAAAGCUUCGAACCAUUGACUGAAUAUGGGCAGCUCAUAAAACUAAUUGGAACACUUUCUAGCACAUUGUAGGGAUGAAAGGGAUAAAACAUGUACUCCAAUAAAGGGUAUUUGGGGAAUGAGCAACUCUCAAUUAGUGUGACAUUAGGAAUAGCAAGACGGAUGGUCUCUUUGGUAGAGUUGAUUUCGUGGACGAGGUGUUUUAGAGAACCGAUGUAUAUUGAGGUGGUAUUGUUUUCGCAUAAAAGUUCGAAGUGGGGAUGACCGCAGCGUUUUGGAUCAGUCAUGAGCCUGAAAGGAUAGCUAAUAUUGCGGAUUUCGCCACAUGAAGAAGGGGUGCAGUUGAUUUGGUUUCCAUGGGAUUUUUGGAUGAAAUAUAAUUGGGUUGUGAUGAACAAAUAAAUGAAUUUGAGGAGGAGGCUUUGGCUGAGGAUAUACAUCUUUGUGUAUGAAUAUUUGGUGAUCAAUUUGAAGAGCUAUCUAUAGCUUAUAAGUUUGGGGAUAUGAUUAAUUAGAUGGAAGAGAUGAGAGAAGACUGCAGUAAUGUGUGAAUGUAGUUUGUUUUUUCGCUAAGAAUAAUUCACCACAACUUGUAUGGAGGAAAAUUCAAGUCCACCAACUACUUGCAGAGGAAAAUUAAUAUCACAUUUUCUAAAAGAAUUAAUAUACUUGUUUGAAGAAACUAUUGGAGCAAUAAAAAGAUUUUUGGAGGAUAUAUUGAUGGGUGAAGAUUGAUGUGUGUGUGUGUUGAAGGACUGAGUCUUCUUCACAAUAAUUAAACAAGUAGUCUACCGUGAAAUUUACGCUUGUGUGUGGUGUUGCUUCUUCAAAAGGGACAACUAUCACAUAACAGGUCAUGAUUAAGGAAAGAGUCGAGUAAUUUCCGUCAAAUUAUAUUGGAGCUAAUUGCCAAUACCUUUCCUAUGUAAUCUCUAAUUGGCAAAUACUCUCUCUAAAAAAAAAAACUCACCAAAUCAAAAUUGUCUUUUUAGGCAUUGACUAAAAGUGAAAUGACAAAAAUGCCCUAUGGAUUUUUCAGCAAUUAGUAAAAUAUAUAUUGUACAGAUUUAUUUUUUAAAACUUCUCAACUCUAUAAUUAAUUUAAUUAAACCAAAUUUUAUUACACAAAUUUUUUUUUGUGUAGUUAUUUUUAAUUUUAUAAACUUAUUUAUUAAUAAUUUUGUAAUUACAAAAUAUAAACAGAAAUUAAACAUAUAUUGUUGUAUUAAAAGAUUUUAUAUGUUUUAUAUUUUUGUUAUAUUACAUUUUAAUUUACAUUAAAAAAAAAGGUUAAAUACAAAAACACCCAUGUACUAUGAACUUUGUAUCAAAUACUACUACACAUAAAUACAACAACCCCCUUCACAUUACAUUUUUUUCAAAAUAUGACGAAAAUACCCCUACUUAGCCUAUAAACAUAAGGGUUUGUUUGAGCCAUUUUCCACUAUAUUUUUAACAUUUUCGGUCAAUUUUGCUUGGCAAAUUUUGAUAUUUAUAUUUUUUUCUCCAAAACAUUAAAUUACUUAGUUUUUUUUUUUUCUCAAUAAAACCUUUUAUUUUUGUCAUUUUGAAUUUCUUCAUUUAUUUCUUAACUGUCUUCCGGUAGUUCAAAUUCUCAACAAUCAUAGGAUUGUAAAGAUGUUUGUAAUCUUAUGAUGUUUGAACUACCGGAAGAAAUUUAAGAAAAGAAAAUGAAGAAACUCAAAAUGUCAAAAAUAAAAGAUUUUUAUCAGAAAAUUAAAAAAAUAUAAGCAAUUAGAUGUUUUUGAGAAAAAAAUAUAAAUACCAAAAUUCCCCACGUAAAAUUGACUGAAAAUGGCUCAAACAAACCCUUAUAUACAUAUAUAUACUUAAGUAGGGGUAUUUUCGCCAUAUUUUGAAAAAAAUAUAAUGUGAGGGGAAUGUUUGUAUUUAUGUGUAGUACAGGGGGUAUACGAUACAAAAUUCAUAGUACAGGGGUAUUUUUGUAUUUAACCCUUAAAAAAAAGAAGAAGAAAAAAAAAACAAAAAUAAGUCUUCUUCUUCCCCGCUCCACCCCACCCCACCCCGGGGAAUACGAUGCUACACCUGGUGAUUUUCACCGGGUGGCUCUUUUCUUGGCAUGUGUUCUCUUUUAUUUAUUUUAUAAUUAUAAUUCUAAAACCCAUUGGGCCAUAACUGAACCCGUAGUGAGAAUCUUAUUAAUUAUGGUGCCUGGUUAUAUUCACCAGGUGUAGCAUAGAAUUUCCCCCCAACCCCACCAACCACCCAAAUCAACACUUCUUCUCCCCCACGCACCUUCCCCACCAUCGGCUCACCUUUCUUGCACCCCAUCUUCGCGUAGUACAAUUUCUCCUCCAAUUCCACUCUUCCUAUGGCAACCCAUAUCUGCAAUUUGAACAAAGGCGGCGACGACGGCGAUUAUGUGCUGGAGAAGAAAAAUCUUACAUAUACACAACUCUCUCUCGCUAAGAAAUGGGUGGUGCCAAACGGCGGCGGUGACCAGGGAGAGAAAUUUGAAGGAGUAGGUGGGUAGCGGUGGUGCGAGACGGGCCAGAAGGCGGCGGUGACAAGGGAGAGAAAUUUGAAGGAGUAGGUGGAUGGCGGUGGUGCGAGACAGGCCAAAGAGCGGCGGUGGUGCUAGACGGGCCAGAAGACGGCGGCGAUGCCGAACUUUUUCUAGGUUGGGAGGUGGGCGGCGGAAUGGAACGAGGAAGAAGAUCUGAAAAAAAAAUCAAUUUUUGUUCCUUAUUGCAAUUUUGGAAAUUUUAAAGUUUACAAUUUGGUCCUAUAAAUUAUAGUUAUUUAUAAUUUGACCACUCGGAUUUUUUUUUUAUUUAUACAGGGGUAUCUAUGACAUUUCACCCUAGAAAUAACAUAAAAAUUCGUAGAGCCCGCGAGGGAGAGACACGAUUUGCCUUAAGGGAUCUCGAUGCAUUGACUUUGGUUACACAGGGGGCAUUGGUGAGUUUUUUUUAAGGGGGUAUUUGCAAAUUAGUAAUUACAAAGGGGAGGUAUUUACAAUUUGCUCAAUUAUAUUGUACUGAAUUUGUUGGAGAGAAAACAAAUAAAUCACCAUCUGAAUUCUCAUCAGUUCCACCACUAUCAAUUGGCUUACAAGGUCCUUGGGGCUAUCCGGGUUUCGAUCUAAACUGCAACAACAAAAAUGAUACUGUUCUUGUGCUUCCCUCCUCUGUAAAUGUUGUUGUGAAGGAAGUCAACUAUAAUUUAGCCGAAGUCAACUAUAACUCAUUCAUCAGUUAGUUAUAUUAAGGGUUAAAUACACUUUACACCCUUAAAGUAUGACUAUUGUAACACUUACCUCCCUGAAAUAUCACCUGUAACAGUUACACAUUAUAGUUACACAUUAUUUACUGAAGAAUUUAAUUGGAAAAAAACUAUCUCAACUAACUGAACAAUGCAAUAAAUACUAUAUAAAUAUAAAAUAUUUAUCUAGCUAGGUGGCACUCGAAUAAAUGCUUAAAGAAAAAAAAUAAACAUGAUUGAAUUAAUUUAUUAAAUAAGUUGAGAACAAAAAUUAUUACAUACAUCCAAAUUUUUACAAUUGGAAAAUGCUAGGAUCGAAUAUUUUUUUUUGAUUUCGAGUUUUGUUUAUUGUGGGUGCAUGAUAUAUUAAUUUGUUUUUUGAACAAUACUCAAACUGUAAAUUUGAAUUUUUAAUUAGUUGAAUUUUCUUGUAAAAAACGUGAAUCAAUCUUUUUUUUCUUUAAAUUAUUUCAUUCAAUAAGUUAGGAUGAUUUUAAAAUAAAAAUAAAUGUAUUGGCAUUUUCAGUUAUUAUUUUUAAUUAGAUAGUUAAAAUAAAAAUAAAAUAUGUCACCCAAUAAUAAAUAAUAAUGUAAAGGGUAUGAGUGUCAUUUUAAAUUUAAUGUGCACUUUCUAUAACAGGUAAGGGGGUAAGUGUUACAUUAUAUACUCCAGGGAGGUAAGUGUUACGAGGGUCAUACUUUAAGGGUGAAAAGUGUAUUUAGCCUUUAUAUUAAUAUUCAAUUUAAGGUCGAGAUUCCGGUAUUCGAAAUGGAAUUCCGAUGACAAAAUUUUAUCUCCAGCGAUAAAAAUAAUAAAUAUAUGGUUCAUUAAGUAGAAAAUGAGGUGGAGAGGAAUGACAGAAAGAAGGGGGAGAAAGUGGAGAAAGAAGAAACAGAGAAAGAGGAAGAAACGUGAGAGAGAGAGAGAGAGAGGAAAGAGGAAGAAACGUGAGAGAGAGAGAGAGAGAAAGAGAGAGAGAGGAAAGAGUAAUAAAUAACCGUGAUGUUUGUUGGGAAAGGAAAAAGAGCGGAAUAGAAAAUGGAGUGAUAAUCAGAAAAAAUAAGAGAAAUAAGGUAAAUGAAGAAAAACAUAUGGAUAAAGAAGAAGAUGUAGAAAGAAAAGGCAGUAGCGUAUUACCAAUAAGGCUAGGGGUCCAACAAUUCAUAAUACCCGUUUUGGAUUUGCUGACAAAUGUGCAAUUAUAAAAUUGAUCUGGCUCUGUUAUUUUGUGUUUUAAGCGGGUUAUCCCUCAUUUUCCCUGUAAAGUAUUAUGUAUUUCAUUAUUUCAUAAAUUUUUUAAGUACCAAAUGGCAAAUAUUACUUUAUAAUUUAUAAUUUAAUAUAUUGAAAUCAAAUAAAAUGCAAACAAAAUAUAUUAAAAUAGAAAAAACGUAUUAAAAAAAAAAAGAAAAAAAAGGUGUUAGGGGCAAUUCUGUCAUUUCACACAAAAAAGGAAGAAAAUUCGCAGAACCCACGAGCGAGACCCACGAUCUGCUAGGACCCCCUUGUGUUAUGACAAACCUGUACCAAAUCCCCCUGUGUUCUUUUUAUUGCGUAAAACCUCCCUGUAUUUCAUUUUUUCUUGCAUGAAAUCCUCAUAUCCGUUAAUUGUUAACACCGUUAACUAAAGAGACGAUUUCUGCAGGUUUAAUGUAACAUAAGGGGGGUUUGGAGCAUGAUUUUGCAACACAAGGGGAUCUAUGCAUAAUUAAUUUAUUGAUUUAAAAUUCAAUUAUUUUCUUCUUUUCACAAUAAUUAAUCCACAAUAAAUUAUAAAAAGAUAUAAUAAUUAUAAUAAAAUAGUAUAUUAUAAAAAAUCAAAAAAGUUAAUAAAUUAUAUCAUAUAAAUUUUUUUUUUUUGAAACAUUCACCAUGUACACCUAUUAAAUUUCUAUUUUUCAUAUUGUACUGAAUAAAUGUGCUCGAAUUAAUUUAAGAAAAUAAUAUGAAAUUUAAAUGAAUAAAUUAAUUAUGCAUACAACCCCUUGUAUUGUAGAAAAUAUGCACUAAAUCCCUCUCUAUUAAGAAUAAAAGCAUAAAAUCUCUUCUAUAGUUAACGGCGUUAACUUUUAAUGGAUAAAAGAUUUCGUGCAAAGUAAAAUGAAACACAAGUGGAUUUUACGCAAAUUAAAAAAAAAAAAAACACAGGAGAUUUAAUGCAGUUUUUACAUAGGGGUUUAUUUGCAAUGAGGGGGAUUGUCGUCUUUCGCUAAUGAUACGGGGUAUUUGUUAUUUUUGUAAUGACACACGCAGUUGCAAUUUGCACAAGGGUAAAUGCAAUAAGCUCUUGUUGGUUACAACAGCACUAAAAAAAAUAUUUUGCUUGUUGGUUACAGAAGCACUAAAGGAGAGACUAAUUGCGGGUAAACACUUUCUUAGGUUUUAUUAGUAUUUAUUUUUUCUAGUGGACGGGUUCUAAAGCUGACAUAUGAAUCGUGUUUCAAAGGUUUUGGUUGCUUGCUUGCCGUGUUAAUCCUCGUCGCUCUCGUCCAUCAAUACAUCAUAUUUAGAAGACGAAAAACAAAUCGAAAAGAGAAAGAAAAGAUGAAAGAGAAGUUGAAAAUGGAAGUUACGAUCAUUUUCUUUUCUUUCUUUGGUGUAACUGAUGCAAAACUGAAAUUCAUACUGAAUUAUCGAGACCAUUGAGUGUCUUUCAAUUUCUUGUAUGACUAACAUUUUAUAGAUACAUGAGUUCAUCUUUUCUGGUGCUUUUAUACGUUGAACUCUAAAAAAUAUCGAUUAUUUUUCAUAAACAUACAUUAAAAGACUAAUUAUAAAUUAAUAUUGAUUAUUUUAAUUUUGAUAGGGGCAUUUUGGUCAUCACAAAAAAGGGAAGAAACCUCCUCUGACAUUCCCACUUUUAUAAGUAACUAGUAAGUACCACGUGCUACACACGUGAUUUAUGAUUUUACUUAAUAGAUGAAAUACUAAGAUAUACAUUCCUAUAAAGUAAAUAGAAACAAUACUUAUACUUAGAAUGUAAAAAGGUAUGUCACUAAAUAAAUGAAAGGCUUAAUUCCACUUUGCAUCCUUGAAAUAUAGUCAUGUGUCACUUUGCACCCGGGAGAAAAUGAAUAGCAUUUUGCACCUUCGAAACACAAUAAAUCGUGCAUAGUGUACCCCAAGUUGAUUUUUAAAGCUAAUGAAGCUAAUUUAAUAUUUUCCGUGGUAUUUUUUUAGGAUGCCAAAUGAAAUUUUAUAUUUUUUAUAUUCAUCAAUCCUUUUGAAACUACAAAGUGCAAAAGUAAAAAUGCACAGAAAUAUAUUUAAACUUUUUUCACAAAAAUAUAUUCCACCAAUAUAAAAAGAAGAAAAAUCCUUCAGAUAUUUUGUUAUCAAGUUAUUUGAAAAUUAUAUUUUGUUCCAAAAGUUUCUACCAAAUAUUUUCACGUAUUACAAUAAAAUAUCCAUCAAUUAAAUAAUUUAGUUAUAUCUUUUUUUUGGUAAGAAAUUAUAUAUAGUUUUUCCAUUAAUUAGUUAUGAAUUUUUUUAUUUGCAUUGUGUACGCCCAAAUUCAUGUUGGUUGUAGAUGAAAAUAACAAUCUAAUUUGUUACUUUGCACCAUGAGAAAAAACCCUUAUAGAAAUUAAAAUUACCCUCAUUAAGUUUUAAAUAUUCAAUUCAAUGGUGCAUUGUGAAUGAUUUAUUGUAUUUCAAGGGUGCAAGAUGCUAUUCUAAAUUUUCAUGGGUGCAAAGUCCCAAAAUGCUACAUUUCAAGGGUGCAAAAUGAGAUUAAGCCUCAAUGAAGUGGUCUAAAAGUUAUGUAUUAUUGAUUGUAGGAAUGAUAACUUAUUGAAAUACUUAAUUUAGCUUCAAUAAUAUAUUUUGUUAAUUGUUGAGUUGUUAGUAUAUGCAGUUUUUUUUUUCAAACUACAAACAAACAAACGUGGAAGGAGAAAAAUGAAUAUCAUAAGGCUCCGUUUGACAGAAUUAAGCAUUGAGUGUUGAAUGUUGAAUAAAUAUCUUAAUCAAUAAGAGUUACAUCUCAAUGCUGAAUGUUGAACAAUUAAGUCCACUUGAUAACUGAAUAUCAAUAAUUACUAAAUAAUAUAAUUUUCUUACUAUAAACUUGUGUAAUGGUGAAAUUAAAUGUAUUAAUUAAAUUUGAAUAGUAUAUAUAAAUAAAUUUAAAAUUUAGAAUAUAUCAUAUAGAAAAAAUAUAUUAUGACAAAACAUAAAAUUGUAGAUAAGAAUUAAAAGUCAAAUAUUAAAUGUACAUAUAAGUAUUAUGGUAUCAAAUACAAUGGUGAUAACAGGAACAACAAAUAUAAUAAUUACUCAAACACAUUGUCCCCUCAUUUACUUCAUUUUAUAUUAUUUUUUGUCAAAAUAAUAAUUUAUUAUUGGCUUCCACAAUUGAUGUAGGAGAGAUAUGAGAUGGCCGUGGAUGGCUUUUUUUAUCCAAAACUCAUUCAGAUACACAUUUUACCGAAUAAGCGAAUGAUUUUUGGCUGAGCCAAUAAGAGGUAAAAUAUUCGGUUCAGAAAUUCAACCCAAACACACUGAAUGAGAUCAUGCUUACCGAAUAAGAGGAAAUUGCUCAUUCAGAGGCCAUUUAGUGGUGUUCAAACAUGGCCUUAAUGGUUAGACUACGUACUAGUUCCGCACAAGAAAUGAAUAUGAUUCUCUCUUUCUCUCAUUUUUUCCCUUUUUAAUUCGGAAUUUCUUUCUUGAAUUUUUCUCCACUGUCAAUUAUCUCAGUUUUCGUUAUUCUUGUUGUCUUUACUUUUUCUUUCUUUCUCCGAGUAAACUACUCCCUCUGUUCCACAAUAAUUGUUUAUUUUUAAAAUUAUUUUUGUUCCAUAUUAUCUGUCACUUUAUAUUUCCAAUACUGCAUUAAUUGUGUAAUUAUCAAUUUUACCCUUAUUAACUAUCUCCAACACUCUCUCACAUUAAUUAUUGGCAAGGGCAUUUUAGUAUAAGAACAUAUAUUUUUCUAAAAUUAAGCAACAUUUAUUGAGAUCCUUAAUCAUUGUGCACAAGCUAAAAACGACAGUUAUAAAGGAACGGAGGGAGUAUCUUUUUUUAUUGUAAUCAGCGGUACCACUUUUGCUGUCCAUGAAUUAUGAAUAGAGGUCUUUACAAAUAAGCCCAUCAAUGGGUACUUAUUCAAUAAAGGGAUAUGGGCAGCUCAUAAAACUAAUUGGAACACUUUUUUGCACAUAGUAGGGAUAAAACAUGUAAUCCAAUAAAGGGUAUUUGGGGAAUGAGCAACUCUCAAUUAUUGUGACAUUAGGAAUAGCAAGACGGAUGGUCUCUUUGGUAUAGUUGAUUUCGUGGACGAGGUAUUUUAGAGAAUUGAUAUAUAUUGAGGUGGUAUUGUUUUCGCAUGAAAGUACGAAUUUGGGAUGACCGCAGCGUUUUGGAUCAGUCAUGAGCCUCAAAGGAUAACUAAUAUUGCGAAUUUUGCCACACGAAGAAGGGGUGCAGUUGAUUUGGGUUCCAUGGGAUUUUUGGAUGAAAUAUAAUUGGGUGGUGAUGAAGAAAUAAAUGAAUUUGAGGAGGAGGCUUUGGCUGAGGAUAUACAUGUAUGUAUGAAUAUUUAAUUUGGUGAUUAAUUUGGCUAUGUUUGGGGAUGAUUGUUUGAGGUUGCAGAGUAUGAUGAGGUGGGGGAGAGAACACUAUAGUGUGUGAAUGGUGGAAUUCUGUUUUUCUUCUUUUUCUUCCUCUUUUUUUGUUCUUUUUAUUCAGUACUAGUAAAUGGUACUUGCGUUGCACGUGGUUUAUGAUUUUUGUUAGUUAUUUAUAUAUUUAUUAAUAAUUUACUUCAUUAAAAUUAAGUUAUAUUAUAAAUAAAUAAUUAAUAAAUUAGUGAUAUGAUUUGGUAUUAUGUUAAUGUAGAUUUCCAAUCAUAUUGAUCAAUGUUAGAAGAAUCGGACCGGACCGGCCGAGCCGGUCCGGCCGCGACCCGCCACAAAAGCGGUCCGGUUUGACUCUGAAAACCGGGAUAUUCAAGAACCCGGGUCAAACGGCAAAAACCCGGUUCGACCGGCAAAAUCCGGCGAACCCGGAAACCGGUCAAUGACCCAGGUUUUUAUCUAAAACACUUCACUGUUAGUGGCCGGAUCUGCCGCAAAAUUCACCGGAGUUGGCCGGAUCUGAGUGGAGUAGGCCGUGGGUGGUCGGAAUUUAAUAGAUCUGGCCGUGGGUGGCGGAAUUCCACGAGUUUGGAUCGUGGGUGAUUGAAACAGAUUAUGUUUUUGGAUAAAAGAGAAGAAGUAGAUGGAAAAAAAAACUGAGAAAAAAAAGGAAAAAAGAAAAAGGAAAAAAGAGAAAGGGGAGAGAGACGAGAGGGAGGUAUGUGGGUAGAGGUGAUAAGAGGAGAGGGUGAAGAGAGGAUAGAAAAAAAUAAGUAUAAAAAUAUAUAAGCAAACAUGGGUGUGGAAAAUAAUAAAAGAAAUAGUUUAUAUAUUUAAAAAGUUAAUAAUAAAAGGGAAGAGAGUGUGAAAAAUAAAAUAACAUGUAUAGAAAAUAUAAAUUUAAAUAUUAAAAUUGAUAAAAUAAUUAAAAAAAUAAAAAACCCGGGUCGAACCCGGUUGUACCGGUUCGACCGUGACCCGAAUGCUUAUCCGGUUUUGUGUCCGGUCUGGUUCUGAUAACAUUGAUAUUGAUUUUGCUUGAUCUCGAUGCAGCACAGUGCAUAACAAAAUCUUCAUAUUCGUUACUUAAAAACCUUUUAAAUAUCAGUGUAACAAUUAUCAUUAGUCUUCUUCUUUCAUGUAAUCCAUUUUUGGUGAUGUUUUUUCCUCCCGAAAUUCUAACAUCAUCAUUUAUUUAAUCAAGUUGUAAUAUUUAUUGAAAAAUAUUUUCUUAUGUGAUUAUUUUUUUAAUAUGAUUGUUUUUUUUGUUCAACGCCUCUCUAAAGACUGUAUUAAAAAUAGAAUCACUUAAUGAGAAAAUACAAUUAUAAUUAAUUAUUGAGAAAAUUAGAAACCGUCAUAAAAAGUAUCAUAUAGAUCAACACGACAAAAUGCUAAUAUAUAGCCACAUUCCGUAUAUAUAAGCAGUGAUAUCUUAUUAGGAAAAAAAAUAGAAUUUUAUUUUAUACAAAAUAUUAUUAUAAACUUUUGUAGUAUUUGAAGAACUGCAGUAUUGAGAAAGGGCAAAUGAUAAAUAGGUCCAGGUCCAACCCCAUGACAAGAACACUUAAUUAAAUAAGGAACAUCCAACUUUGUUGUUUUCCGAAUAAAUCCACAUCAUUCAUACUUAUUUGUAAAUAAGGAAAAACCUUUUAUAUGUAUCAAAAGUAAUCCCAACUUCUUGAAACUCUAAAUUUUCCCCACAAUUUAGUUCAAUUUCACCAAUUAACCAAUUUGGACCCCAAUUUUGACCGCCACCGCUGGAGACCGCUGUUGACUUUUUUGUUUUUUUUUAAUUAUUUUAAUUAAUAUUAUUGUUUUGGCCUAUAUUAAUGUCUCCGACAGUAAUAUUAUUGUCGGAGACGGUAAUAUAACUGUCUGAGAUAGUAAUUCAAUUGUAUUAAUUAAUUUUGUUGUCUUCGACCGUGAUAUUACUCUCUCCGACCGUAAUUAUAUUAGUAAUAUUGUUGUUCGGGAAAGUAAUAUUCAUAAUAUUACUGUUAGGGACAAUAAUAUUACUGUUUGGGACAGUAAUAUUAGUAAUAUUACUAUUUUGGUAUUUUCAAAAAGUAAUUUAGUAAUAAUUUUGUUGUUAACACAGUAAUUUAGAGAGAAAAGAAAAGUUAAAAAAAAAAAAAAAAAAAAAAAAGUCAACGCCGGAGACCGGUCGUCAACAGCGGUUGUCCGGCCAGGAAAAAAUAUCUAUAAAAAAAGAAAAGAAAAAUGAACUCCGGGAUUUGGCCAAAAAAAAAAUCAAGAAAAAAGAAUUAUUUUUUGAAAAAAACAAUAUUUAAAAAAAAUUAUGAAAAUGGGGUUAAUGUGAUAUAUUUGUUCAAAUUCGGGGUCAACGUGAAAUAUUAUGAAGUUAGAGUGUAAUUGAUGGAAUUGAUGAAAAUUAUAUUAUGGAGCGUAUUUUAGACAAAAGACAUGAGAAUGGGUUUAUUUGCAAGACUGUUUUUUGUCUGGGCCUAUAAACAUUUAAGACUCUUGUCAUGGCCCUAUUUGCCAUUUUCCCGUAAAGAAAAUAUCGAGAAUAAUUCAUAAUUUAAGUUUUAUCUAAUAUAUUUUGUAAUACUUUCAUCUAGGGACGCUGAUCGGGGGGUGGGGAUUUACAGGGGUUCGGGCAGCGCCCUCGAAUUCUUUUUUUCUUUUUUAAUUCUUUAGAAAGCAAAAAUAAUUUGAAAGUUUAGCUAAUGUAAUAUAAGCAUAUACAACCAUUGAUACUCAAAUUUAAAAAGAAAAUAUGCAUUAUAAGUGGGUAUUUUUUUUUUGGGCAAAUAGACUAAAAAUAUAUAAAUAAAAAUAAAAAACUAAUAGAAAAAAAUCAAAUUUUCUUUUUCUGGAGGGGCGGCUCCCCACUUGGGAUGCCUUAGUUACGCCCUUGCUUUAAUCUAUCAUAAAAAAUAAAAGACUUACUUUUAAAUUCAUCUUUUAAUUUAAUGUAUAAAUUUAUUGAGCGCAAAUUUCACUUUCUCACUUCGUUCUCUGAUUCGAAUCAAUUUAUCCCCUCGUACUCUCAAUUGCAUUGAUUUACCCCAUGCACUUGUAACAUUGUCCCAAUGUAACCCUCUCCGUCAAUUUUUACGAUUUUGACCUUGAAGUCGUAAGUCAUGGUCUGAAAAUUACAAGAAUGGCGAAUUUUGUGUUCAAGUUCUUUUGUUUUUCAGUCUCAAUUCUAAACUUUUUGCCUUCAUUUCCCCAUUUGCUUGCACGUGAAAAGUGUUCAACCAUUUGCUCAAACUCUUCGUUUUUUUUCUUAAGCUCUAACAUUAUUUUGUUGAUAAUACAACCACAACCCCGAGCUCGUUCACACAAAGAAGGAUCAACCCAUUUGAAUAAUCACAGUAAUUCACUGGAUAAUUGCAAGACGUGCAUAUUCUAUGUGAAAGCAUAUUGAACAUUAAAAACCUUACAAUAGCAAGUGAUUCUAUUUUCAUUAAAAUUUGUGGAUGAGUUCCCACUACUCCAGUUUUUUCUCAUGUUACUUGAGCCCAUACUUUCUGACUGUGGUGAAGUAUUUUCAACCAUACCUUUGUUGGGGAAGAAAACAGCCAAAGAUCGAAUAAAGUUGGUGGUUUUUUUUCUAGUGAUUUGGAAUGACGUAGAAAAACGAUGCAAACUAUUUAACCAAGGUGAAUGGGCGUUUCUGUAAUUUUCAGACCUUGCCCAAACGGCCUAUAUGUCAAUAUCGUGAAAAUUGACGGAGAAUUGCCUUGGGGCAAUUGUACAAUAGUUACUGUAGAUAUAAUGAUAUUAAUAAAAUUUAAAAUAUUUCAAAAAUUAAUCAUUUUCAUCUAAACAAUAGAUGGGAUGUAAAUCGAUACAAUUAAGAAUAUGAAGGGUAAAGUGAUUAGAGGCUGGAAUACAAGGGGAAAAUGAAAUUUGCCCAUUUAUAAAUGUUUUAUCCUUAACAUUACAUGUAUCACAUCCUCCAAAGUUUAAUCAAAAUCAAAUUAGAAAGUUAAACAAAUCUACUUAAUUUUGAAUAAUAUAUUAUUUAAAUAUUGAAGUAUUUUGAUAGCUACGUAUGAUAGUGAGUAUUAAUAAGAAAUUAUAAUAUGAAAAGUUGCUCCAAUCCAUGCAAUUAAAUGUUAAUUAAAUUAUCUGGUGAAAAUAUUAUAAAUGUGAAAGAAAACAUACAUUAUUCCUCUAAAAAAACAUACGUUAUUUACUUAAGGAAAAUCUCUAAUAGCUUGUUUUAAUAAGAAAAAAUAUUAUUUCAAGUUUAGAGUAGCUUAAGAAUUAUAUGAGAUACUACAAAAAAAUUAUCGAAAGUAAUUUGUAAUAUCAAAGAUUGCAUACCAUUUAACUUAACCUUAUAUCUUUGUCCGUGCUUUAUUAACACCUCAAAUUUUAGGACUAUUUAUUCUAUCUAAUAUAAUAGUUUCUGGAAUUAGUUUUUCAAUUUUAUCUAUUUAUUUUUAUGUGAAUUUUGUUUUCUUUAUUCUCUUCAAAUUACUAUAAAUGAUUAAAUAUUGACAAAUUAAAACAUAUCAUAAAUAUAUUAUUUGAGCUAAAUGAUGACUAAAAUAUAGUCAAAUAAUAUCUUAUUAGAAAACUCUCUGAAUGUACUUGAAUAUGAAUAAAAUAUGUUUUCAAACUUCAAAUUAUUUUAGAAGUUAUAAUAGAAAUAAAAUAUUAAAAAAACACUUUGAAUAUGAAAAGUUACUAGUAUAAUUAACCUUUGAAUGAAAUAUUAACUAAAUUACGUCAUUGUCCUUUGAUUUUUAUAAAAUCUAAAAUAUAUAUACGGAUAAUUUUGUCCCUACAUAAAAUGGAAGAAACCUUCCUAGCAUUCCUCCUUUUAUAAAUAGUAUAGAUAGAUAGAUAGAUAUAGAUUAGGACCACACCACACCCAUCAGCUUCGUUGCUUCCUUUUAUUUUGUCUUGAUUGAUUUUUCUAAAAGAAUUGAUAUAUACUUUUCAAAGUCCAAUCCUUACUUUCGGUAAUUUUUAGAUGUUGUAAAUGCUAAUACUAAAUAGGGGUUUUUAGUAGAAUCCCGUAAAUGAGGAUGGAUUGUUCCGCAAAAAAUGACCUAUUGGUUCGAGGAAGUGAGUUUGUAUCAAUUGACCUUGUAGGUUUAUCCAGUUCACCUAUAUCAAUUGACCUCAAUUUAUUUAGUUAAAUAAACAUUUAGCAAAAUUCAACAAAAAAGAAAAAGGACCAACAUCGGAGACCAGCGGUUAACAGCUGACCCACCAAAAAAAAAUAGAAAAAUCAAAGUCGGAGCCCGACGUUCAAUCCCGGUCAGCGGCCGGAAAAAAAGGUCAUAAUUUUUUUUCAAGAAAUUGUGAAAAUGAGGGUUAAUGUGAUAUAUUUGUUAAAAAUGUUUAUUACAAAUAAGCCCUUCAUGGUCUACUUAUUCAUAAGGGGAUCCAGACCAAAAACUAUUUUACAAAAAAGUCCGGACAAUGUCCAUAGGUGUGUAAAUGACUAAAAUACCUCUCACAUUUUAAUAUGCUCUUUUUUCAUCAUGUAAUCCAAUUUAACAUCAAUUUGACCCCAAAUUUUACCAAUUAUUCAAUUUUGACCCCUAACCCAAAUUUGACCGUCGCCGCCGUUGACGGCUAGUCUCCGACCUUGACUCUUUUUUAAUUUUUUUUAAUGUCUGUUUUUUUUUUCGUCGGCAAUCAACGCCGUUGUUCGGUGGCGUUGACUAUUUUUUUCUUUUAUGAAACUUUAUUUCUUGAACAUUUUUGGCCCGUUAUUUAAUUUGUAAUAAUAUUGUAGUUGACAGUAAUAUUAAGUUUAAUUAGUAAUAAUACUGUAGUUAACAGUAAUAUUAAUUAUACUAUUGUUGGCCUAAUACACGCGCGGAUGCAAUUAUACAAAAAAUGGAUUUUUAUAAUUAUACCUCAAUAUAGGGGUGUUUGUAAUUACUCAUCAUUCUUUUAGCCUGUCAAAAAAUGCAAAGCAAUUGUUACUUUCUCGUUUAUUUAUUUUGAACCACAGCUUUCAUUGACGGACGAUCUGUCAGACACCACUGUAUACACCACAACCCUACUAUACUAAGUUUCCUUGCUAUACUAUUUCCUUGUUCAUCAAUUUGUGCCCACAUUGGAUUAUCCUCCGCAUUUAUAUGAUUGUAUAUCCAUUGAGGGAAAUAUACCUGACUAGUAUUAUUUACAUUAUGAUCCGCAUUUUUCCUCCCUCCUACCAUUUCGAGCAACAACAUUCCGAAGCUAUAAACAUCGGACUUAUACGAAACCCUUCCGAAAGUUCUGGACAGAACUUCAGGUGCAAUAUAUCCCAUUGUUCCUCUAGCCGCAGUCAUUGUCACCGCACUUUGUUCCUUUGAGCACAACUUAGCAAGGCCAAAAUCGCAAAUCUUCGGGUAGAGGUUGUGGUCCAACAAGACGUUUUGCGGCUUUAUAUCGAAGUGGAGUAUUUGUUGAUCACAUCCCUCGUGUAGAUAUUCUAUGCCUUUUGCUAUGCCUAGCGCAAUAUCCUUUAGCUUUUCCCAAUCAAGAGUAAUUCUAUUCGAACCUGCUUGGAAAAUGGACUUUUCUAAAGAACCGUUUGGUAAGAAUUCAUAAACAAGAGCUCUUCGAAAUCCAUCGGCACAAAAUCCUAGAAGACGCACAAUGUUGACGUGGUGUAUUCUCCCAAUGGUACUUACUUCAUUGACAAACUCCUCUCCGUUGCCGUUGGAGUUGUUGAGUACUUUUACCGCAACAACUAUUUCAUUGUUCAACUUUCCUUUGUAAACAAUUCCGUAACCCCCUUCGCCCAAUUUCUCGCUAAACUGAUGAGUAAUCCUUUUUAUGUCCGAAUAUGAAAAUCUACUCGGCUUAAGGGCUUUGUAAUCUCGCAAAAACUUCCCAAUCAUCGUUCGAUUCUCUCGGUAUGUUUUAACUCUGAUGUAAAGAUAGACGAAAGCCGCUAGUAUUAUCGCGACAAGAACGGAACCAAAACCUUUGAAACAGAACAUAUAAGUCAGAUUCUUAAACCAAUCCAUUACAAAAAUAUCAAAAAAGGAACAGACAAAAAUGUUCACCUUCAAUUAGUUGCUUCCUUCUUGUUCCUGUAAGCAAAAUAAUUACUUAAGCUUUUUUUUCAUGGAAAAUACGAAAAUAUAAUAUCCAAGUAGACACGAAAGUACCAUGAUGAUUUGUAGUUGGGAGUUGGUCAAGACACUGAAUAUGUCGAUCCGAUGUCGUAGAAUUAUACGAGCUGCAUCUUUUGCCUUGAUCUUCACAGACGGAACAUGCUGGUUCAGACCACUCCAAAUAGAAGUCAUUUUCAUGAAAUAUUUUCCACGGAACAGAUUUGAAUUCAUAUGUUUUGGUACAAGAAGUCAAAGGAAGUGAUUCCAUCGAAAGUUUCGAAUCAACGGCAUAGAAUUGGUACGUGGAAUCGCCAAGGCAAGGAAUUACGAUACCUAAGUCUCUUCGUGACGGAUUAGUACAAUUGAAAAGGGUAUAGUCAUCUAAGGAUUUUGUCAAGAAACGGAACGGGGAAGCAGGGAAGUUUAGAUGUGGUAACUUUUGCGGAAAACAAUUUUCUUGGUCAAAAACAAAAACUCUUUGAGAUAUAUAGUUGAUUUUCUUUACUAUAACAUUAACCGAGAACGGGAGCACGAGCACGGUAUUGUUUUUAUGGUCGCAGAAUAAAUCGAAGCCCGGACAGCCACAAUGUUGAGGCUGCCGAUUUGUAUGUCUGAAAGGAAACCGAAUUAUUGGGCCGUCGUUUCUGCAUCUGAUCGGCAUACAAUCAUCGUUGUUUCCUAGUACUAGGACAGCAAGUGGUAAGAACAAAAGAAUGUAAACGAAGGGAGACAUCCGAAUUAUGAAGAUUUGUGCAAAUUAACUAACAAAGUUGAACAAGUCUAGCAUUCUUUUCUAGUAAACUGUGGGAGAGCAGAGCAGAUCAGAUGGUAGGACUUAAUUCAUAGUAUUAAACUGUUUUGUUUCCAAAUUUUCUUUUCUAAUAAUUUUACUAAUAAGGUCACAUUCUUGACUAGUUCCUUAACUACUCACCUCAUCAUAAAUUCGUUUAUUUUGCCACUUCAAUGCUAAGCAUAAAUCUAAAAGGAAAUUACUUGAAUACUUUGUGAUGAUGCUAAAAUUAGAUCACAUGUAGUAGUUGAUGUACACGCAUAAAAACAAUUAAUUGGUUAAUUAAGUUAGUCAAUUAAAUUGUGUCAAAAUUAAAUUAUAUCUUGAUUUACAAGACAAGUCAUGGAGAUUAAUAUCAAUUAAUUAUUGACCAAUAUAAUUGUUUAUGCUCUUUCAAAAUUUAACAGAUAAAUACCAAAUUAAAAAGGGCCAAUCAAAUCGCGCCACAUCAUCAAGAAGGUUUAUCUAGGACUUUUAUUUUACCACUAUAAAUAGGGACCCUCCCUACACAAUUCACUCCCUACACAAUUCAAAACACAACUCAAGAAGAAGAAAAACCUGUUGGGGAUCAGACACGUGUACGCAGCGGAAAACAAUAAUUUUAUUUUAUUUAUACAGUCUAAUUUAUAUAAAUAAACACAUGCACAUUAAUUACAAUUAAUUGCGUACAUUUUUUCGCUUCCAAUCACCGGCAAAAAUGCUCGCAUAUAUAAUUAAUUUAAAUAACAUAAAUUAAAUAAUCAUAGCAUGCUCGCAAAAUUAAAUCAAAUAAUAAACAUGCUCAAACAACCAUUCAAAUGAAAACAUAAUUUAACAUAUAGAUUCAUGUGAUUCAAUAAUAAAUUAACAUACAUUAGUCUCAAUUAAUAUAAAUUAAUUAAUAUAUAUUAAUUAGGGAAAACGAGCUUUUACCCUUGAAGCGUGAAUCGAACGAAGACUCGAGAAGAUGUUUAGUUGCUCCUCCCACUCCUACUGAUCCGACUGGCGGCGGUGGUGCAGCGGGGCGUAUGUUAAAACUGUUUUCUGAUCUGAAAUUUUAGGUGUCCUCCGACUUCAAUAUCUCCAUUAUUAUUGACUGGAUGGACAAUUGCAUCCGAUUAUUUGUAGAGCCAUGAGUCUUGAAGCUUCUUUUCAAAUUUCACAUCCAUCCGAUCAUUGGUUGAUUUAUGGCAAAUUUUCUCGCUUGACUGCGCAGAAAAUCCAAGAGCAGAUUUUCAGAAUUAUCUUCUCUCAACACAGGCUUGUGGCGGCGCGUUAAGACGACCCUAGUGGUUGCGGUGGCGGCAAACGAAUCUUUCUCCUCUUAGGUUUCACCUCGUAUAUUCAAUCCAUUAUCCACGCAGCACAUACGUUAUAGGCUAAUUACAACAAAGAAGAACGAGGGUAAAAGGAAGGAUGCCAAUGCGGCGGCGGCGGCGGCGGCUGGUGGCCGAGGUAGGUUCCGGCUGCAAGGUGGGAAGCUUAUUGAGGGAGAGAGGCUAAUGUUUCAUUCUUAUGCUUCAUUUUUGUGUAUCUUUCACAAGACAUAUAAAUCAUAUUUAUAUGUUCCUUAUGAAAACCCUAAUAGGCCCAACAUCUUAAGUUCACUCUCUUUCUCGGCUCGUUUCUAACAAAUGAAUGCUCACAAAAAAAUAACAAUUAUAUUUUGACAACGAGCACAAAUUCUUGGCAAUACGAGUACCACUUUGCAAUUUACCAAUUUUUGAAAUUGGAAACCCUAAUUUAAGACUUACCAAAUCGGGAAACUUCUCAAUAUAGAAAGUUCACUAAAUUUAUGUCGGAUUCUUUUCCUCUACUUAUUCUCAUCCGUAAUUAACAACUACGAAUGUUGGACUCAAUCACAUUGCCUUCCAAUUACACUAAGAUUAACUAAUUAAUAUUAGCUCGUUGCAUUUAAGGAUCUCAAGUACACGAUCAAUGUAACCAUUGAUGGUUCAGGUGUAAGCUAGCAGUGGGCCCACAACACAUUGUGAUUUAAAAUCGUCCCUAGAGUUAUAAUUAAGAAGAAGCUCGUUUCAACAUAACCACCCAACGAAUCAAGAUUAACGCCUAGCAACUACGCAUUAUGAUUCCCUAGAUAUAUAUGGACGCGCGGGGUGGGUGCGCAGCGGGGCACGGAGCUCAGACACGCGGGCAAGUGCGGGAACGUGUUACGCCCCUCACGAGGUGAGGGCGCGUGCUUCGAGGUUGGUCGGCGGUGGCGAAGGCGCGUGGGCCCAAGUCACGCGAAGGCUCGUUGGCGUGCGAGCCAGAAGGGCGCGAAGGCGCAUGGGCUGCAGGGGCGCGACCGUGGCGGUGUGUGCGAUGCGGGUACCGAUAUAGCGAAAGAUGUUGAGGCAAAUGUCGAUACCGUGGGAGCGAUUUCGGCUCGUAAUAGGAGUGCCAAGUGUAGUAUAGGUAUUUGAUAAGAUAUGUGUUCCCAUGUAUGUGGGCGGAGUACUUAAUUUAUCUUCAUACUUGGAGUAGAUGGGUAUGUCCAUUACUAUUUUGUUUGAGGUUUAUAUUGUUUGACAUUGUCAUUGGUUUGACGCGUUGCUUGUAUGUAUUUACGUUUAGCAUUGUGCGUGAUGUACUUGACGAGGGGAUCAAUCUCUCAAGAUUCUUUGAUGUGGAUCGUGCCCCUUGUUAGACCUCUGGGCCAUAAGUAUGUUAGGACCGUGGCCACGUUUUAAAUGAAGGACCCGUUAAAAACAAGUAGAGAGAUUUAGGUAAUCAAGCUGGCUAGGCUAUAUAGAUCACCAUAAUGUCUCUUAGUGUUUCUAGGGUUGAAUAAUGUUAACUUGAGCUGAUAAUCGUGUAGUGAAACAGUAACAACGUUGAGAGUAAAAAGAAGAAAUUGUUUUAUUUGUUGAUUGAAAGAUUGAAUGUUAGAAACCUGCUUGAGGCAAAAGGAAAUAAAUAUGUAGGGAGCGAAUCGCUCGAAAUAACAAAAUUUAUACUAAGUAGAAAUUGUAGGUGCUUCUUCCACGUAGUUCUCGCGCUUGUAGCCCCGAGCGGGUUGGCUCCUAGCUCGUGGGAGUUUUCUCACAGUGAGGGGCCUACAAGGGUGGAGGUUGGUUGCUCUAUUGAUGUAGAGAGGUGAGGGGAUGCAUCAUCAUUGGAGUGGGGUAGCCCCCAGUUUAGGAUGGUGCGAUCACUAACUCUGUUAUGGACUCGAAAGACUCCACAUGUCAUUGGCUUCAUUGGAAGUCCAGGGACGUGGAAAAAGAUUGUCCUUGAGAAGUCGACGAUUGUCGUUGGUCAUCUCGCCGUCAGGUGUCUAAGUGAUCAUCAAUACUUUUCCUCUUGGGAUGAGUGAGGGCCGAAGCCUCUUCAUGCGCACGUGUUUCUCAGAGCGACUUAAUAACUCUUCCAGAGUGGUUGGAGGUUUUCCCGCGAUAGAUUUCUUGAAUCUACCUUGCUUCAAGUUUUGUUGAAUGAUUCCAGAGAGCAUGCCUCCUCCCAUGUUAGGAACUUCAUGAGCUUCCUCCACAAAUCGCUAAAUGUAGUUUGUUAGUGAUUUUACCUACACGCAAGUGUACGUAUCGAACAAGUAAUAUAGUGGACAAUUAAGCCGAAUAUCGAUCCCACAUAGAAUAUUAAAUUAUCUAAUUCUAAUCGCUAGAUUCUAUCAACUGUGAUCAAGCCCACCCUACACAGUCGAGAGAAGAUUGAUUAAACUAAAUUCAACAGGCAAGAGCAAGAAAAAAAUUAAACACGAAGAUUUAUCAAAAUAAAUAAGUCUAGGAUUUUAUUCUUUCCCUGUGUGAUUAUUAAUUCCCAAAUUCCUUUAAUUAUGCAAGUUAUUAAUCGGGUUACUAACCUGAGAUGCUAAAUUAAUCAUAACUCGAUUCCGCGUGUAUUACGAUUCUGAUAUUCUAGAUUGAAUUAUUGUAGUCCUACGCAAUUAAAUCUAGAACACAUCAUGAAUCAUAAAUCUCAAUAAUGGCUACCUAAGAGAUUAAGUAUAUUCCUAUGUUAACACAUCAAAGGUUCUUCUACCCAAGUUCUAAUUAGUAAAUUGAUCUUCCGAUUCAUGCGUUUAAAAAUAACAGAGAAGCACAUAAAGUGGCCAGUUUCAUGCACUUAAUAAAACACGUAAAAGAAACAAUCUGGAAUUAAAACUUGCAUAAAAUCAUAGAAAAUAGUUCAUAAUUCUCACAUAGGGUUCAAAAUAAAAUCCUAGAAAAAUAAAGCGUUUAGCUACUCAUAAUUAAAUUAAAAUCUAAAUAAAAAAAAUGUGGAAGAUAAAAACUAUGCUUGAAGUCUUCAAAUUCUUAGUCUUCGUUAUUGCUUCUUUGCUCUCGAAAUUGCGUAAAAAGAGGAAUCCUAGCUUAGUGCUUGAGAUGACCUUUUAUAGGUUGGAAAAAUUGGGGAAAAUGUUGUUUCCUUACUGCGAAGCUCCGCCUGCUCGGACGGCCAUCUAGAGAUUUGUUCUUCAUUUCGGACGGCCGUUUGAAAUGUUGUGGUUUAUUUUUCUCUUUCUUGCCGAGAUCUUGACCUGUCCAGUGGCGUUGACUUCUCCAAUUUUUGUCCAGCUUUUCUUUUAAAUUGCAGUUUUGAUCCUCAAUUUAUUCAAUUCUUCAAUCUGUGCCUGAAACACAAUAAAUCAAACUUUAAGCACCAAUUAUUAUCAAUAAAAUACACCAAAAGCUUCAAUUAAAAGAUAUAAUUAAGUAUAAAAAUAUACACUUAACAUAGUUGCGGAGGGUCUCGCCCUCUCUCACGGCGAUAGUGAAGAGGUAGGCAAGAGUCUUAGCGUACUUUUUGUUGAUAGCAAACUGGUUAGUGAAGCGAUCCGGCAGUUGGGAGAGAGCUUCAAUUGACCCAGUGGGAAAGGAGUUGAACCAGCUCAAGGCUCGUUUGGAGAGCGUUGCGCGGAACAUUUUGCACAACGCCGCAUCAGUAGGGCCAUAUAGUACCGCCAUGGCGUAGAACUUUUCAAGGUGCUCUUCUUGGUCACUAGUUCCAUCGAACUACGGCAGACCUGAGACCUUUACCCCUUGGGGUAGUAUCUCAUUGAGUGGCGACAGUGAAGGGACUACGCCUUAUUGGAGCUAUUUCCUUCCACCUAUAGGAUUUCCUAAGUCGGGAAGGUGAUUCGAGCGAGAUACCCGAUUAUUGAUUUCAUCCCCUCCACCAUUGAGUGGAGGAGCUCGCUGGCGAGAGGUGUUGUCUCUUGGAGGUGAAUGUGGGUGUUGUUGCCCAGUUCCUGCCUCUCAGCGAUGAGUUGAUUGUUGCAUCCGAGCCCAAGGGUAUGAGGUGGAUGCCGACGACACAAUUGUUUGGCGGUUGUUAUCCAGCGGCGGUGGAGGUGGAUAUACCACGGGUGGAGCCGUAGGAGGAGCGUUGGCUCUCGUUGUGGCGAUGUAUCGUGCCACUGCUUCAGUGGCAGCACCAGCAGAGGUUUCUACAAUCAUGUGUUGAAGGGCGUCUUUGGUUAUCUGAACCAUUUGAGAAGUAGGUUGAAGUUGACCCUGCUGAGUCCCCGCAGGGGGCUCGCGAGGAGGGACUUGUGUUAGAUCCCGAAUGUGGGGAGGGGGAAGCGGUAAUCCAGAGCCUCGGCGAGGCGGGAGGUUAUUAGCAGUGUCAUGCUCCCCCGACCACAUGUCUGAAGGGUAUCUUGCUUGCUACGUGAUCUAGCAUGCAUUCAAACAGACGACGCCAUUAUAAUGAUGCUAAAAUCAGAUGACUUGUAGUAGUUGUAGUUGCAGUAGGAUGAGCUGGAAGAGAAAUGUACGUCACUGGCUCCAUUUAGGGAUUAUUUAACAAAACCUCCUCAUAUGACAUUCACUAUUUAGAGGGAGUCCUUUUUUUCCAUUUUAAGAUAAAUCCAUCAUCUAAUUUUAUAUUUAAUAAUACAAUUAUACCCUCCAUCAAACUAAUAUCUCACAAUGUUUAACCUACCGAGCCACACCAGUUCUCUCUCUCUCUCUUCUCUUUUUCUAUGUCUCACCAACGUCCAUCAUAGCCCGCCAUCACCUCUGUUAAUCCUCAUCUCACUCGCAUAUCUCGUCGCCACCGAGAUUCAUGGAAAUUCGAUUAGAUGAUCCCCCAUGACCCACUUUGAUGAGUUCAGUUUCACCGCCUCGAAGACGACAUUCAACCUGUCGGCAUUCAAGGACGAAAAAAAUUAUUUUCAGCUGCAGAUCCCGCGAGUACCUAGAUGCUGAGGUAAUCGCAAUAAUCAGCAAUAUAAUUUUUUUUGUGGUUUGUUCUAUGCCUUCACUUGCAGAAUUUUUCAAGGUACGAUACUGGAUGUGGAACAAAUAGGUCGUCUAGUCACUUUGUAUUCCUCUUUUUUGAUUGUUGUUUUGGUUUUAUUAGGUAUCCAGUUUAGGUAUAUAAAUUAGGGAAAGUAAAAUAUUUUGAAUUAAGUCUUGAAGGAAUAUUUUAUAAUUUUUGAGGAUCUUAUAAUGGGAAUUAUAAAUUCUUAAUUUGAUUGUAAUUAGAUUGUAAUUCUUAUUUUGAAUUGGAUUUUCUCCUUGAAAAGGGGGUUUGUUGUAGUGAAUUAGGUUGAUUUUGUAGUUGAUUACAUUACUAUUUUGGUGGGUUUCAAUAUAAUUGAAGUGGAUUUUCUCUUUGAAAAGGGGAUUUGUUGUAGUGAAUUUCGUUUAAUUUCGUAGUAGAUUAUGUUAAUACUUUUGUAAUUGUUUUGCAGUGGAUUAGGUUAAUUUCAUACUUGAUGAUCUUAAUAUUUUAGCGGAUUUCGAUAUUUUUGUACUGGGUUUUGAUGAGAUUGUAGUUAUUUAAAAUUCUUGCUUUGUAGCCCGAUUUUGUUUUGAAUGAAUUAAAUUUACAAGUUGUUGUCUUCUUUUUCUUUGGUUCGGGUUCUUGUACAAGCGGAGUGAUGGCAACAAGUGGGGCGAGGUUGGGUGAUGCUCGGGUGACUCUACUAUUGCGAUGAAAUUCGUUUAUUAAAGGUGAUUUUUGUAGUGGAUUUAAGCAAGUUUUUAGUGUAUUUCGAUAAAAUCGGAGUGCAUUUUCUCUUUGUAUUGGGGAUUUUUUGUAAUGGGUUUCUAUAUUUUUGUAGUGGUUUUGGAUAAACAUGUAGUGCGUUUCAGAUUUUUGCUUUCAAAGUGAAUAUUUUUAAUAAAUAAAAUUAACACGUUGUUGUCUUCAUUUUCUUUGUUUUAGGUUUUUGAGCAGGCAGAGUGAUGGCAACAACGGUGACUAGGUAAGGUGAAGCUCGAAUGAUUCUACUAUUGUGCGGCGUUUUUUUCCCUCUUCUUUUUUUAAAAAAUAAAACAGAGUUAUAGUAGUAGUUUUGUUAAUUUAAUAGUGUAUUGCGUUAAUUUGAUAUUGUAUUACGUUAAUUUUGUAGUGAAUUAUUUUAUUUUUUAUAGCAUAUUACGUUAAUUAUGUAGUGGAUUUCAAUAGAUUUUUAGUGGAUUUCAGUUUGGUAUUAAAUACUGCUUUUCAAUAGGUUUGAAGUGGAUUUCAAUUUGGUAAAAAAUGCUGGAAAAAAAAAAAUAUAACCAAUUUAAAAAAAAAACUGAAAAAAAAGAGAGUAAAAAAUAGAAAAAAAAUCCAUUUAAAAAAAAUCGAAAUUAGAAAAUUGUUUAAAAAAAACGAAAAUGAAAAGCUAAAAAAUGUUAAACAUAAAAAUUAAAAAAUACACCAAUUUGGGUAAUUUAGGUGUUUUGCUAUCGGAGGGGGUUAUCCCAAAAAUGAGAUUAAAAAUUGGAUUUAUCCCUCUUAUGAAAUUAAAUGAGUUAUCUCAAAUAGCCUCCUCCAUUUAAACUUAUUUCCUAGUAAGGAAAACUCUUUCAUAUAUACAAAAAUUGCUCCCAAAUACUUGAAAUUCUAAUUUAGUCUUAAUUUCAUCAAUUAAUUAAUUUUGACCAUUUCCAAGUUUGACCUCAACAGCAGGUCAGCUGUUGUUGGCUUUUCUUUUAUGAUUUUUUUUUUUCCAGCAAAACAGCCGCGUUGACCCAUUCUACGGCAUUUUUUUUUUAAAUCCCCAAAAAAAUCCUAGCCCUAAAUUACGCGAUAAUUUAAGAACUUACCUUUGUCUGCACCAAGUUCUCUUCGAAUUGCUUCAAAAAAGUCGUUGUUCAAUCGCUGUGGAGAAGAUGAAAGGGAAAGGAGAAAGUUUCUCAAGUUUCUCACUUCUUUUCUCUCUGUUCUGAUCUCGUUUAGUCGUGUUCAAUUUUUUUUCCCAAGUCAGAAAAUUGUAUUUCUGUUAAAUAAAAGUUUGGGUAAAAUGGUAACUUCACUGCAUAUACUGAUGCCGUCAGAGACGUGAGAGUUGACUAGUAAGGUGAGGGGAUGUUUUGUCGCAUUUCAUAGUACAAGGGAUAAAUGCGAUAGUGAUAUAGUACAGGGGUGCAAACUAUAUUUAAUCCUAAUAUUAACAACAAUAUUAUUGUGUUGCAAAAUAAUAUUGUUGUGUAACACAGUAAUAUUAUCAUGUUAACCGGUCAACACAUCCAAAGAAAAAUUAAUAGUAUUGUAAUUGACAGUAAUAUUACUUAAUAGUACAAUAAUAUUAUUGUGUUUACCGCAGUAUUGACUGGCGGUCAACGAGUAGAAAAUUAUUUUUCCAAAAAAAGAAAAGAGUAAUCACCGCCGGAUACAUACAUUUAGGGGUGUGAACGAGCCGAGCUCGCCUCUUUUGGCUGGCUCGAGCUCGAGUCUAUGUUGUCGAGCUCGAGCUCGUCGAGUUCCUCUUUUUUUGGCUCGAGCUCGAGCUCGUGUAAAUUUUGUCGAGCUCGAGCCCAAGCAUUUCAACCAGUCCGAGGUCAGCUUCUCAAUCGUAGUCCGCUUCCUUCUCUUGAUAUAGCUGUUAAUGAGUUAGUACGAGAAGAAACAUGUCUUGCAACUCUUCAAGUGCAGAAUAAGAUCAAUGUCCUCGCAGUUGCUCCCCCUAUCAACACAGAGCAACCUUCUCAUUCCGGAUUCGAUAGUCGGCGUAAACAGUCCAUCAAGAAGUUUUGCAACUACUGUAAACGCCCGGGCCACACCAUUGAUACAUGUUAUCGUCGAAACAAAUCCACCGUUGCUGUUACUGAGUCCACUCCGCCAAUGACUUUCACCUCAGCUGUGUCUCAGUCUUCUGGAUCCACUAUACAUCUUACAUCACCUGAACUACAAGAUAUAAUAGCUCAGGCUAUUCGUAUGGCUGAUAAUGCAUCUCUUUCCACUGCUCUCUCAGUCCUGCCUGGUAAGUCUCAAACUUGGCUUUUAGAUUCCGCAUGUUGCAACCAUAUGACCCCUCAUUCAUCCUUGUUUUCUAAACUUGAACCUGCUCCACACCCUUUAAAUAUUCACAUAGCAAACGGUUCCACUUUACAUGGUAAAAACUUAGGGCCUGUUUCAACUCCCAAUAUUCUUGUUCCCGACGUUUUUCACAUUCCUGAUCUAUCUAUAAUCUAUUUUAUGUGGGACAAUUAGCUGAACUAGGCUACCGUCUUACUUUUGAUUACUCUAGAUGUAUUGUUCAGGAUCCGAGGACGGGACAGGAGCUUAGGACCGGGCCUAGAAUUGGGCGUAUGUUUCCCGUGGAUAACCUUCGUCUUCCACCUGUUGCUCCCAUCUCUGUUGUUGCUGCUGUUACAUCUACAUCUUCUUCACCUUCUCUUGUUCUAUGGCACUCUCGCCAUGGUCAUGCUCAUACAUCUCGUCUUCAGCAAUUAGCUUCUAAAGGUCUGUUAGGUUAUGUGUCUAAAGAACAUUUUGAUUGCACCUCGUGUCAGUUAGGUAAACAACCAGCCUUACCAUUUAGUACUAGUUCAUCAGUUUCUAAUAAAAUUUUUGACUUAAUUCAUUCUGAUGUUUGGGGUCCCUCCCCCCGUUACUAGUUUUUGUGGCUCGAGAUAUUUUGUUGUCUUCAUUGAUGAUUAUUCUCGUUAUAGUUGGAUCUUUCUUAUGAAAUCUCGCUCAGAACUAUUGUCCAUAUAUAGUAAUUUUGCAAAAAUGGUUGAAACUCAAUUUUCACAGCGCAUCAAAACUUUUCAAUCUGAUAAUGCUCUUGAAUAUACUCAAAAUGCCUUUCAAAAUAUCCUUCAUUCCUAUGGCACUGUCCACCACCUUAGUUGUCCAGGGACCUCUCACCAAAAUGGUCGAGCCGAGCGAAAACUUCGUCACAUUCUUGACACUGUUCGUGCUCUCCUUCUCUCUGCGAAAAUUCCCUCCCCAUUCUGGGGUGAAGCUGCCUUGAAUGCAGUUUAUGCUAUCAAUCGUUUACCAAGUCCUGUUAUCCAAAAUGAAACUCCAUACGAGCGCCUCUUUAUGAAAUCUCCAAACUAUCAUCAACUCCGUUCUUUUGGUACAGCUUGUUUUGUCCUUCUUCAACCACACGAGCACAACAAACUCGAGCCUCGGUCUCGCCUUUGUUGUUUUCUUGGUUAUGGAGAAACUCAAAAGGGCUAUCGGUGUUAUGAUCCUAUCUCUCAUCGUCUUCGUGUCUCUCGUCAUGUUGUCUUUUGGGAACAUCGUCUUUUUGUUGAACUUUCACAUUUUCGUCCUUCUUUGAGUACCUCAUCCGAGUUAGAUAUAUUUUCGGACGAUUCUCCUUAUCCUAUCGACUUGUUUGAAAAUACUCCUAUUCCUCGCUCCAGCCCAACCCCAAAUGAACAGGUGGAGAAUGAACAGGUAGGACACGCACUGCCCAGCUUUGACCAUGAGUCCCUUGCUCCUGCUCCGCCUGAGGAUCUUACAGACCAUACACCACCUCGCCAUUCAAAUAGGGUAAGAUCUAUUCCUUCUCAUCUACUUGACUAUCAUUGUUACACUACUCUUGCCACUUUGCACGAGCCUCACUCCUAUCACGAGGCUUCCACCAACCCUUUAUGGCAAAAUGCCAUGAGAGAUGAACUUGAUGCAUUAUCUAAAAACCAUACUUGGGAUCUUGUUACUCUCCCUCCUGGACAAUCUGUUGUUGGAUGUAAGUGGAUCUACAAGAUCAAGACUCGCUCUGAUGGAUCCAUUGAGAGAUAUAAGGCUCGUCUUGUUGCAAAGGGUUUUACUCAAGAGUAUGGAAUUGAUUAUGAGGAGACAUUUGCUCCAGUUGCUCGAAUCUCUUCAGUUCGCGCUCUCUUGGCUGUUGCCGCUGCUAGUCGAUGGGAUCUAUUUCAGAUGGAUGUUAAAAAUGCAUUUCUAAAUGGAGAACUAUCUGAAGAUGUCUAUAUCCAACCUCCGCCAGGACUAUCUGUUGAUUCAGACAAGGUCUGUCAUCUUCGUCGUGCACUUUACGGUCUUAAACAAGCCCUUCGAGCUUGGUUUGCCAAAUUCAGCUCCACUAUAUCUCAUUUGGGUUACUCUGCCAGUUGUUAUGAUUCUGCCUUAUUUCUCCGUCGUACUGGCAAAGGCUCCAUCUUCCUCCUCUUAUAUGUGGAUGAUAUGAUCAUAACUGGUGAUGAUCCUAGUGGAAUUCAAGAAUUGAAGGAUUUUCUGAGUCAACAGUUUGAAAUGAAAGAUCUUGGUCACCUCAGCUACUUCUUGGGACUUGAGAUUACUCACUCUAAAGAUGGUCUUUAUAUUACUCAGGCCAAAUAUGCAUCUGACCUCUUAUCUCAAGCCGGCCUCACUGAUAGCAAGAUCAUUGACACUCCCGUUGAACUCAAUACUCACUUGACUCCCGCAGGGGGGACACUGUUGUCGAAUCCGUCACUUUACAGGCGUUUGGUGGGCAGUCUAGUCUAUCUUACUGUCACUCGACCUGAUAUCUCAUAUGCGGUUCAUCAAGUGAGUCAAUAUCUAUCUGCUCCAAGAUCGCUUCACUAUGUUGCUGUUCUACGCAUCCUUCGAUAUCUAAAGGGUACUCUUUUUAAUGGUCUUUUCUACUCUACUGAGUCACCUCUAGUUCUUCGAGCAUUCUCCGAUAGUGAUUGGGCUGGAGAUCCCACUGAUCGCAGGUCAACUACUGGUUAUUGUUUUCUUCUUGGCACAUCUCUAAUAUCUUGGAGAAGUAAGAAACAAACAUUUGUUGCCCGAUCCAGCACUGAAGCAGAAUACCUUGCUCUUGCGGAUACCACAUCUGAGCUCCUUUGGCUUCGAUGGCUUAUCAAGGACCCUAGAGUAUCAACAUCCUCUCCCAUUCCUCUUCAUUGUGACAAUCAAAGUGCUAUCCAUAUUAGUCACAAUGAUGUCUUUCAUGAACGGACUAAACACAUUGAGAUAGACUGUCAUUUUAUCCGUUCACACAUUACUCAAGGUAUUCUCAAGCUCUUCUCAGUUUCUUCCAAAGAUCAACUUGCAGAUAUCUUCACAAAGCCUCAUCCUAAGGGACGUCAUCGUGAUUUGGUCUACAACCUCAAGUUGGUUUGUCACCCUCCUUGAGUUUGAGGGGGGCUGUUAAUGUAUAUUCUUAGGAAAUAAGUUAAGGAUUUGAUUUGAUAUACUUUACAUAAGUUAGGAGAUUUGAUUUUAUUGUAAUUAGUAAUUUCCUUGUAUAGCUUUCUCUCUAUGUGUAUAAAUAGUGCCUCCUAUGGAGAAGAAUAUAUAUCAAUUUUUCCUCAAUUCAAUUAACACCACCAACGAAGAUUCAUCCUCAUAUCUCCCCUCACCGGAAUUUUCCCCCGCUCCGGCAUCCAAACUUCCCCUCGUCGUUUACUAUCACAGGGGAGUAUUCAUCCUAGUAUCUCCCCUCGACGGAAUUUUUCUCCGCUCCGGCAUCCAAACUGCCCCUCGUUGUUUACUAUCACGGCGCGGGGGAGGAUUCCUCCUAGGCAGCACUCACACAAUCAUGUCCGACGCCUUUUGUUACCUUCUCAAAUCGCCGUCGAAAUUCCGGCGUUGGCUGUCUCCGUCGAUAACCACCACCGACGAUUGGCUAACCAAUAGCGCUAAUUUUUGCAAUGAUUUUCUGACGGGAUCCAAGACCAACAUAAAUAGCGCGUACCAAAGUUUGCAAGAGAGAGAAUAGAAAUAUUGAUUUUUGUAAUUUGGUUUUAUUUUUUGGGUACUCUCGAGGCAAAGUUUUUACAACUUUUUGAGUUUUGUUUUGGUUUAAUUUAGUGUAUUUAUUGGUAAAAUAUGAGUUAAAUAAUUAAUUUAUUUUGUAAUUAAAUUAUGUGUAUUUAUAAAUAUUAAUUAUAAGAACAUGUGUGUGUACAUACAAGAACGUGUAUGUAUAUAUUAUAUCGCGAGAGAGAGAGAUACAGAUGUAGCAUAUUGAGGGUAAAAAGGUCAAAAAAUAUUGCAGCUGCAAAAGUAAUAAAAAAAGGACAAAGUCAACUCGCCACGUCAUCAUACACAAACGGAUUUGAAACGGAGGGGUCAUUUUGUUACGUUUUAUAGUUCAAGGGGGAGUUUAUGACAACACACAUAGUUCAAGGGUGCAAACUGUAGUUUCCCCUAUAGGAAAUAACGCCUAAAAACAUGUUCCUUUUACAAAUGGGAAAUAUGUCUAGCAAAUAAAUUUUCCGAGAUUGCGGAUCCAGAUGGAAAUGCAAAAGAGUCGAAACUAAGAUAAUUAACAAGACAACCAGAGCAUUUACAUAGAUAAUNNNNNNNNNNNNNNNNNNNNNNNNNNNNNNNNNNNNNNNNNNNNNNNNNNNNNNNNNNNNNNNNNNNNNNNNNNNNNNNNNNNNNNNNNNNNNNNNNNNNUCGGUAAGUUUUCUCAGGCAUUUUCGUUCUACUCUUCAGAAUUUCGGCACCUCCUUCUCAACAUGUUCCACGUGAAAUAAGAGUGUAACGCGUGCGUGAAAACUGAUCCCUUUUUUUCAUUAUCCCGACCUUCUUUAAUGAUGGAUCACCAUUCAAUUCAGAAUCGGACCUAUUCGAUUAAGUAUUGCCUUUGCUCUUCGAGUGUUUACCUCUCUUUGAACGAGCCAAAGCCAUAGUCUGUAAAUUGUAUAUAACUGAAUUAGAAUCAUGAAUACUUAUACAAGAUAAACCAGAUAUGUUAGUCAAAAAUACGUCUAGCAAAUAAAAUUAGCAAGAUUUGAUGCAAAACAGAGGAAAAUUAAGUUGAUUAAAUUUACAAGAAACAUAUAUUGAUUUCUCAUUACCUAGUUCAUGCAGUUCGAUUCAAUCGAGGUUGAGUACACGAGGAGUUAUACGUAUAUUUUGACUGAGGAUUCUUGUCUUUUGGUUCGAUCAUCGGGGUGGAUUUGUUGCCCGAUUGAAUUAGACUUUAUUUUUCUCUUCGAGUGUUGACCUCCCAUUGAACCAGCCAUGGCUACAAACUGUAAAAUGAAUAUGACUGAAAAUUACAAUCAUGGCUACUUAUACAAGAUAAAGCAUUCAUCAAAUAUCGAUAUACACGUAUCUCAGUAAAAAAAAAAUAUUUAUAUACAGAACGGUGGAGGAAAUCGUAAUGGAAUUUUUGAAUUCCUACGAUCCGAUCAAAUAUUUUUUUUUUUAAUUUGGAACUGUAUUUUUUGUUUCAUUCUCCACAGCCCAAUUUCUGAUUUUUUUUUUCUUGAAAAUGUUUGGACUAGAAAUGGAAAUUAUAAAUAAAAAAUUUCCAGAAAUUCCAAUUUCUCAAAAAAAUUAAACUUUUCCAAAAAUGUAUCAGAAAAUUCUAUGCUCCUAAAACAUGUGUGCAUACAAUUAAUAUUAGGCUAAUUGUUUCAGAAAAAAAAUCAAAUAUUUCGAAAAUUAAUUCAAAAGGUUCUAGUUUCAUACUUGAAUCGGAAGGACCGCCAAAUCGUACUUGAAUUGCGGUUAUAUUGAUAAUUAAUGCCCAAAAAAAAACACAAGUAACGUGGUUCAAUUGAAAAUGAAUGAGAGGUCAGAAAGAAGUAAAUUUAUCAAAAACAGAUUGUAUGGCCCAUAAAUUACGACGAGAUCUUUACAGGACAAAUCUCCGAUGGCAAGGUUUUGGCCAACUACUCCUCAACGAGUAAAGAAGAAGUGAUUGCUUAUUUUAAAAGCAUUCUCUCUUAACCUAGUCUAACACUGAAUAAAUAGCAAAAUGAAAGUUGCAGAGGAACAAUGUGGGAAACCAAUAUAUAGGCAAAAAAAUCUCCUUUCGUUUAAAGAGACGAUAAGAUUUUCCGUGUUCCAGAUAAGAAUGACGCGGACGUUAGAAAUAAGAUAAGGUCAAAUUUAAUGCACGAUAAUCUGAUGACAUGUAUAGACAAUUUUCAUAAAUACUAGCAAGCAUCACGGCGUUGCACGUAAUAGUAUGAUUUUAUAUAUUAUAUAAAUUUAUAAUAAAAAAAUUAAAGUUAGAUAUGAUAGUUGAAAUUAAAUACAAAAUAAGUAAGAUCAAGUGAGUACAAAAAAUAAUGUUCUGAUUAUAUAUUUAUGAAUACUAAAAUACAAUUAUUUUAAAAAUUGAAAUGAAUAAGAAUAUAAAAUGAAGAACAACAUAACUAAAAUAUUUUUAUAUAUAAGUUCAUACAUGCUUAUAUUAAGUUUUCUUUGAUUUUAUUGUGAUAGUUGAAACAAUUUUCAUUUUAAUGAUUUUUCUACAUAUUUUUUAUUUGAAACUAUUACUUUUUUUUUCUCGUGUUACUUAUGUUAUGGGCCCCUUGUCAAAAUAUCGACACUUGAAAUUUGAAUAUUAAUUAAUCUUACCUAUUAUUUUUUUUUUUUUUUCUGUUUAGUCACAUCUUUUAUUUGUGACAGAUGUUAGAAUAAUACAUCUUUCAAUUUACAAUAAUAAUUUUCUUAAAGAAAUUAUAUUAAGUUUAGAAAUGUUAAAAAAGUUGAGAUUCUAAUUUAGGAAGGUUCUUUGAUGAAAAAUACGGGUUUUUCGGGUUUCGGGUUUCGGGUUUUGGGUACGGCUUGAGCGCGAGCUCUAUUGCAAGCCAGUCGAAAGCCAAGGCUCCAAAUACAGUUCCAGCUGAUUUCGCCGAGCUUGAUUAGCCAUCAUAGAUGAUUUUCUUGGGCACGAGGAAAUACUGUAGAAAGAGAUUUGGCGAGAGAGAGUUAGAGAGAGGGAGAGAUGAAAAGAGAUAGAAAGAGAGAGAUGUAACGGUGGAUGUGGGUGUGAGUGAAAGAGAGAGACGGUUAAUGGGGUUAGGGCAACUUAAAGGGCAAAAUAGAUACUUUAAAUUUUCUAGGAGGACCUCACAAAUUAAGAUUAAAAUUUGAGUUUUUGACUAGGGCUAAAAAAUUCAUUGGACCUACUCAUAUAUAUUUUCAAUACUAGGGGGUAUCACUCAUUUUCCCAAAAAUAAAAAUAAAAAAUAAAUUCGAUGAUGUGGCUAAUGAAAUGGAUGGUUUUAGAAGGAAAUUUGAUCUUGAAUAUCGAAGACACCAAAAUAAUGGAAAAAAAUUAACGUAUAUAUUUACAUAUUUACUUUUUGUUAUAUUUAAAUAUUUAGCAUAUUUAAAAUAUACCAUCAUAUUUAUUUAUUACUUAAUAACUAAUGUUUAAUCAAUAUUUCACAGUUUUUAAAGGGUUAAAAUAGUAAUUAAAUUCAUAUUUAUCUAAAUAUUUUAUUUGUACAAAUCUAUACUCAGCGAAUACAAUGAAAGUGAACAAGAAAUCAAAUUCAACCAAAAAGAAAGAAAAAAAAAUUGCUAUUGAAACUUAUUUAAAGUUAAAUGACAUGCACAUGUUGGGAAUCGGACACGUGUACGCAGCGGAAAACAAAAAUUUUAUGCGAUUUAAACAACUUUAAAACACAUAAACACAUGCCCGAUAAUUGAAAAUAAUUAAUUGCGUACCUUUGCGCUUCCAGCGAAAUUAAAAACAACAUACAUGCUUAAUUAUUCAACCGAAUUUAAAUCAAUUAGGAUGCUCGCAUUUAAAUCAAAUAAUCAUGCUCGCAAUAAAUAAACGAUUUCAUGUAGUCACAUAAAAUCAUACAAGUUUCAUACUAGAACGAACAUAUAUAUUCAAUUUAAACGUAAUCGAAUCUAACGACAAUGGAUUCGAAAAUUUACCUCUUGAAGCGUGAGGUAGGCGCACUAUGCAAAACAAGAUUGCCACGGAAACCAAUCCGUGCAAUCCGGGGCAGCAGCGGCGAAACGGCAGCAGCUACUAGACGAGCUGCGGCGGCGCGUGGGAUCGCGUGCGGCGCCGGCUCGUGUUCUGCUCCUCGAUUCUUCGAUUUUCGAUCUUCCUCCUCUCGGAUUUCACCUCGUAUACUUCGAUCUACUAAACACGUGGCACUAGACAUGUAAUAGUUAGAAAAACGGAAGAACAGAAAGAAGGAAAGAACUACCAAUGCGAAUCGGCCAAGAGAUGGCCGAUUCCGGCAAGAUUCCGGCGACGACGGCGGUGGUGGCCGCGGGGAGAGUGGCCGAGAGAGAGAGGGAGCGGCUAGGGUUAGGGUUCCGUGUGUUGUCUUUCGUGCAAGACCUAUAAAUCAAGUAUUUAUAGUGUCUUGCAUAAAACCCUAACGGGCUGAAGAGCCUGUUUGGCUAAGCUUAUAAGCUCCUAAAAACAUCUUAUAAGAUGUUUAGGAGCUUAUAAGUUGUUAAAAGGUGUUUGGUAAAAAAAUUGCAAAAGAUCUUAUUUUUUCCAAAAAUAAGUUGUUAGGGAGCUUAUAAGAUGUUUUUAAAAAAGUACAUCUACCCCACCUUUUUUCUUUAAGAUCUUAUUUGCUUCUUUACUAAAACACUUAAAAUACAAAAUUACCCACAAAUACUUUAUUAUAUUACAUGAAUACUAAUAAUAUUUAUAUUUUAUCAAAACAACCUAUUCUUGUAAUCAAGAUUCAUAAUUAGUUAAAUAUAAUUAUCGUAAUUAUCAUAAUAAUUGUAAAAAAAAUUAUUCUCUAUUUAUAUUUUAUAUGUAUAUAAAAAUACACGAAUAUUCUUAUUAUCUCCAUAAUAAAUUAUAUUUCUUUCAUCUAUAAAAAAAAUUAUAUUUCUUUUACAACUUUUAUUUUAUAUUAUUAUUAUUAUUUGAAAAAAUAAUUUGUAAAUAUUAUAAUAAUAUUUUAGGAACACAAGUAUUUGAGUCAUAUAAGUUUAACAAUUAUACUGGUGUCAUGUACUUUUUUGUCAUUAUAGCAAUAAACAGACCUUUUAUUUCCAAACACGUGAACAACUUAUAAAAACAAAAAGUAACUUAUAAGCUACAUAUCCAAACACCUUAAAAAAUAAUUUUUAAAAUAAGAUCUAACGGCUUAUCAGCUCCUAAAAUAUCUUAUCAGAUGUAGGAGCUUAUAAGAUGUUUUAAAUAAGUUGGACCGGGCCCAACAGCUUAAGUUCGUUAGUUCUUUUACUUGCUCGUCUCUCUCAAUUCAAUGAUCGGAAAAUUGUAACGAUUACAUUUUCGGAAUCAUUACAAUGUCCUCGUCAUUACGAGUGCCAACUCUCGAUUUCCAACUUUCCAAAAGUGGAAACCCUAAUUCAGUGCACUUUCUAAAUUUGGAAACUUCCCGAUUUAGAAAGUCCACUAAUAUGUUUGCCUAUUCUUUUCCUUUUCUUAUUCUCAUUCAUAAUUCCAAAUUACGAAUGUUGGACCCAAUCAUAUUGACUUCCAAUCAUGCAAAGAUAAACCAUUUUAUCUCUGACCGUUUAUUCGAAGAUCUCAUGUGCACGAGCAGUGUGACCAUCGAUGGUUCAGGUGUAAGCUAGCCGUGGGUCCACAACCCUUUGUGGUCAAAACUCAUCCCUUAGAGUUACGAUUAAGAUGAAACUCGUUUCACCUUAAUCAUCCAACGAAUCAAGAUUGGCGUCUAGCAACUACGCGUCAUGAUUCCCUAGAUACAAAUGAAGUGCCUGCAAGAACCUUCAGAUAUAGUUAACGUACAGUACGAUCCCUUCUAUUCAUAUGUCCCGAUUGAACUAGAGGCAUUGGUUCAUCGAGACCUCUUUAUUUUUUCAAUGACCGUGCGAUCGUUCUAAGUGUUGUAAUUGUUACGUGCAUGACUUAGAUAAUCGAAUUCUCUAAUCAUCACUUAGUCAGCUCUGGCCAGAGACUUAGAGAGAUUACAAACUAUAAGAACACGCAGGACAUCCAAGACUAUUCUAGCGAUCGAAUCCCCGACUACAAUGCACAGACCUCCCACUAGAUUUCGGACUGCACGAACACUGGCCCUUGGGAUGGUCCUCGGUGGAACUCAGGGACAGGUCACGAUACAGCUGGUCCUCUAGUGAAGUCACGGUGAUGUCUAGGUCAUAAGGACUAAUGGUGUACAACUAUACCAUAGAUAUCUCUACUCGAUUAUUGUGAACCACUUAGAGAUUUCUAGGGUGAGGGAGUUCAGUGAACUCGUCAACUUACGAGCACCCACUUAUGCAUGCCGAUAUCACAAUACCGUUUACUGAUGAGAUGCAGUACACAUACACUAAGUGCUAGUCUCUUAAUGGGAAAGGCCGAUAUCCUCAUUGGUGGCGUAACCCUUCGACUAGGAACACGUUUAACAGUUAUAAUACUUAAGUAAAUAUCUCACGAUCCUAACGAUCAAUUACUAGUACUUGUAAUAACUGUAAGGACUAUAUCUAUGCUUGUGACAAAGGGACAAAUACAUAGAAUGCCAAGUUGUUUUAUCAUUAAUACGAAUAAAUGUUCGUUUAUUACCAUAAUGAAUACGAAAGACCACAACCACAUGUUGGCUUGUUGGUCACCUACUCUAACAGCACAGUUAAAAUUGUUAUAAAAAAUCAAACACACAUUUACUAAUUAACCAAAAAAUUAAUUAAAUAUAUUUAAAGCUUUGUUAGCUUUGUUAAAUUAAUAAUACCAAAAAAAACAUUUUAGAGCAUCAAAACAUAAAAUACAUUAUCGAGUAACAAAUAUUCAUAUAUAGGAGUAAUAGAAUAUAGUUAAUUACUAAUUUUAUCAAAAACUAUGAAAUUUAAAUUAAAAAAUUAAAUACUAAAAAAGUGCUUAUUUCCUUCAUCGAGUAAAAAAUAAUAAUUUGAUGAUAUAUUUUAUUUUCUUCCAAAAUCAUCCAACGAUCGGCCACAUCAUCUAGUUUAUUUUUAAUCUAUAUUUUUUUUAAUUAAAUGCCAACUCAUUCAAACCAAGCAUUGAAUUACGUGUUAUAGCAGGUCAUAUGACCGAAAUUCUAAACUUUUGUAAUUUACAUGACUAAAAUUAUGAUUUUGAAAUGUGGUGGACUAAACCUCCCAACUAGUAAACUUAGGGUCCAUUUGGAUGGAGGGGUUUGGAGGGGGGUUUAAUUUGGGGAAAUGAUUUGAAAGACUCCAAUUUGGAGUCAUUUGAAAUCCACCUCAAUUGCUCCAAAACAACUAAAAAUGAGGGAUGCAGAUUUGAAAUUCAUCUCCAAAUCCCUCAAUUCAAACAAGUUCAAGGGAUUUGUUAUUAUGGAUUUGAAACCCCUCAUCCAAAUCGCUCCAUCCAAAUGUACCCUUACAAGACUAAAAAACUCGUUUUGCCAUUAAUGGAAUAUGUAAUGUCACAUGUGCGAUGACUAGGGUGCCAACGUGGAUGCCAAAUAUCAAAAUCCAAAAUUUAAGGUUUCAAUUUAUAUAUUAUAUAACUUUUUGUUUCAAUAAAAGUUCAAAUCUAAUAUUUUUAUUUAUGUAAAUUAUUUAUUUAGUUUUUUAAGCAUGUUAUAACUAAACUAUUUUAUCCUUGAUAAUAUUAUUCUAAGUAAUUAUUUAUAUGUACUUAUAGGAACAAUAACUGUAAAUAAAAUACACAUUUCAUACUCAAUUCAUUACACUAUGUUGACGAAAUAAAUGCACACACACUGCGCACGAAAAACACAUGCACAAACAUUGUGCAUACCAAAACAAACCAUUCAUAUGUAAUAAUUUUGCCACUUCGACAAAAUACAGCAUCCAAUGCCUCAUUACUUAAAUACAACAUCUUAUACGAACCCCUAACUUUUGAGACGUGCAAAAUGGAAUUCACAGACAAAAGAAGGUGUGCUCUCAUAUACCGGUGCAGUGCAACACAAGUCCGGUGGGCUUUUUCCUUGCGAAUCAGAGUGUUAGUGAGAAACACAGUCUUGCAAAUGACCAAGAAGCUUUUGCAAACCAUCCUUACUAUCGAAUGCUUCGACGACCGCAACAAAAGCAAAACCGGGCGAAAUGAAUAAACCGUCAUCUUUGCUCGAUAAUUCAUCUCGGCACUCGAGAAGCUCAAAAGCUGACUCGACUACUCUUUGGGAAACAUUUGAAGGUAUUUGUAUGGUGCAAUCAAUAUUAUAAAACUAAAAAUGAGUCUUGACAUACUAAACACCAGAGAAAUAGGUGAAAACGCCACCACAAUCCAACAUAUAACACAUCAAACUUCCUUGGCAGUAUUGUUCUAACUAAUUAUAUGUAAUUACUAAUAUUAUUUUUUAUUGAUAAAUUACGGAUUUCAUACUCAAAAUAUGCACAUACACUGCACACGAAAGAAAUGCACAAACAUUUCGCACACACGAUACACACUAGGUAGAUAUUUUGUUCACAACUUUCUGUGCUUCACAGUACUCAGCAGCUCACUAAGAAAUUAUGUUCUCAUUCAUUUCAUCUUCACUUAUGUAUAUAUUCAACGACAAAUCACUCCCACUCUCUUCUUCAUUCACAUUCUCCUCAAAAUCAUUCUCCAUCUGAUUCUUCUUCUCCCAGAUCAAUCAUGUACCGAUCAUACCCCAUCACUGUAACGCCCCGCGUUUCCGAUACCUGGUUUCCGUAUUUUCCCUCUCGUCUCCUUUGCAUGAAUAUGUGUUGUAUGUGCGAAUUUUAUUGAUCGCUUUUCAAUUUGCUUUAUUUGCUAUUUAUGUGAAAUUAUGUGAACUAAUGUGCAUUAUAUGUCUACAUGAAUAUUUUUGAUUUUAUUCUCUAUUUGCGCAACUAAAAUGUAUUUCAUGUGUUUAAUAUAAUUGAAGACGUGAAAUUAUGUGAUUUACGUGGAUAUAGUUUUAGUAACAUAAGAAUUUAUUUUCUCACAACUAGAAAGUUUAUAUGCUUAAUUGAUAGUAAUUUCCUCUCUUUAAAUUGGCUAUGAUUGUAUGUGUUGCAUGCAUACACUUAUUCCAUGUGCAUUUCCACUUGACUUUUCAUUUAGCAUUAUUUUUAAGAUAACUUAAAUGAAAUUGCCUAGAAGUCCCUCUAGAUUAUUUCAAGUUACUCCUAAUUGCAAAAAGACCCCUCUUCAAUACUUACUCAUUAAGAAUACAAGCCUCUUGAAUUCUAUAAAUACCACCCUCUCCUCUUCAUUUCCUCACACCAAAAAUCAGCCAAGUCCCCUUCUCCUUCCCCCUCUCCAUCGAUCAAAAUAGCCAAAGUAGAAGAAGAAACCUCUUCUUCUAAUUCAAGCCUUCUCCAUUAAAUCUCUUCCUUCUUCUUCUUCUUCUCGUUUUUCUUUCAUAAAUUCCUAGCUAGGAUAGUUCUUCAUCUCCAAAAGGAGAUUCUUCAACCAAGAAGGGAUUCUCUAGUGGGUUUCAAAUAUAUACAAAGCCUUUCAAAUUCUCAAAGACCCUAAUGUAAGAAUCAUGGAAUUCUUGCUACAUCAAGCUAACAUCAAUAGUAUUUCCUUCUCUUCUCUUUUUGAAAAACUCCCCUUCUUGAGUGUUUGAAGAAAUCGAAAGUUUUAUGAAAGAAAGUGCUCAUAGUAUGCUAUAUUAUAUAUUUAGCCUCAUGCAUGUUAAGAUCCAUGCUUGAAUCCUUGAUCUUUGAUGAGAAAAAUGAUGAUGAUGUUUUGAUAUGUUUAAUUUCAUGUUUAAAGCUUUGCAUGUGAGAAUCUAGCUCUUGAUUCUUGAUUCUUGAAAGAAAAUAGAAGAUUGGUGAGAAAACCGAAAAUUUGAUGAUUAUAUGCUAUGAAAUUAAUUAUCUUGAUGUUUAUAAUGAUUGCAUGUUAAGAUUUACUAAUUAUGAUUAUAUGUUUAAGGUUUUGAUUUGAGGCACAUAAGUUGAUUGGGUCUAGAAUCUUGAAAUAGAUGGUUAUAUGUAAAAUUUUCAGAUUCAUAGGUACGGAUUUUAACCCAUGUUUCACCCACGAGUUUAUUUAUGAAAACUACGAAAUUUUAUAUGAGGAUAGAUCUCUCUAUUAUGGUCAUAUUGAUAGGUGGCUUGUAAUUUUUGGAGUAGAAAUGAAUGAGUUAUGAAUUAUUUACCGAAACUGUACAGAACUAGAGUUAGUUUAGAAUUAGUAAUUAAAUCUAAUGUUUUCCUCUUUCAAAUUUAGUAAGUCCAAUUGGAUUAGAACGCCAACUUAUAGAACUCAUCUGAGAUAAUAUUUGACAGUGAUUGAUACAGUAGAUAAUUUAUAAGAAAUAUUUGAAGUCCCCUCCCCUGUUCUGAGUUUUAAACUGCACUACUGUACCAUUUUACUUAUUUAUCCUAAUUUCCUAAAUAUUUUCUAAAACUGUUUUUCUGGGGUAUAUAAGACUCCUAAGAGUAUAUGUAGUUAAAAUUUCAAAAGGUUUGGAUGAAUAUGUAAAGCGCAAUAAAUUUUUAAAGUGACUCCCUCUCUUCAGAUUUCAAAACUGUACCACCAUAGAAAUUUAUUUAUAUCUCUUACUCGGAUAAUGAUUUUUCUAAACUGUUUCUCGGUGGUUUUAAAGACAUAUAAAGGAGUAUGUUGUAAAAGUUUCAAAGGCUUUUGAUUUGUGGUUCAAGAGAAAUGAUUUUUCAAAUUUAGGAUACCAAAACUGUUUUAUUUUCUUAAGUUGACUAUUUUUAUCAAAGUAUGAUUUGUGAUCAUGGUUCUAAUAUACGAGGUAGGAAAGAUAAGUUAGUGAUGAAGGUGAAACCUCUAAGUUAUGGUCUAAUGAUCUAAGUUUAGGUAUUAUGUUGCAUGUUAUAAGAGAGAAUUAGAGUCUACUAGCCUAGAACGGUGUUAUGAAUCAAGUGCAAGAUUUAGAAAAAUGAUCAAUUGAUUUAUAAUGAUAAAUUAGAAUACUUGAUUGUUUUCGUAUAUUAUUUGUGAUGUUAUGUGACCCUUUUGAAAUAAAGGUUUAUGUAUUAAGUGAUUAGACUAAAGUAAUGCCGUAUAUGAUAAUUUUCAUAAUUCAUGAUAUGAGUGAUAUUGAUAUGCUAUGAAUGACAUGGUUAUAUGAUUAUGUGAUUACAAUAUGGUUAAAGUUGAAGAAUGCCCUUCUUGGUGCUACUAUGUGAUAUUAAAUAUUUAUGUGUGUUUAUGGAAUGAAAGGUGAAGUAAAGGUGCUAUGUUCUAUAUGGUUAUGUGUUCAAUGAUUUGAUUGAAGAUGUGAAGUAUAAUUGUUGUGAUACUUGUUACUUUUAUGUUUGUUUAUUUGAUUAAACAUAGAUAGAUCAUGUAAGCUUCAUGUCAUUCAUUAGUAAGUCUAAGAUGCAUACAUCACGAUUUUUUCAAAGUUCAAAAUGUUUGGAAAUUGGUUGUGGAUCUAGGUGAAUAAGUAUGGGAUACGGGGGGCUGGUAUUCCGUUAGUGGUUGAUAGUUGGGGUCCACAUAGGGGCCUGUCCACAUAGGGACUGAUUCACAUAGGAAUCGGGAUUAUAAACCACUAACUCGGCUAUAGUAAAGUUAUAGCCGUGACUAUAUUCCGAUUAGUGGUUAAUAGUUGGGGUCUACAUAGGGACCUGUCCACAUAGGGACUGAUUCACAUAGGAAUCGGGAUUAUAAACCACUAACUCGGCUAUAGUAAAGUUAUAGUCGUGACUAUAGUAAAGUUAUAGAUCACAAGCUCCAAAACACACGGCUUAUUGCCGAACUCCACGAUUGUUUUUCCAAACGGGCCCAAUGUUUUCUCAUGAAAAGUUUUAAAAGUCUAAAGUCUCAUUUUCAUGCAUAUUGCAUAUUAUAGUAUAGAAAAGAAGGGUGUUAAGUACCCGACUUUUGCAUAUUAAAGUAAAGAGAAAGAAGUGUGUUAAGUACCCGACUUUUGCAUAUUAAAGUAAAGAGAAAGAAGGGUGUUAAGUACCCGACUUUUGAAAGAAAUGAAAGGAUGUAAAGUAUCCUUGAAAGAUUUUAAGGAAAGGUAAAGGUAAGGUAUAGUAAGUGCAAGUUUCGAAUGAUCGUAAAUUUAUUAUGUGUUCGUGUAUGCCUAUAUAUAUAUGUGUGUAUACAUAUAAAUUAUGUGUAAAGUCUUUUUCAAAACCUUGUUAUUACUUCCGGAUUCUUACUGAGUCUUUUUAAAGGCUCAUAUAGAUGUUAUCUUGGUGUAGGUAACGCAUGAUCCGAAUCCGAGGAGCAAAGUUGAACCAAGUUCGGGGAAAGCCGAGGGAUCGAGCCGUAUGGAAUAUAUGUGGAUUUUAAUAAACUUCCGUUUUGGUACUUGAAUCUUCUUAGUGGAUUGUAAUCCGUAAUACUUGAAUAUUUUAUCGGGAAACCAGUUUAACCCUUAUGUAUAAUGUAAUGUUUUCCGACUAUUCUUGUUAUUUUCUAAUGUUGAUUUCUUAAGAGCUCCACCACAACCCGAUCCAUUAUUUAAAGUAAGAAAACGUUUAAAGAAAAAUGUGGCACCGAAUAAAGAGAGAAUGUUUUUGACUAAGUAUAUGAAGUGUUCGACUUCAAAGGUUUUUCAAGAAAAGUUUUUAUCGAACAAAAAUUGAAGCGAAACACUUCAAGUAUUUUCAAAACUAGAGAAAACUUUACCACCUUUCUCUAGAACUUUGUUUCGAAAAACAAAACCGUUUUUUUCAAAAGGUCUUCCGCUGCAACUUAAUAGAAAAACCUUUAUACCAUUUUCCGGUAUAGAGUGUAAAGUAAACGGGGUGCUACAAUCACUAUUCCGAUUCCAUUUCGGAUUCGGAUUAAACUACAGAUCAUAAUCACCAUCAAUUGCAUUAUAUUUCUCUCACUAAGUUCGUAUAUCCUAGCCGAAGAGCCCUUCAUAUCCGCGUCUAUUAUCCAUAGCAAUCAACCCCACAAAAGAAUCGGUCGGUGUGGUUGCAAAAUCGAGCACACACUAUUUCAUUGGAGUUGUGGCGAUAUCGGUGUAGUUCAAAGCGUCCAAUGUGCGGAAAGCAGAAACAAGAUUGUGCUUCAUUCGACAAGGGUUACUGCAGACUUAAAAUCCUCGCGGUCUCAUUGUAACCUGCAAAAAAACGUCGUAUGGCAUCAAAAAUAUUACAAGAAUAAAAAUAAAUCUUGCACAUACUAAAAAUCGGAGAAAUAGGUGAAAACGCUUGUGAAUAAGCAGGGGAAGAGAGAUUAAAAGUGUUUCGGCAGUUCUUGGAAAAACAAUUCUGCCUCUGCAUGCCACCACAACCAACAAAUAGAACGCCAAACUUCCUUGGAAUUAUUCUUCUAACUAAUUAUAUGUACAUGUUAAUAGUAUUUUUUUAUAUAUAAACUACACAUUUCAUACUCUAAAUAUGCACAUACACUGCACACACAACACCUAGAUUUGAGUGUGAAGAAUGUUUGAAUUUAUUCGAAAGAAUCCACUUUGAGAUGGUCAUUGAAUAUGCACAUGCAGAGAUUUUGUUCCAGAUGAUGGAGCAUCCAUUCCAUAAGCAAAACGUGAUCCGAGAUCCAACAAAGCAGAAGCUGGGCCCCACUUUGAUAAUGAGACUGCAGAAGAGUCGCACAAGAUCGAUGACUAGUAGAACUCUCCGCCACACUUUUGCUGUCACCUUUAUAAUCGAACACUUUCACUUUCCGAGAAUUUCAAUUUGAGAAGAAUCUCCUAGGAAAGCGAUACCAGUUAAACUUAAAAGUGCCUUUAAUUUGUCGCUGAAACUUUUCCUCAGUCAAAAUCUACUAUACACAAAUUUUCAAUCUUUUGUGCUUUAAUCGAACCCCUCCUAGUAAAAACUUGUAAAUUCAUGUGUGCCGAUCCUUGCUGUCACAUUAGAUGAAGAAUAGGGGCUCUGUGUAACACCCCGCAUUUUCGGUAAAAUAAUAUUAUGUUAUUUUACCACCUUUAUGUGCAUAUUUGUGAAAUUUGAAUUUAUAAUAAUUCUUGCAUGAUUAGUAUUUACGUGAAUUAGGUAAUUAUGUGAUGAUUAUGUGAAUUAUGUGAUUAUGUGAAUUAUGUGCUUAGGAAAUAUUUCGAAAUAGUAUGUCGAAAUAAAUUAUUUUUCAUAAACUAGGAUUUUAUUCUUGCAUGUAAUUUAAAUGAGCAUUUCAUCAUAUUUAUGCAUGCACAAAAUUUUAGAAAAUAAAUUUUUAUCAUGCAUUUUAGGAUUUUUAAUUAAUGUAGAAAAUUUGAAAAUCCUCCCCACAUUUCUUGAAUUUUCGGACACCUCACACACACACACAUGAUUUUUAAAUUGCAUAUUUAUUAGUAUUAAACAUGCAUUAGUGUGGUUGUACUUUGAGCAUAGAAAGAAAUACCCAAGCCUAGCCCCCUACUUUAUAGACUAGGCAUGCUUUUCACUCCACUUUAAGUAAGACCAAAGGUCUUUCUUCUUCUCCCUUCCUUCUUCAUUUCGGCAGCCACAACCCCCACCACCAUAGCCACCACCUUCUCAAGCUUGAACCACCCAAGAACCACCACCACUCCUAUUUUCUAAAAUUGCAAAAUCACCCCCAACCCACCUAAAGAUUUAAUUGCCAAGAAGCCCCUCCUCAAUACUUACCCAUUAAGGUUGCAAGCCUCCCCACUCUAUAAAUAGAACCCAUUACCAAGUGUUUUCUCAUCUCCCCACUACAAUCCUAAGAAAUCUCUCUUCUCUUCUUUCUUCUUCCAUUUUCGAAAUUAGUAGUAGAAGAAGCUCAAAAUAUUUUCUUCAAGAGAUUCUUGAAUUUGAAUGUAAGAGCUUCAUCUCCUCUUUUAUUCUAAAAUUUCCUCUUCCUUCUUCAUAUUGGUUUGUAAUCUAACUCUUAAUCUCUUCUUGUAUUAGAGAGAAAAGAGCUAACAAAUCCUUCCCCUAAAGAGUAUAGGUGAGAAUUCUUGAAUUCUUGCUCAAACCUACAACACCACUAGUAUUUUCGUAUUUUAUGUAUUUUUAUGUGUUUUCAUUGUUGAUUCUUGCAUAUUAUGUGAUUAUAUGUUUUAGAUGAUGAUUGCAUGUUAGUGUUUUGAAAAGAUAGCUUUAUUUUUGAAACUUUGUGAUUUUUUCGAAAAUUGGGGAAAAAUGUUUUAAAUGGCUUAUUUGGCUUAAUUAGUGCCUUGCAUGUGUUGAUCUAGUGUUUGAUUGUUGAUUUUGAAAAGAAAAUGAAUUUUUGGCCUAGCCAUGAAACUUUCGAAUUUUUGGGGAAAAAUGUUUAAAUUUCUUUAUUUGGCUUAAUUAGUGCCUUGCAUGUGUUAAUCUAGUGUUUGAUUGUUGAUCUUGAAAAGAAAAUGAAUUUUUGACUUCACUAAGGAACUUCGAAUUUUUGAGGUAAAAUGCUUAAAAUUGCUUAUGUGGUUUAUUUUGUGUUUUGCAUGUGUUGAUCUUGUGUUGAUUGUUGUUUUAAGGCCUUGCAUGUUAAGGUUGGUGAUUGAGUGUCGAUCCAAGGUCUUGCAUGUUAAGAUCUAGUGAUUGAUGGUUGAUCUAAAGUCUUGCAUGUUAAGAUCUAGUGUUUUCUAUGAAAAAUGGUUAAGAACUAAGAAUUUGUGCUAAUUUGAUUUAAAAUACUCUUGCAUGUGAAGAUCUAGUGUAUUUGCUUGAAUAAAUGUAAAGAUGGAAGUCUUGAAUUUUAUUCUUGUAAAAUGCUAGAUCUAGUGAACUUUGAUGUUAGAUUGUUUUUGCAUGUUAAGAUUUCGGUUAUUUCUAUGUUUUUAUGACUAAAUGAUUUUGGUGAAACUUUAUGUGUAUUUUCUAUGUGCUCCUAUGUGCUCUUGCUUGCUUAUGUGAAUCAUUGGGUGUGAGGAUGAGAGAAAGGUAAGUAGAAAGGGUGCAUGGGUGGGUGCAUUAAGUGUCAUGAAUUUAAAAAAAAAAGAUAAAACUAUGUUGGAAAGUCUUUCGAGGUUACGGUAAAUUUCUCGGGUACGACGAGCCUGGUACCGUAGGGCCUAGGGGUGGUUUGAUCCCACGUAGUUAGACAUGGUUCGAAAUAUAUGGGGUUAUUUACCGGUAACUUAGAUUGACUCUUCCGAGGGAUUCCCGACAAUUUUUCAUGUCAUGCAUGUUGCAUUAUGGUGUUGAUGAUAUAGGGGGGGAAAUCUCACUCUAUGGUCUUGGGACCGUAGGGUUAUAAAGGUGGGAAAUUCCUUCUAUAAUCUUCAAUACGUGUCAUGGCAUAGGGUUAUAAAGGUGGGAAUUAUCUCACUCUAUGCGUGUGGCAAUUAUGUGAAUGAAGAACGCCGACGAAAAAGGGAAGUAUAUGAUUGUUUUACUUCAUGUUGUAUGUUCAUGUAUAAGAUAUAUGUACGUAUAUAUAUAUAUAUAUAUAUAGAUAUAUGUAUGCCCUAUGUGCUAUGUGUAUUCGAUAUUACUUCAAGAUUCUCAUUGAGUCCUCAAAGACUCAUAUAGGUGUUGUAUGUUUGUAGGUAUACCCGAUUUAGGGCCCGAGGAGUGAAGUUGAGAAUCGAGCUCGAGAAUCGGAAGGAGAUCGUAUGGAGGGGUUGUGGAUAGUGUUGGCUCUUAAUCUAGUUAUGUGGUUUUAUUUGUAUAAUAUGCUUAUAAAAACUUUUGAUACGGUUUUAGGUAUUUUCUACCGUUCGCUUCCUCCGAUCGGUGGAAAUUAUUAAAAGGCGAUAUGCGUAAUAGUAAUUAGGAUUACCCUAUUUCGGAUAAUUAAUUGGUAAUCCGUAGCCUUUUGUAAGCGAAAGUAAAUUUUCACUAUUUAUAUGUAUGCAUGCUUCCGGCUAGUAAUUUCUUCGUAUUUUGUCUCCAUGUUCUAAAAUUAUUUUCAUAUAGAUUUUCAGCUUAGAAAAUCAUGAAAUUUUAGGAGUCUCUGCAUCUCUCUGUUCUCAUCAUAUUGAUAGGUCUUUUGCAUGAUUUGGGUAAGUAUUUAUUUAGUUAUGAUUUGUUUCUCACCACUGCAUCGAAACAGGGUCAUUCGGGUGUUUUCUGGUAUAACUAGGGUUUUACUCACUCAAAUGCCUUGUUUCCACUUGGAAAAUGUUUUACACUUACCUUUCUGCCAGUGAGGAAUUUAUUAUGAAUUUUCAAAACUCCCUCCCCUGUUCUGGAUUUUUAAACCGAGUGACAGUGCCAUUUUAUUUAUUUCUCCUAAAUGGCCAUGCAUCUUUCAAAACUGUUUUAACUGAGUGAUCUAGACCCGUGUUAGAUGGUAUGGUAUAAUUUUGGGGUUAUUUGCAUGAGUAGUAUAAGAGGAAUUAGUUUUUAAAGCUUCUGCAUUGAAUCUGUCCGCAUUUGCAUUAAGUUCAUCAUGCCUAGGUAAUUUCUAGUAAUGCAUUUAGCAUGCUUUUGUGUUAAAUAUUUGAUUAGGGUUUAGCAAGCUGUGCCCUCUCUCCCUCUGAUUUAGAAAGAAAAAUUUUUACGUAAAUUUUAUAUCCACAAAAAAUCAUGUUUUCAAAAGUCUUCCGCUGAGAUUACAUAUAAUAAGGGUAGUCGAGAGAGGGGUGUCACAGCAGACGUGGUAUCAGAGCAACGAUCCCGGAAACCUCCAUACGACCUAAUGAUCUUCACGAUUCUCAAAGCACGACUCCAACUGAACACUCGGGCAGGUAUAUGUUUUAUGUGAAUUUUAUGUGAAUUUUAUGUGAAUUUUAUGGCUAAUGUGAAUUGUUUGUAUAUGUUUAAGUGGAGCAAGAACUCGAGCUCAAAAUGCCGCUAACGAUCCUCACAAUCAAUCUCGUACCAUCCAAGACCUCACCGCCCUCGUCCGAGAACAAAAUGAACAAAUCAACCGCCUUGUUAACCUUCAAAACCGAAAUCCUCCUCCUCCUCCCCAACCUAGAAAUACAGCCCCACAAGCCACCUACGAGCGAUUUUUGAAAAUGCAUCCUACCGAAUUCCACGGCGGCCCUAGUCCAACUGUUGCCGAAGAAUGGAUCAAAUCCCUCGAAGUUAUUUUCGAGUACAUGGUGAUGAACGACAGCGACCGAAUCCAUUGCGCACUAUUCUUAUUGAAAAACGAAGCCCGAAAUUGGUGGGAAGGCGCAAAGAGUGGAAUCGAUCUAGCAAAUACCACUUGGGAAGCUUUCAAAGUUCUUUUCUUCGAAAAGUACUUUUCCAAGAAUGUUCGAGCACAAAAGCUUAAGGAGUUUCUCGAACUCAAACAAGGAAACCUAACCGAUGCCGAAUUCCCACGCCGUUUCGAGCAAGGAAGCCUCUACGCACCUUUCAUAUCCAUAGACGACACCGAAAAGAUGAAUCACUACCUAAGAGGCCUCAACCCGAUAAUCAAGCGCGACGUUCGACUAACCUCUGCCUCUACUUUCCGCGGAGUAGUGGACAAAGCCUUGGAAGCGGAACAAGACGAGAUGGAAAUACGACAAUGGAGACCUCCUCAUGAUGCCUCUUCUCGACCAUGGAAGAAACCGAACCUCAACAACGCCAAAGGAAAGCAACCGAUCAACCGAGCAACCGUGACCCCGAGCAACAAGCCCUUUUUCCCCAAAUGCAAGCGAGAACACUCAGGCGAUUGUGUUGCCGGAACCAACCACUGUUUUCGAUGCAAGAAGCCCGGACACAUGGUCCGAGACUGCCCUAUCGCCCCGAGACAAGUGCCGGGACGAGUAUUCACCAUGACAAGAGACCAAGCCGAAGCUGACCCGUCAAUGAUCGCAGGUACCGUUAAUGUGUAUAAUAAUUUUGUGUAUGCCCUCAUCGACUCCGGAUCAACUCACUCAUUCAUCUCAUGUACCCUCGUUGCCGAACUCCGCCUAGUCCGUAGCCAAGCCGAUGCCUUGUUUAGCAUACUUAUUCCUUCCGGUGAUGAACUUAAAUCAAAUUUCAUCAUCAAAGAUUGCCCUAUUCAGAUUCAUAACCAAACCCUAGCCUCCGAUCUGAUCAUCCUACCCAUUAAACAUUUCGAAAUAAUCCUCGGAAUGGAUUGGUUAUCAAAAUUCGACGCCCAAAUCAAUUGCGCCCACAAAACCGUUCGUUUCUCCUUACCGAAUGGAAGUUUUCUCGAAUUCCGAAGCUCGUACAAUCCGUCGAUUCCUAUCAUUUCCGCCAUCAAAGCGAGCAAACUUAUUCAAAAAGGACAUCUAUGUCAUUUGGUCGACAUAGUGGAAGCUCUCAACGAAGAUAAAACCGACAUUUCCAAAGUGCCAACCGUUUGCGAUUUUCCCGAUGUCUUUCCCGAAGAUCUCCCCGGUCUUCCGCCCGAUCGUGAAAUCGAAUUUGAAAUUAAUUUGAUCCCCGGAUCCGCUCCUAUCUCGAAGGCACCUUAUCGCAUGGCGCCGUUAGAGCUAAAGGAACUCAAGGACCAAAUUCAAGAUCUUAUCGACAAGAAGUUCAUCCGCCCUAGUUUUUCCCCAUGGGGUGCUCCGGUACUCUUCGUGAAAAAGAAAGACGGAAGCCUCCGAAUGUGUAUCGACUACCGAGAACUCAACAAGGUCACCGUAAAAAACAAGUAUCCAUUGCCACGAAUUGACGACCUUUUCGAUCAACUUCAAGGCUCCAUGGUCUAUUCCAAAAUCGACCUUCGUUCCGGAUAUCAUCAAUUGAAGAUCAAGAAGGAAGAUAUUCCGAAAACCGCGUUUCGGACUCGCUACGGCCAUUACGAAUUUGUAGUGAUGUUGUUUGGUCUAACCAACGCCCCCGCCGCUUUCAUGGAUCUCAUGAAUCGAGUUUUUCGCAAAUAUCUCGAUCAAUUUGUGAUCGUAUUCAUCGACGAUAUCUUGGUGUAUUCAAGAAAUGAUGAAGAACAUCGGAAUCGUUUGGAAAUGGUGCUCCAAACCCUCCGAGAGAACCAACUCUAUGCGAAGUUUUCCAAAUGUGAGUUUUGGUUAAGACAAGUCCACUUUCUUGGUCACGUAAUUUCCAAGGAAGGCAUAGCCGUCGAUCCAAGCAAAAUUGAAGCCGUUUGUAAUUGGUCAAUUCCUCGUAAUGUCGGAGAAAUCCGAAGUUUCCUCGGCCUCGCAGGCUACUACCGACGGUUCGUUCCGAACUUUUCCAAGAUAGCCGCUCCACUCUCUCGUUUGACCCGAAAGGAAGUCAAGUAUCAAUGGACUCCCGAAUGCGAGUCUAGUUUCCAAGAACUCAAGAAGCGAUUAACCUCAGCACCAAUCCUCGCUCUACCGGAUAAAACCGGAAACUAUGUGGUCUAUAGUGACGCCUCCAAGCACGGGCUCGGAGCCGUCCUAAUGCAAAACGGGAAUGUAAUUGCCUAUGCCUCUAGACAAUUAAAACACUACGAGAAGAAUUACCCGACGCACGACUUGGAACUCGCGGCAGUCGUGUUCGCCCUCAAAAUUUGGAGACAUUACCUUUACGGCAAAAAAUGUUCGAUCUUCACCGACCACAAAAGUCUCAAGUACUUCUUUACUCAAAAAGAACUCAAUAUGAGGCAAAGAAGAUGGCUUGAAUUAGUCAAGGACUAUGAUUGCGAAAUCCUUUACCAUCCCGGUAAAGCCAACGUUGUCGCCGACGCCCUUAGCCGAAAAUCCAUGUCCGCCUUGAUCAUUAAACCGCCGCUCGAAUCAACUAUCAAGUCCGCUCAAGACCAUGAUGAUCAACUUGUCAAAAUCCGAGAAGGCUUAGCAACCGGUCAAAGUUCAAAUUUCUCAAUAACCGACGGCAAAAUCUUGAAAUUUCAAGGGAGAAUUUGCAUUCCGGCGAACAAAGAGAUCAAAGGAUUAAUUCUCGACGAAGCUCACAAAACGCCCUACUCUUGCCAUCCGGGUGAAACCAAAAUGUAUCAAGACUUGAAGAAGUUGUACUGGUGGCCAGGCAUGAAGAAGGAUAUAGCCAAAUACGUAUCCGAAUGCCUAAUUUGUCAACAAAUCAAAACCGAACACCAAAGGCCCGGUGGACUUCUACAAUCCAACCUUAUUCCCGAAUGGAAAUGGGAAAGAGUAACGAUGGACUUUGUUCAAGGUUUCCCGAAGACUCUUAAAGGAUCCGAUUCAAUAUGGGUGAUAGUCGAUCGCCUAACUAAGUCCGCACACUUCUUACCGGUCAAGACCACUUUUAGUCUCGAAAAUCUAGCCGAACUUUAUAUCGGAGAAAUCGUCCGACUCCAUGGCGUUCCGAUAUCAAUCAUCUCCGACCGAGAUCCCCGAUUCACUUCCAAAUUUUGGAAAAGAUUGCACGAAACGAUGGGAACCCGUCUAGCCUUUAGCACGGCAUACCAUCCCCAAACCGACGGACAAUCGGAAAGGACAAUCAAGACCCUCGAAGACAUGCUUCGAGCAUGUAUAAUGGAUUUUGGUGGUAAUUGGGAAAGCCGUCUACCUCUCAUCGAAUUUUCGUACAACAAUAGCUUCCAAUCUUCGAUCGGAAUGGCACCUUACGAAGCCUUGUACGGAAGGAAAUGCCGUUCUCCAAUCCAUUGGGACGAAGUAGGAGAGCGAAGCUUAUUAGGACCCGAGCUAGUCCAACACACCGUCGACAUAAUCAAGAAUAUCCGAGAGAAAAUGAGAACCGCCCAAGAUCGCCAACAAAAGUACGCGAAUAAAAGAAGGCGAGAUUUGGAAUUCCAAGCCGGUGACCACGUAUUCUUGAAAGUCGCUCCACUCAAAGGAAUCAUGCGAUUUAAAAAGAAAAAUUUUUACGUAAAUUUUAUAUCCACAAAAAAUCAUGUUUUCAAAAGUCUUCCGCUGAGAUUACAUAUAAUAAGGGUAAUCGAGAGAGGGGUGUCACACUCUGUUUUGGCUCCGGCCACACACGAGGGUGCAUCAACGAAUAGCGGGGGUAAAGUCGUAAUUGGAGCUGAUCAUUGGAGGUGCUGCUGCUUCAAAUACUGAAUGACGAGAUAAUCUAUAACGUAAUUAUCUCGGGGGUCAAGUCGUAGUUGGAGUUCAAUCUUCUUUCUGGUGGUGAUAACUCCACAGUCUCCUUCAACUUGUGUUUCAUUGGCAAUACUGAAGUGGAUGAUAAUCGUAGCUGUCGGAAGCUGAAAUAUGUCUUCAUGAACUAUCCUUUAAUUUGAUUUUAAAUCUUUUAUGUGACCAAAUCAAGAAUGUUUGGAUUUAGGCAUUUAGCCAAAAAGAAUCCACAAGGAUAGUAUUUUACAAUUACUUGAUGAGAGUAUUUAUAAUAAAAUACACAUUUCAUACUCCAGAUAUGCACAUAAACUGCAAAUGAAAGAAAUGCACACACAUUUCGCUCACUUUCUGAAAUGCAGCUGCACUUUCUGCUAGAUCCAAUGCUUGAAGAUGGUCAUGCAUAAGGAGCUCCAACAUCAAAUUGUGGCAAACCGAUAAAGAAUUAUCAAGAGGAAAAAAAAAAAAAAAAAAAAAAAAAAACGGAAUUAUUUUCAUUAGUGUGGAUCUUUCUAACAUUUUACUCAAGACAAAUGAUUCAACAAAUUAUUUUCGAGAUUAUCGACUUUUGGCUUUAACAGUUGAACCAAAACGGAACACACUGAGAUAUAAGAAUAAAAUUGAACAAAUAAGUGAAUACACAAUGGUUGGGCAUUUCUUGGAACAUCAAGCAGUCUAUCUCUUCAUGUCAUUACGACCCACGAAUAUCUUCGUGAAUUUCAGGUUCUACAGUCUUUGACAAAUCGCCAAGAAUAUUAUUUAAAUUCCUAAACAGAGCAAAAGCUCGUAUGAGAAUCUAGAUCAAGUUAAUAAAUGAUAAUGGAUUAAGAAUGUAAUAACAAAUAAAGGUACUAAUCAUGGAAAUUUAUAGCAAGACCUUGAGAGAGCAACAACGUCAGCAUUUGUUUUUACAUUUCCCACCCCAAUUCGUAGAUACGGCGUAUAAAAGCGAUAUGAAACAAUUACUAAAAGUAACUCUUGUAUAAAACUAAAACAAAAGUUUGAAGAAGAAUGAAGAACCAUUAUGGAUUGUUGAUCUUUAUGUAUUUAUGUAUUUCACAAACGUGGAAUCAUUACAUUUGGCAAGUCGGUCCUUGGUGCUCCUAUAUACGACCUCAAAGUAGCAUACUUAUUCAUUGGCUGACCUUUCUAUAUUCACAAGGUCCACUUUAAAUUCUCUACCCCACAGAAUCAUCUUGCCAUAACCAUCCACUUUAAAUUGAAAUAAUCGAGAAAAAACAGAAACUCUCCCUCAAAAACGUGUACCGAUGUGCAUCUACGUUAACAAGACACACGUGCACGAGAGACAACUUCCAAAUGUGCGAAAAACAACCUAAGAGAAUACAUUAACUAGAUUAUGUUUCUUUAUGUAGUUCGUUACGAAUAUCCUUAGAUAGAGUUAGCGAUUUAUUCGGUUUUCCUUUUACUAUUAGUCAUUAGAUUAGCUGCAGGAAAUGACAGCAAACUGCAUCACUAUGACCAAAGAACCGCCCAAAUCACACCUGAGCUUCUUAUAUAAUUAAAUUCAUCGUAAGUUAAUCGAGAAAUCGGGGGUUUUGAGUUUCUCAAUUAGCUCUGAUUUUUCUGUUGUUAAAUCUUCCCAAUUUUGAAAAUGAUUUCUUGAGUAAUCCUUUCACUUUGAUUGAAAAUGAAUAAAUAAUAAAUAAACAUACAGUUAGUAAAACUUAAUAAAUGCGAUCCAAAUGAUUAAAAAUUAAAAACCACCAUUAGUUCUCUGGAUGCAGUUUGACCCCUCACAUUUUAAUAUGUUUCAAUUUCAUCGUUUAAUUUAUUUAUUUCAAUUUGAACCCAAAUUUCACAAAUUAUUCAAUUUUGACCCAAACACAAUUUUGAGUACAAUUUCGCCCGUCGCCGCCGUUGACUGGUGGUCUCCACCGUUGAAACUUUUUUUUUUCUUUCUGAUUUUUCCGCCGGUUUCCGGUGUUGACAUUUUCAAUAUUUUUUUUUCGUUAACAUCCUUUUGCCCCCUUUUAAACAGCAAUAUUGUUGUGGUUGAGAGUAAUAUUAACUAUAUUACUGUUAAAUACAGUAAUAUUAACUAUACUACAGUUUAACACAGUAAUAUUGUUUUUUUUUUUUUUUGGGCCAAAAUAUUUUUAUUCCAUUUAAUACUUUUGAAAGUACAAGGGGCCUCGUUAAAAACCUUGUGGGCUUACACAAGGAAAAGAGUACCCCUAUAAACGGGAAGGAAUAAAAACGGGACGGGGAAAGUCCUAUACUAUCAAUUACAAAAAUGCCCGAAAAAAGGGCUAAAAGGAAAAAAGAAAAGACUACACUACAGAACAAGACUACAUUCCGAGAAUUGCUAAAAGGCCCCCAGAUUGGGGUGAAAGUGUAAAUACACUGAAAAGCUGCUCCAAAACAGUUUCCUCUUGGCAUCAGAUCCAAUAAUUGCAUCAAAGUCCCAGGAUGGAGGUAAUUAUGCAAAAUCCAGAAAUAGGAACUCCAAAAAGUCCAAGCCUUACAGUAGUGCAUCUUCAUCCUGGACGGAAGGUAUGUACACCCAACUUGUCUCCCAAAUAAGCUGCCUUGACCUCAAAAGGUAAUGAAGACCCGGAAAAAUAUUGUAGUGUUGAUUUGUGAGUAUACGCCCAAUUGGCAAGACGAUCAGCCACUGUAUUCUUUUGACGAACAACAUGCUGAAAACUAUGCGACGAAGCCACCUCCUGCAUACACUGACGAAGAACAAACUCAUUUGAGUUAAUAUGUUUUCCAGCUUUGCCCCUGCCCGCCACAUCAUCACUUGGUCAAGGCACUCAACAAUUUUUUUUUUUUUUCGUUUUUCCGUUUUUUUUUCUUCUUUUAUGUACCAGUUUUCUUAAUCGACUAUGCUUCAUAGUCGAUUAAGGAAAUUCUUUAAUAUUUUUUUUUUUAAUUUUUUUUUCUAUAUCAGUAUAUUAUUCAAUUAUGAUAAAGCAUGGUCGAUCAAAUGUCUGCUAUUAAAAAUAACAAAUCAAAACUGCAAAAAAAUGCAAAAUCAACUAUAUAUUACAAAAAAACAAAAAAUAUAAGACCAUUAUAAUUGAUUUAUACAAUUGGAAUCAAUAAGAAAAAAAACGAAAAAAAAAGGAAAAUUGGAAUCGAACUUUAAUCGACUACCAGAGCAUAGUCGAUUAAGAAUCUGCUACUAAAAAUAACAAAUCACAACUGCAAACAAAUGCAAAAUCAACUAUAUAUUACAAAAACAAAAAAUAUACAAACAUUAUAAUUGAUUUAUACAAUUGGAAUCAAUAAACGAAAAAUCCAAAGAAAAAAAAAAAAAUUGGAGUCGAUCAACCUUAAUCGACUACCAGAACAUAGUCGAUUAGCUUAAUCGACUAUGAAUAUGUACAUAGUCGAUUAAGAUUUCAGCCUGCAUGAGAUUCUCUACACGCGCCGUUAUCCGCCCAAUCCACCAAAAAACCCUAAAUCUGCCUCCACAUCGUCACCACACCGCUGCCACAAUACACUAUUCAACCAAUCCCUAACAAUAAUAAAAUAAAUAGAUUAAAUAAUUCAUUAAAAAAAACACAAAUUAGCAUUUCAAUGUCCACAAAAAAAAAAAAAAAAAAAAAAAAAACGAUUCAAGUUAUUUGUCAAAACCAACAUCAAAAAAUAAGUAAUAAAAACAAAAAGAAAAAAAAAAAGCAAAUACCUUCACCAACAUCAAUUACAACAGUGAUUUUCUCAUGCCUCAUCCUCAUAGCCUUCUAACGACGAGCGCCAGUCAUCAUCUUCAACGUCGUCGGUGGAAACCACCGCCGCGAACUACAGAUCCAUCACCACCCUUCAUGCGGCGGCGGGAGGCGAUGACAAACACUCUCCACCACGACCACCACCACCACCACCAUCGGUCGACGUCUUCCUUUUCUUCCGAAUUUCAGUCGAGAAGAGAAGAGAGAAGAGAGAAGACGAGAAGACAGAAGAGAGAAGACGAGAAGACGAGAAAAGAAAAAGAGAACGACAAAUGAAAUGGUUAGGGUUUUGAAGAGAUUUAAUAUUAAUAAGGGUGGUUUGGGAAUUAUUAAAAUAAUAUUUGGGUAGGAUAUUAGCUACGGGGGUUUUCUCUAAUUAUUUUUGGGAGGGGGUGUUUCCUUAACUCAUUUUCCUAGAUGAGGGGGUUCUUGCUAAUUAGCCCAAUAUUAAUAUGUUGACUGUUCAACAAAGGUAAAUAUAGUAAAAAGCCAAAAAAAUAAUAUUACUGUCAUCCACGGUAAUAUUACUGUAACAACAGUAAUAUUACUGUCCAACACAAUAAUAUUAUUGUGUUGAAAAUAAUAUUAUUAUGUUACUCCGUCAACAACUCAAACAAAACAAAAAAUAAAAAUAAAAUAAAAUAAUAUUGAUGUGGUUGACAGUAAUAUUAUUAUUUUUACACUUAUUUUACUGUCAACGACAGUAAUAUAAUUAUGUUGACUUGUCAACAAAUAAAAUAAAAGGCCCAAAAAAAUAAUAAUAUUAUCGCGGUCUCUAGUUGUACCGUCAACGACAGUACAAUUACAUAAAUAUACUGUCAAUGACAGUACGAUUACGUUAAUGUACUGUCAGGGACUGUAUGAUUACUAUUAAUGAUAGUACAAUUACGGUCAACAUUUAGCGGCGGGGGUAAAAAACGGAUAACAAUUUUAGGGAAAAAACAUCACUAAAAACAAGUCAAUGCUGGAUACAGUCGACGGAAAAAAAAUAAAUAAAUAAAAUAAAAAACACCGAAAAAAUCAACGCCGGAGACUGGCGGUCAAUGCCGGAAACCGGAGGCAAAAAACAGACCAGAAAAAAAAAAUCGAAAAAGUCAACGCCGGAAACCAGCUGCAAAAAAAUAAUUCUGAAAAAAAAAAAGUUAAAAAAAGAGGAAAAAUUGGAUUUCUGUGGUCAAAGUUGAUUAAAUUGGGGUUACAAUUAAGAAUUGUGUGUAACGGGUUGAUGGUAAUUUUGUCAUAUACAUUAAUUUUUCCUUUAUUUAUAAUACAUAUGUAACAACAAAUUCUUAUAUGCGAUAUAAACAAACAAGAAAAAAUUGAACAAAGAUAAUUUUUAUUGAAUUAAAAUAAAUAAAUUGCGGGUUACAAUCUCUAUUUUAAUCCUCUUAUUCUUUUCUAUAGAACAAUAUAUAGUUGACUUGAAUUUUCGGAGUCGGGUCGUUGACUUGAUCUUCUCCGGAUUUGAUUUUGGAUUUGAAUAACGUUUUCCAAUGGUCUCGCGACUUGAAUGUCAGAUCGAACGUUGAACUUUGACUAAAUUUGACUUGAAAAUCUUGAAAUUGUUGAUGGAUUUGGCCCUUCAAUCUUCCACUGAUCUUGACUUGAAUUGAUUAACGUUAAUCCGAAGGUUUAGCACCGUUAUCUCGGAUCGAACGCUGGAUUUGAUGAAGAACGCCUUGAAUUUUCUCAAGAACACCUCAAAUUUGACGAAGAACACUUUGAAUGUAGAGAGAGAAUCUCACCUCCUACAAAUUCUUCUUCCUUACUUCUUGAAUUGUAGAGAUAGUUUUCUCCUAUGGUUUUUCUUCUUCUUGAGUUGUGUUUGAAUUGUGAAGGGAGGGUCCCUAUUUAUAGUGGUAGAACAAGAGUCCUUGAUGGGCCUUCUUGAUGACAUGGCGCGAUUUGAUUGGCCUGAUUUAAAUUGAUAUUUAUCUCUUGUAACUUGAAAGAGAAGAAAUAAUUCCAUGGGCCAAUAGUUAAUUGAUAUUUAUCUCUUUAUAACUUGGGGGAGAAGAAAUAAUCCUAUUGGUCAAUAUAUAUAUUUAAAAUCAAUUAUCUAUUUUAAUUAGGAAUUUAUUUAAAUUUCUAAUAUUAAAAUAGAAAACAUAUAAUUGAUAUUUAAUAUAUAUAUAUAUAUAUAAAAGUUUAUAUGCAUAAUUACAUAUUUGCCACUUGUGAAAAAAAUCACUCGGCUCUAUGGAAAUUAGCAAUUUAAUUGCUUGAAAAUUCGUUCGUCUACAAAUGCCCCCUCAAGACUUGUUCACGAACAAUGCGUCUUGAAGUGAAUAAGUUACGAUAAUAUUGGCUUUCAUCGGUAUAUAUAUAAAAAAACAUUAGUUCGAUUCUUGUCCAGGCUAAUUGAUGAUAUAAACCGAUAAAAUUUUGAGUUCAAUCUUUGUUUAAUGAAUUUGGCCCAACUAUUCCUCAAACUUCAAACUUGAAUUGCACGUGAGACAGACGUGCAUAAUUCUUCUCAAACAAGUAUUAAACUUGGUUAUAUAAUUUCUAUAGGUUAGAGCAGGGCCCACAUAAAAAUCAGAUUUUGAAUGCAACUUCAAUUGCAACUCGAUUUCUGUGCGAGGCAGGAGAGUCUGUCUCUACUUGGAGUCUCUCUCUUCUUGGAAUCGUAAUUUCCAAUCAGAUGGUAACUAGCAAUCCACGUUUGUGAUUCUUUCGCGAUUGGCAGUUCAAAAGUCUAAUUCACAUUGGACUAUUUACUUAACGCCUAUAAAAAUAGAGAGACCCCCGAUUUUUUUUCACAACUUCACCACAACAAUAAUCGCCGAAGAUAUUCUCUUGCCCGCUACUGCGUUCUUCUUCCCUUUUCCUUAUUUAUUCUCCCUUUUUGCUCGACUCCAGGUUUGUUCUGUAUAAUAGCUUUGUGCGUAACCAAUUUCUAUGAGCAUGCAUGCCAUGAGUUUGGUAGAUUGAUAAAGAGAGAUUAUUUCUUUUAUUUCAACAUUAAUAACCGGUUUGCUUGAUCUUUGCUUUAAAUUCGGGUUUUGCUAGUUCGUUUUGAUCGAUUCCAAGUCAGUUCCACCCUUCAAAACUAGGCCUAAUCCAUCUUUUGAUCACGUCACCAUGUGUUUGAUAAUUUGAGGAAGAGAAAUUGCUCCUUUUAUUUCAAAUAGGGAUUGACUCUUUUGAUCUUUUCUUCAAAUUUGAAAUUUGCUAGCUUCUUUUGCUUGAUUGAUUCUAAUCAGUUUCAUCGAUCAAAACUAUCCCUUUUUUUUGUUUUUUUUUUUUUUAGCAUGCUCUUGAUUCCUUUCUUUACUUACUGACCCCCCACCCCCCCCCCCUUUUUUGUUUAAGUUUUGCCACUCGAGAGGUUUGGGACGAAAAAAACAAAAUGAUUUUAGCCCGGGUUUCCUGCCCCCGCUCUUUUUUUUUUUUUUUUUUUUUUGGCANNNNNNNNNNNNNNNNNNNNNNNNNNNNNNNNNNNNNNNNNNNNNNNNNNNNNNNNNNNNNNNNNNNNNNNNNNNNNNNNNNNNNNNNNNNNNNNNNNNNNCUUGACGAUCGUUACCAACCAAACGACCAAGGAACCAUCUUGACGAUUUAUGCCCCCUUAUCGGUUCUUACGCAAAGCAAUGGCCACGUCUCACGACUCCAAAUCGCAUGUCCGUUUGGUCCCAUUAGCAUCCUCAUAAUAAAUACGAGUACGUCUACAGUUUGCGAGCAUCAAAUCAUAAACCCGACAGAUCCUCGCUUCCGGAAGAAUCAAGCGGUCCAAGCCUUCUGCCGACUUUGGGUGGCAACAUGGUGAAGGAAAAAGUCAAGUGGGAGAUACUCUUAAGCUUUCCGGUGGCUUUCAAUUCAUCAAAGGGUACUGGGAAUGGAACGAAGACGUUCUCAGCCAUUGCCAGCACAAGCUAAAGUCUGCGAAGAUCUAUGAUUUUGUAUAUGCUUCCCUCUUCACGUACGACUACAUUUCUGAAGUCAUGAAGGCGUUCUUCGAGGCAUGAUGUCCAACUACAAAUACCCUCUUGACGUCUCCUGAAGAAAUGUCUAUCUCGUUAUGGGAUUUGCACACCCUCUCCCGGCUACCUUUAACCGGGCUCCUUUACGAUGAAGUUGUCCCUGCCUCUCAAGAACUCGUUGGUUCCGGAUGCAAAGGGUGUUCGAUAUUCUCACCGUUCCUGCCGAUAUUUAUUCCAUGCCUACCACUUACUUCGGAAGAGCUCUAAAGAUCCAUCCUCCCAUGUCUCUGUCGAAAGCUGGAUUCAGUUUUGGUCGAAGAAGUAGAAAAAAUACACUCAACCUCCUCCGCGCAAAGAAAAAAAGGGUGUUCGCCCCAAGUCAACUAACAAUACUUCCGGCAAUAUUGAAGCACAUGCAAAAUGGAACAACGUUGGAGAAGCUGUGUGUUUCGGGCAUUAGCGUUGAUGUCGAACUAAGGUACGAGACAUACUUGGCGGCCCAUUUGGCUUGUUGGCUUUCCACCUUCGUUCUCCCAAUUGAUGAUGUGGGCAUGAUACGUCCUUCAACGUUCAAGAUGGCUAGCAUAAUGACGAGUGGCGAAUAAGUCUCUCUUGCAGUUCCUGUCUUAGCCAGCAUCUUCAACGGCAUAAAUAGGAUCUCGAGAUCCUUGAGACUCCAUCAAGAGAACUCUCCGUUUCCUAUUCACUUCGUCUAUAGUUGGCUGGCGCUUUAUUUCAAGACUCAUUAUCAAGUUCUGCAAGGCGUAGCCGUAGAUGGCCCAAAGAUGAUAUCUUAUUCUGGAGAAGGAAGCGCUAGAUACUACACUCCCGCGGAUGCAUGCAAACGGAUUCUCAAAGGAGAUCUUAUGUCUUGGACCUGUACCAUGAUCCCUAGGAGCGAGUCUUCUUUAUAUGUUGAUGAUGGAAAAAAAAGGGUCCGAGAAAAUUUAUUUCAUCGCCAUUCGCUCGAGCUAUCUCUCCUUGCGACGUGGUAAUCGUUUCGUUAUUGAGCCCUAUAGUCCUCAUCGGUUUAACUGCCAAUUUGGGUAUUACCAAGAUGUGCCCGGAGUACUUGAUGAAGACGUUCGCGAGGCUUCUUUAAUAGACGGACUCCGUUAUUGGCGUAUAUGUGUUUUGCCCGAGUCCAUGUCUAAAGUGAUGUUUUCUAUCGUUCCUCAAAAUCCAAGAAAGUUUCACACGGACGACUAUAAGAGAUGGUGGACUAAAGCUUACGGAACUUAUCUUGAAGAUAAAGCUGCGAGUCUGAUGAACUUGGAGUUAAGUAAGAUUCCACUUGAAGACAAAGAAGAUGAGGCAAGAGAUAGUCUCGGCAAUCUUUCUCGUGAAAAUGUGCUCCAAACUAAAAACCCUCCUAGAGAUAUAAAGAAGAAGAACGUUUUGCCUCCAUCAGAUGAGAGUGGCAAUAGCCACAAAGAGCGUCAUUGGAAAAAGCCGAAGAGGGACCCGCAAUCUUCAAAACCACAAGAUCUUCAUAUUGAUAACAGCGUGGAUAGUCAUUCUCGAACAAAUGACACUUUUGCUGAGAAGGUUGCACUUAACACUUUUUUUUUUUUUUUAUCUUGUCUUAAUGAUUUUUUUUAGUUGGAAAAUGAGGUAAUUGACGUUGACGAUCGCGAGGAAUCUCAAGCUAGUCAUCACUCAACUGCCAAGGCUUGCUCAACAGGUGCAGCUUCGCCGCCGACUGCUUUGAUGCCUGCCAGAACAUCCAAGAUGAAAGAGACCGCGAAAGGGUCGUACAAUGGUGAUUGUUCAGUUUUGUGGGUGAAAAUUUCCUGAAAAAUCAUAAAUGGGUUUUUCUUGGCCAAUUAUGGCAAGAUCUUCGUGCGAUGAUAGUACGAACUUCAAUUGAUUCCAUUUCGUCUAUUCAAGAAGAUGUCCAGUUAGUUCUUGGAACCAUGAGGGAUAUUGGUGAUUUCGACAUAUCUUGCAUAGAGGAAUUAUUGAAGUCAUUAUUUUCCCAGACGUUGGCUUAUGAUAAAGUGAGGUCGUCGAACUCUUAGAAGGCAUCUAAAGAGAUUCUAGCACGACAAUUAGAUGAGGCUAAAGAUCGUUUGCAUAAUACUCAAGCUAAAGAACACAAAGAGACUCUUCAAGUUCAAGCCACCAAUAAUGAUUUGGAGAGUGUCAAGAAAGAGCGUGCUGCUAUGAAGGUGAGGGUGGGACAGUUGAGAUCAUUAUUAAAACGACAACAAGAACUCCUUGAUACUGUUCAAACCGAAAUUCGUGAGAUUAACGAAGAGAUUGUGCCAUUGAAAAUACAUCCCCUUUAAGUGAUUAUUUGGUAGAAGAAUUGCGCGCUUCUGCCGAGCUUUUAGAAGAUGCCAAAGAAAUGUUGAACGAUUUAGACCCUUUCACUUGAGAUAGAUUUAGAUUUUUUUUUUUUUUUUGUUUAUUUCACUUUUAUGAUUCAUGAAAUAAAAGUUUCUCCUUUUCCAUCUUGCUCCCUUAGUAUUCUGUACUUAUACUUUCAACGAUUUUUUAUUUUUUAAUUUUAUUUUUAUUUUUAGGAAAGGACUGAACUUAGAGAAUAUCUAAGUUGCCUACGUACCCCCAAUGGGAUCAAGUCAUAACGUAGUUCGAAGAAAAAAAAAAUAGAUUUUUUUUUAAGGAAAUGACUGAACUUAGAGAAUAUCUAAGCUGCCUACAUACCCCGAAUGGGAUCAAGUUAUAACGUAGUUCAAAGAAAAAAAAAUAGAUUUUUUUUAAGGAAUGGACUGAACUUAGAGAAUAUCUAAGCUGCCUACGUACCCCGAAUGAGAUCAAGUCAUAAUGUAGUUCAAAGAAAAAAGAUAGAUUUUUUUUUUAAGGAAAUGACUGAACUUAGAGAAUAUCUAAGCUGCCUACGUACCCCGAAUGGGAUCAAGUCAUAACGUAGUUCAAAGAAAAAAAGAUAGAUUAUUUUUUAUUUCUUUUAUUUUUUUAUAUUUUUUAUUUUUUUAGCCGUGCACAGUUUCAACUCAUGCAGGCCAUGAGCCUUCUCCUCCGCUUCGUGCGUAGUACCGCUUCAAGAACUUUCCAUUUAUCGGACCAAUUCUUAAACCAUCUUCGGCAACCAACUUGCACGCUCCAUUUGUGUAUGCUUCUUUGAUGACAUAAGUACCAUCCCACUUUGAAGUAAAUUUAUUUCCCGUUUUAUGUGUGACGAUGAUGGGCCUCCUUACGGAAAGUACCAAAUCUCCAACUUGAAACGAUCUUGGCCACACCUUCUUGUUAAAUGCCUUAGAAAGACGAGCUUGGUAGCAUUCAAUACUUUGUUGUGCCUCUAAUCUUUUCUCAUCAAGAGCUUCCAAUUCUGCAAGACGCAAACGAGCAUUUUCUUCUUAAGUGAAUUCUUCCUGUACAGCUAUCCUCAAUGACGGAAUUUGUUUUCAAGAGGCAAGACCGCUUCCACUCCGUACACCAACGCAUAAGGAGUGGCUUGAGUAUGUGUUCUAUAAGUUGUUCUAUAGGCCCAUAAAGCUUCCCCCAUCCUUUCGUGCCAAUCGCGUUUUGACUUGGCAAUCACUUUCUUCAACAAAUUACAUAAAGUCUUGUUAAAGGCCUCGGCGAGUCCAUUGGCGGCAACGUUGUACAUUGAAGACUUUCUUUGCUUGAAGCCAAACUUUUCACAAAGUUUAUCUAUCACACCGUUGCAGAAUGGAUUUCCGUUGUUUGUGAUUACAUAUUGAGGAACUCCGUAAUGGUAGAUGAUGUUGAUGCGGAUGAAAUCGGCAACGUUCUCCUUCUUUACUUCUCGAAGGGGCACUGCUUCAGCCCAUUUGGAAAAGUAGAAUGUUGCUGCCAAGAUAUAGAGAUUUCUAGCAGAAGACUUCAUCAUAGGUCCAACCACAUCCAAGCCCCUAGCAUCGAAGGGCCAUGAAGCAACAGUAGGGUGCAAUGGCUCCGGCGGUUGAUGAAUAAAGUUUGCAUGAAAUUGACAAGGUUGGCAUUUUUGGGCAUACUCCAUGCAAUCCUUUACCAUAGAUGGCCAAUAAUAACCCAUUCUUUUUAUUCGGAACUGUAACUUGGGUCCUAACUGAUGGGCGCCACAAAUUCCGGAAUGAACAUCUUCUAUGGCUUGAAUGGCUUCGUCAUCACCUAAACAUCUCAAGAAGGCUCCAUCAAAUGAACGUCUGUAAAGUGUAUCUUUGUAGUAGAUGAAACGAGCCGCACGACGUCGAAUAUCAACUCUCUGACGUCUUCUCGUACUUCAAGUAAUCCACAAAUAAUUGACGCCAAUCUUCUUUCUCAACUUUAAACACGUAGACCACUCGAGUUUCGUUUUCUUCAAUUUCUUGAUCUUCAAAGAUUGGUGGUACGACCCACCUCUUGCAAAUUGAUAUACGAGCACCGUCUUUGGGCAUGGCUAAAGUAGAAGCAAGUUUUGCCAAUGCGUCCGCUUGUUUGUUAUCCUUUCUCGGCACAUGUUCUAUUGUCACAUCACCAAGGUAUCCAAUGAGUCUUUUAGCAUAAUCCACAUAAGGGAGUAGAUCGAGCUUCUUAACUUCGUAUGAUCCGAGUAUUUGAUUGAUCACCAACUUGGAGUCUCCAUAUACCUUCAAGUUUAGUUGCUUUAUAUCCACCGCAAAUUUCUAGCCCCAGGAUAAGAGCUUGAUAUUGAGCAACAUUGUUAGAGCAAUUUUGCAUUAAGGUAAACGAGUGAGGCAAUACUUUACCGUUGGACGUGACGAAUACUACUCUGGUGUCUGCUCCUUCUUUGUUAGAAACUCCAUCAAAAUACAUCUCCCAAUGAGGACUAGAUUCAAUCACAAUAACAUCUUCAUCGGGUAGAUCAUCGGAUAACUCCCACUCUGCAGGGAUAGGGUGAUCUGCCAAGAAAUCGGCUAGAACUUGUCUUUCACAACCUUUUGUGGAAUAUAUGUUAUGUCGAACUGCUGCAAUUGCAGAUACCACCUUGCGAGUCUCUCGAAUAGGACGGGUUUUGACAUGACAUACUUUAGAGAAUUCAACCUUGAGAUUAGACGGACAACAUGUGCUUGAAAAUAAUGCUUCAACUUUUGAAUUGCAAAAAUGAGCGCUAAGCAUAUCUUUUCGAUUGGCGAAAAGUUCAAUUCAUUUGGUGUCAUUGUUCUACUCAAGUAGUAUAAGGCGCUCUCUUUUCCAUCAUCAUUCUCCUGCGCUAGUAAAGCUCCGGCAGAUCGUUCUUGAGUAGCAAUAUAGAGUAUUAACGAUCGUCCAGACACUGGUGCAAUCAACACAGGAGGAUUCGUUAAAUACGAUUUUAUGCUUUCGAAGACACUAGUGCAAGCUUCAUCCCAUUCAAAGGGAACACCUUUCUUCAUGAGUCGGCUGAAUGGUUGACAUCGACCGGCUAAGUUUGAAAUGAACCUUCUUAGGUAUGCCAACUUUCCUUGCAAACUUUUGAGCUCAUGAAUGUUCCUAGGCUCGCGAAUCUUUAAAAUUACAUCAAUCUUGGCUUGUUCGAUUUCUAUGCCGCGAUGACGAACUACGAAUCCAAGAAACUUCCCCGAAGUAACACCAAAUGCACAAUUCAACGGAUUCAUCUUCAAUUGGUACCUUUUCAAGCGCUCGAAGACUUUUCUCAAAUUCUGGAGAUGAUCUUCCCUUCUUUUGGAUUUAACCACCAAGUCAUUCACAUAACAUUCAACAUCUUUAUGGAGCAUGUCAUCAAAUAUCUUAUGCAUGGCUCUUUGGUAUGUAGCACCGGCAUUUUUCAAGUCAAACGGCAUCACUUUAUAGCAAUAGAUACCCUUAGGCGUGCGAAAGGCUGUUAAUUCUUCAUCUUUCGGCGCCAUUCGUAUUUGAUUGUAUAUAGACGACCCAUCCAUAAAUGAUAAUGCUUCGUGGCCCGUAGUAGCAUCAAUCAUUAGUUCGGCUAUUGGCAUUGGAAAGUCGCCUUUAGGGCAUGCUUCGUUCAAAUCUCAAAAGUCGACACACACGCGAAUUUGUCCAUUCUUCUUUCUGACAGGAACGAUACUUGAAAUCCAUGUUGGGUACUUGACUUCUCGAAUGAAUCCAACCUCAAUAAGUUUGUUCACUUUGGCCUCAAUUGCUGGGACUAAUUCAGGUCUAAAUCUACGUUGGCCUUGUUUCAUAGGGUGAGCUCCUUUCUUCACGGAGAGAUGAUGUAUUGCCACUUUUGGGUCCAAUCCGGGCAUUUCUUUAUAAGACCAUGCAAACACAUCCUUGAACUCGUGCAACAAUUAAAUAUAACUCUCCUCUUCGUUGACAUCUAAUAAGGCGCUAAUGUAAAUUGGUCGAGGAUUCUCCAUAUCUCCUAAAUUAAUUUCCUUUAACUCAUCGAUCGUGGCUUUGAUUCCUUCUUCAAGCUCGGGUGGAGCAGUUUCGGCGUCUUCUUUUUCAAUCAUGUCUAUUUUACUUAAAGUGAUAUGAUGCGAUGAUGCCACGCUUUCUCUGUCAUCUUCCUCGUCGUCUUGGAUUUUUGUAAAGACGACAGUUCGCAUUUUAGCCUUCAACUCUUCACCACAUGAUAUGGUCAAAUAAGUACGCCGUUUCAUGCGAGACGGAACUGAACUUCGAAUCCUUCUUAUUUUGGUGAUUUUAGUAUUAGAGACACUCAAAACUUGCGUGUUGCUUUUGUUAUGCCCCCACUUUCUAAGUGGUCCAAGCCUAUCAAAGACAGAUGGCGUAUAUCUAUCAAAACCUUGUUUGUAACCUUUUUCAUGCCCCCACUCUCUAAGUGGUCCAAGUCUAUCAAAUACGGAUGGCGCAAGUCUAUCGAAGACAUAUGGUGCAAGCCUAUCAAAGAUGGAUGUCCUUCUUACUUUUGUUCCAGUUUCAAGAAAGUAGUUUGUUGAUGAGAAUUCAUCUUCGAUUAUGUAAUUACUGGUAGCUCUAUUGAUAGCAAUACGAAUUGGCUUUUGUGGAACAAAUCCAAGACCAACUCGAGGACUUUGAAUAGUAUGUCCCUUUUUCUUUCAACAUUAUUUGAGUAGUAUUGAGGCCAUGCACCUUUUCGCCAACAACUUCGGCAGGAAGCUUGCCAAGUGUAGAAUCUUCACGUGGGUUGAAACCGGCUUUUACUAAGAGUUUAUAAGCUUUUGGGCCAAAAUUUUUUUUCAUUUGGGACUCGGAGAAUUCUUCGCAUUCCUCUUGGGUUCCUUCUGUGGGACGAACAAAUCCUUUAGGUGGUUGAGAAGUUGAUCGCUUCUCAUCAAUUGGUGUUAGGGGCAACAUCAAAUCUUUCAGAGCCUCACACGCUAAAGGAGCCUUGUCUUGAUUAUUUCUUCGCUUUGGUUCUUCAACUGGUAUAAUUUUUUUGUCCUAUACCGUCUUUUCAUCAUCAAGAUAGUACUUAGCAUCGGCAAAGUGGGCUUCUGCCUCGGUGAAUGGUUUCUCAUCGGCGAGUAUUAUUUUAACUACUCCGUCUCGACAAUACUUGAAACAUUGGUGCCAAGAAGAAGGAACCACACUAUUCUCAUGUAUCCAAGGUCGCCCGAGAAGCAUGCCAUAUGAGGUUCUUGCACCAAUGACAUGAAACAGUGUGCUGGACAAUAUAUCAUCCAUUAACAACUCUAUCCUUAUGAUACCAAGGGCCCUUUGUCCUUCUUGAUUAAAUCCUUGGAUCAUCAAGCGAUUAGUUUUGAGCUCAUCCAUGGAGAUCCCCAGUUCCUUUAAAGUGUGCAACGGCAAAAUGUUGACUGCAGAACCUCCAUCAAUUAAAAUUAUAUUCAUCUUCUGCUCACGAGCGUAGCCGGAAACAAACAAUGGCCUAUUGUGUGGUUUGGAACCAAGAAGUAAAUCUUCAUCAGCGAAAGUCAUUGUUGACAUGCAUUUACCGAUCACGGUACAAACUUCAUUUGGAGAUGGAUUCGUUCCACUUGCAACAAGGGGCUCUAAAGUGCUGACGAUAAAAUUUGUCGUGGCGCUGAUCUCUUCAAGUGAUAUCUUCCCUUGGCGAGCUAGCUGCAUAAUUCUAUCUUUGAAUACGAAGCAAUCAUGAAUUGGAUGCCCGACUAGUCGAUGAUACUUGCAGUAUUUUGGGUCAUCGGUCUUGCUAGCUUCUUCAGGGCGCUUCACUUCAGGUAACUCGAUAAGUUUUAAACCUAGCAAAUCGUCAAAUAUUCCAGCCACGUCAGUGUCGAGGAACGGGUACUCCCUUGCUUGCAUUUCUUUUAGGGUAAGUCUUCUUUCUCUUCUUUCUUGGGAAAAAUCUUGUUUUUCCUCAUUGUUUCCGUUCACUUUUCUUGAAAUUUGAUAGGGGUUGCAUUCACUGCUAAAGAUUCUUUGCUUGAGGUCUUAGAGAAAACUCUACCCCCUUUGCGAAAGUCUUUUUUUUCUUUCGACUGUCGAGGCUCUUGAACUGGUGGUCCCUCAACUCCACUAGCCAUAAUGCUCAACUCCAUGUCGUGCGCUCUAGUGGCCAACUCUUCAAAAGUCUUAGGUUGAAUCCCUUGCAGGAUAUAUCGGAGUCCCCAUUGCAUUCCUUGAAUGCACAUCUCGAUAGCUGAAGCCUCUAACAAUCGAUCAUUGCAAUUCAGGCUUAAAUUCCUCCAACGGUUAAUGUAGUCAAUGACGGCCUUUUCUUACCACUGGCGAGAGUUCGUGAGCUCAAUCAUGCUCACUGUUCUUCGGGUGCUGUAGAAGCGAUUCAAAAAUUCUUGAUCCAUCUGACUCCAACUAUUAAUUGAGUUCGACUCUAGUUCUGUAUACCAAUCGAAAGCAUUCCCCUUCAAUGAUCGGACGAAUUGUUUCACGAGAUAGUCUCCAAAAGUUCCAGCAUUGUUACAAGUUUCAACAAAAUGUGCCACAUGCUGUUUUGGGUUGCCCUUGCCAUCAAAUUGCUGAAAUUUCGGGGGUUGGUACCAAUUGGCAUCUUCAAGUCGUCUACUCUUAGAGUGUAUGGCUUGGUGUAUGUUAACGAUGAAUUUCGAUCCCUCAUCGAAUUUGUCCUUAAUAGUCCUCAUGUUGAACUCCUUCAAUUGGUCUAUAGGAAUUAACCCCUCUGACGAAAUCUGGAAUUCUUCAACUGGGCUCUUCUCCCUUUCGAUUGGAUGUCACCUUGCAGAAGUUUCAGCUUCGGUGUGAUUUUCACCUUGUUUUCCCAUGUCGUGACUACCGUCAACCUUGUUCCUCAACAUCGCGAUUUGGGAGUCUUGUUCUUGAAUGUGCUUUGUUAGCCCUUCAAUGGCCUUGGUCAAGAUGGCCAUUUUCUCCUCCAUGGUCGUAGUAUGUGUUGUCAUGACGGUGGCCACAUCAGAGUAGUUUGAUGUUGAACGGGACCUGGAUGAUGAAACUUCUCCUCUAGAUCCUUCCACGCCUCCACCUAUGUUGACGAGAAGUGACGAGCCUUUCUCAAUGAUUUGGGGUGUCGAGCUAGUCUCGGAGGAUGCCUGCAGUUUCUUAGUCAUACUGCUUGUAACUACGCCCACACUUGAUGAAUUCAAAGUAACACCCUUCAUUGCGAGCAGUUAUCGCAACACUUCGAGGAUCUUCGAGAGAGAGAGAAGAGAUGAGAGCUAGAAAUGUCCCACUGGGCGUGCCAAAAUUUGUAACAAAAAAUUCUUAUCUGCGAUAUAAACAAACAAGAAAAAUUGAACAAAGAUAUUUUUUAUUGAAUUAAAAUAAAUAAAUUGCGGGUUACAAUCUCUAUUUUAAUCCUCUGAUUCUUUUCUCUAGAACAGUAUAUAGUUGACUUGAAUUUUCGGAGUCGGAUCGUUGACUUGAUCUUCUCCGGAUUUGAUUUUGGAUUUGAAUAACGUUUUCCAAGGGUCUCGCAACUUGAAUCUCGGAUCGAACGUUGAACUUUGACUAAAUUUGACUUGAAGAUCUUGAAAUUCUUGAUGGAUUUGGCCCUUGAAUCUUCCAAUGAUCUUGGCUUGAAUUGAUUAACGUUAAUCCGAAGGUUUAUCACCGUUAUCUCGGAUCGAACGCUGGAUUUGAUGAAGAACACCUUGAAUUUGCUCAAGAACACCUCGAAUAACGAAUAACACUUUGAAUGUAGAUAGAGAAUCUUACCUCCUACGAAUUCUUCUUCCUUGCUUCUUCAAUUGUAGAGAGAAUUUUCUCCUACGGUUUUUUUUUUCUUGAGUUGUGUUUGAAUUGUGAAUGGAGGGUCCCUAUUUAUAGUGGUAGAACAAGAGUCCUUGAUGGACCUUCUUGAUGACAUGGCGCGAUUUGAUUGGCCUGAUUUAAAUUGAUAUUUAUCUCUUGGAACUUGAAAGAGAAGAAAUAAUUCUAUUGGCCAAUAAUUAAUUGAUAUUUAUCUCUUUAUAACUUGGGGGAGAAGAAAUAAUUCUAAUGACCAAUAUAUAUAUUUAAAAUCAAUUAUCUAUUUAAAUUUGGAAUAGAGAUAUAAAAGGGAUGAACUUAUUGGCUCUAUAAAAAUUAGCAAUUUAAUUGUUUGAAAAUUCGUUCGUCUACAACAUAUUAAAGGGAUGAACUUAUUGGCGAAAGAGAUAUAACCCCUGAACCUAGAAUAAUAAAGAUAACCAGUUUGGGACUUAUGCACAAGAUAACCCCCAAGGCGAUGCUUAGUACCGCCCCUAUUCCUACCCAUUCAUACUGAUUCUCACAUCCAUCAGAGAUGGUCUAAGGUGGGGGAGGGAGUGAGUAAGUUUGACCCUAUCAAUCCUCUGCCUUUCAUUAAAAUAAAUUAAAAGCCCUAAUUAUUUUCUUCUUUUUCCUUUUUCCCGCAAUUAUUCUCUUAUUCCUCAAGGGCGGAGUCAGAGAAUUUUGGGUGGGGGGCUAGAAAUUUUUUUAUGUGCUAAAAGUGUAUAAAAUGUUAACCUCGGAAGCUAAACACAUAAACUAAUAAAUAAGUGACACAUUAAUAUAAAAAAAAUAAUACAAAAUUUUGCAGAUCCCCCUCCCUUUUAGUUUUUGUGAAUACAACGUUCCAUCUUCUCUCUCAAAAAUAUGAAACUGCUCGAAAAUAUCUCCACCGAUUUUUCUUCACCCAAAUCAGUACACUCACCGGAAAUCAGAGCAAGUCACUACGAUUUUCUAAAAAUACUUUCAUCUAGUUGAUUGUGGAGCAAUUUCACCUACAUCGUUCGAAGUUACAGUCAAAUUUGCAAAAAUACAGUCAAACUCUGUGAAACCCUAAUCGAACGAACUUUGUAAGUGUUUUCUAACAUUAUAUUGUACAAAUGUUUGUUUUGUGACAUAAAUACUGCACUUGUGUAUGUCUUUUCAUUAAUAGGGUUCAAUUUUCUGCAUUGACAGUAAUUUUGCCUGCAUGCACAAAUUUGUGUGUGUGCUAUUGUACUACAUCUGAUAGUAUUUUUCUUAUACACAAGCCCCUUCUUGAAUAGUUGUUUGUCUGUGUGUUAUUUUCCUGCAUUUGACAGUAUUUUUGUUAUACACAAGCCCCAUGUUAAAUACCUGUUUGUCUGUGUGUUAUUUUCCUGCUCUGACAUUAUUUUUGGGAUACGCAUGCCCCCUGUUGAAUAGUUUUUUGUGUGUGUGCUAUUGUCCUGCAUCUGACAGUGAUUUUGUUAUACACAUCCCCUGUUGAAUAGCUGUUUGUCUAUGUGUUAUUUUUCUGCAUUUGACAGUAUUUUUGUGAUACACAUGCCCCUGUUGAAUAGAUGUUUGUCUGUGUGGUAUUUUGCUGCAUUUGACAUUAUUUUUGAGCUGGUGCUGCUCUCCACUGUCGCUUCAGCUUUAGUGUCAAACAAUGAGGACAAAAGCUAUAGCACGUACUUUUUUUCCUUCCUUGCAAUUCAUAUUUAGUUUUUUUAAAUAUAGUAUAUAUCCGUUUUCAAUUCGCUUAUUUAUUGUUAUACUUUGUUCCUCCCCUCAAAUCGUACAAAAACCAAAUGACCAAAUCCACUUCGGGUGUAUGUCGCGGAAACAAUGGUAAUUAAAAAAUAUUUAUUUACCAAAAAUAUAUAAAAUAAAAUAAAGGAAACUAUGUAUUAUAAAAAACAUUAACAUCUAAAAGUGAACAAACAAAACUGCAGGUAAAAGGUGUUGAAGCAGUUGUCAGAGAAAGUAAAUUCAUGAGAAUCACGCAAUAUGCAACACUUGAAAAAGUUGAGGAUUCACCUCAGCAAGAGGACGACAAGGAGGAUUGCGGGAUAUUUUUACUAUAUAUCAUUAGACAAUACUUCCGUCAACAACCAGUGGACAAGUUGGAUGCUAAAAAAAACAUUAAGAAUUUCAGAAUGAAACUAGUUAUCUUAUUCCUUAACAACAAAAACAUUGUUAGUCACAUAGUUAAGCGGUCAAAACAUUCUGAUAGGCUUAAUGUAAUGUAGGUUGAAAUGUACUGUUAAGUUUUUGUAGUAUGAUACUCUAUGGUUGUAGGUUUAAAUGUAUUGUUAAGUUUUUGUAGUAUGAUACUCUAUGGUUGUAGGUUUAAUGUACUGUUAAGUAUUUGUAAUAUGUUACUCUACGUACUUUAUGUUUAAACGUGCAACAAAUAUAUUGCUGCCAAUACAAGGUGUCUGAGUUUUUCACUGUUCAAAUUGCUCAAAAACUAAUAAGUUACUGUCACUGACGGUAAUAGAACAUAUUUUAGUGGUGAGAAACGUGUGUUUCUGGCUUACUCCAAUAAUACUUGAAACCAUACUCUCCCUACAUGUCACAUUAUUUUAACUCCAUAUAGUAUAGUAUUAUUCUGAAUUUGAAAAGAUUGUACUUACAAUUCAUACAUAAUGUACCUGUUGUAGACAGUAAUAUAGAACCAUGCAAAAGAAAAUUACAUGAGUUAAACAAAAAUAAUUGUCACUGACAGUAACAUAGAAUUACUCAAGAAAAUUACUGAAACAAUAUAAGUGUCACUAAGAGUAACAUAGAAUUACUAUAACAAUAUAACUGUCACUGACAGUAACAUAGAACUACUGAAGAAAAUUACUGAAACAAUAUAACUGUCAUUGACAGUAACAUAGAAUUACUGAAGAAAAAUACUGUAAGCAUUCAUAUAUGCAAUCCCAAAACAGUCAAAAAACAAAUAAUAGUAGUUCUUCAAAUAGCUUUGUUGCAAGUUUUCUUGUUGUGGUGACCAAUUUCAUUACAUUUUCCACACUUGAUCUUCUCCUUGAUAUUCUCACCGCGAGAUGGAAUUCUCUUCUUUUUUGGUCUUCCAUUUCGUGUCUGCCAAACUAGAGGUCCAACAACUGGCUGCUCAACUUUUGUAAAGUCCACCAUAAAUGGGUAAAUCGAAAAAGAAUAAGUAGAUCUGAAAUUGCAGGCAUAAAAUAAGGGGUCAAUGUACCCACAUCGUUCACCGGUGGGGAUAUUUUUGAGAACCACAGCCACAUGACAGCAAGGGAUUCCUUUAAGCUUCCAAUCCCGACAUGUGCAUGUUCUAGCAAACAAAUCCACAAUCUCGUGAGGGUCUAAAUGCACUUCAAAGACAGUCUGAUUCGAUUUUCUAACAGUUCAUGUCCUCCCAUUUUCAUCAAAAGCCCUUUAAAUAUUUUCCAUCUUUGGACAAAGGAUCGUAGUCCAAACACUCGCUUCUGCAGACCUCUCGCAAAUUUUAUCCAUUAAAUAACCCCUAAUGAUGUCAAUCAUAUGGGUAAUCGAUAAAUGUCGGAAUUUCGUUACUGUACCAUCCCAUGAUUCCACAACAUUCGAAUACAACUCACCAUACCUAUGCCCCUCAAAAUACGCAUUUGUCCAAUUUUCAAAAGGCAAAUCUGACAGAAAAUCAACAACUUUCCUUCAACCAUCAAUUUUAAAUUUCUAAAGUUUCUCAUGAAAGAUUUCCUUAGUGGGAGCAUACACGCAUGCUAUCAACUGACUAACUAGAAUAUCUCUAUAACUAGAGCUCAUUCCACUCAACUUAUACCUCAAAUUAGUCUCUAAAUGAAAUAAGCAGAAUGAAUGGUGACAAUUAGGGAAAUAUUUCUCACAACUUCCAAUAUAUCGUGCUGCCGAUCGGAUACGAAUGUCAGAACACGAUCUGAGCUAAUGCAACAUCUUAAAUCUUUCAUGAAACAAUCCCAGUUUGAAUCAUUUUCCUCAUGCACAACGGCGAAUGCCACUGGAUAAGGACCUGAAACAACGUAAAUCAAUGUAAAAAAAACUUGUCAUUUCAUGAACACCUGUUCUGUAAGAGCCAUAUAAAACUAUAUGUGAUAGGAAUAUAACCUUAAUACACUAUCUUUAACAGUAACAGAUAUAUGUGGACUGAAACAAAGAAUGCAAUACAACAAAAUUACCAUUUCUUGCAUCUUUCGUGAUGGCGCUCAAAAGAAUACCUUUGUAUCUACCCUUCAGAAAAGUACCAUCCAAAAAAAGAAUCGGACAGCAAAACUUAAAUCCAGAUAGACAAGCACCAAAACUGAAGGAGCAACGAUUGAACAAGUUAUACUUCUCAUCAACUUCUAGGUGAAUGAUAUUGUCUGGAUUGCAACGCCCAGCUUCUUCAAAAUACGCCUUGAGGUACGAAUAAGAUAUUCCAUCAUCUCCAAAUACAAAACUUCAACUAGAUUCCAUAGCUCUCCAUGUUGUAUUGUAGUUAAUAUCAAUCCCAUACUUCUUUUUUGCUUCAUGAAUAACGUCGUUAAGACACAUCAGCGGCUUAUCCCGAAUACCCUCCAUGAUUAAAUCAGCUACGAGCUUAAUGCUCAUUCUUACCUUCUUGACAGCACUAGACAACUCACACGUGUGGUUUUUCUCGUACAUGCGAAUAAUACAAUAUUCGGUUGAAGGUUAAAUUGUAGCAUGAAUUCUCCACAAACAGUUAUGCGACUCUCUAAGCUUACAAACUGCAGUCACUCUCUACGUAUCGUUUUUGAUAAAAUCGAAUCCAAAUCCAAGCUCAUACGGAAACUAAGCCAGACAUAUUCUAAAUUAUGAACGUCCACCACGAAAAAAUUGUCCGACAUCGGUUAUCAGAUUUAUCCAAUGUGAGCUAAGCAAAGUUUUUUGGGGGCCAAUGGCACGUAAUGGGUUGCAUGGGGGAGUAACUACCGCUUCAAAUGCAGCGAGAGGUAGCACACUGGAUGAACCUACCAUAGAGCUGUAACUAGUAUCGGAUGUACCGAGAGAUACAUGAACUUCCUUCACAACAAUUUCAAUCCUUUGAAUCAACCAUUGUUCCACAAUAAUAAAUAACCCUUUUACAUCUUCAUCAUCGUUGAUUGAAAAAACACCAAUCUCAGGGAUAAAGUACGAUAAUGACAUGUUAUCAACACUUCAAGAAUUCCAUCUUGAACAAAAAAAAUGCACAAGAUUGGAAAAACUCAUGCCUCUUGUAAAAUUUGUGAUCGAACAAAAUUCACCAUAUCUCAACAACAACACAAUUGAACUAGUCAUCCUGCAAGUUUAUAUAAAACAUAAUUACAAUGUUAAUAACAGUCACAUUACUAAUACAUCCAGUAAAUCCGCGUAUACAUUCAAUUAUACUGCCAAUGACAGCAACAUUAUAUAAACACUUGCAAACAAACAUAGCAAAACAUAAUUACACUGUUAAUAAUAGCCACAUUACUAAUACAUCCAAUAAAUCCGCGUAUACAAUCAAUUAUACUUUCAAUGACAACAACAUUAUAUAAACACUUGCAAACAAACAUAGCAAAGCAUAAUUACAUUGUUAAUAACAGUCACAUUACUAAUACAUCCAGUAAAUCCGCAUCUACAUUCAAUUAUACUGCCAAUGACAACAACAUUAUAUAAACACUUGCAAACAAACAUAGCAAAACAUAAUUAUACUGCUAAUAACAGUCAAAUUACAUAACCAACCAGCGAAAUAACAUAUACAUUCAAUUAUACUGUCAAUAACACCAACAUUAUAUAAACACUUCCAAAAAAACAUAGCAUGAAAACAAAAAUACAAAAAAAAAAAACAAUAAUGCAAACAGACAUUGAAAGCCCAUACAUCAUGGUGUUCAAUUUACUACAAUUCAAACUAUACAUAUCUCGAUGUUGACAUUUGUAAUUUAAAAAAAAAACAUUCGCAGAUCAAAAAAUUUGACACACCUUCCUUGAAAAUUAUACUACAGCAGAUAUGAUCGGCGAUAAAAGCUGGAGAGGACGGCCGGAUAACAGUGAGAUCCGAUGUGAACCAGGUAGAUGUAGCUCAGUUCCAAGAUUUAGAGGUAUAGAAAGGAAUUCGUUAGAGACGAGACAAGAAUCGCGCAUAAAACAUGAAAAACGGGCGUAGGGAUUUCAAUUUUCAGUUUAUAUACAUGUGUAAUUAUGUCCGAAAAAAUACCCUUGCCCUGAUUUUAAUAAACUUUUAAGUAGUGGGUUUUUUUUGCAAGACAAAAAAAACUGGAUUUCCCUUUUUUAAUUAAGUCUAUGUGUCAUGGGUCUAUUUGCCAUUUACCCAAUACUUAGAACAUAGAAGUAACAUGAUGUGUUGUUUGGUUUUAUUACAUCAAGGAAUCUCAACUUCUAUAUGCAGGGGUGCAUCCAGACAAUAUUGUAAGGGGGCGAUUUUUUUCGGAAAUAAUAUAUGUAGGUAGGUUAAUUUUUCGGGUGUUAAUUUGGGGGCAGCAUUCCCGGGUUAAUUUCUUUUAGAGUUAUUCAAAACAAAUUGCUAAAAUUAGUAUAUAUUUAUAAUAUUUAGUUAAAAUCUAUGAAUUUUAGUUGUAUUAUUUUAUAUUGUCAUAACAACUAAAAAAAUAUCUAAAUUUACACAAGAGAAUAGAGAAGAAUUAUUUGCGGGGGCAAAAACACAUAUUUAUAAAUAUUAUGCCAAAAAGUAAUUAAAAAAAUUGGUUUUAUUUUUUCUUGGAGGGGUGGUUGCCCCUUCCUUGUUACACCAUUGUCUAUAAUCUAUAUGUCUACAUCGAUGUAUAUUUAUUUGUAUAGGUUUUGUAGAGUAUAGGUUUGGUGAUAGACGAAGAAAGAGGUGAUUUGAUUUUUAACAUUUGUUAUAAAUUUGGUUUAUCCGAAAUGCCUAAGUUGGCAUCUUUUGUUUCAAAUUCCAAUUGCAAAUACAAGAUUAUCAUUUCCCUCAGAUUUGGCUGCUCCAAGGUGUUUUUGGGGAUGCCACUGUCGUAGAAAAUGGAGAAGGAAGAAGAGAUUAAAUGGAGGGAAACAAGGAAGAACAAAAAAAUUUAGUAAUUUUUAGGUAUUUGAAAACGCAAUUAUACCCCUACAAAAAUUAUUAAUGUUAUUUUGAAAUAAUGCUUGAAAUAGAUGUUGAGUUUUGGAUAUUCUGAGAGAGGAGAGAGCGUUUUUUUAGGGGUGCUCAUAAAUUCAAACUGUAUCAAACCGUACCGGAAUUUCUGUACGUAAAAAGAUUGUACGGUUUACCGUAUCGAACUACUCCGUUCGCUAUAUUUUUUUACCGAAUUAAUUUGGCUUUUUCAGUUCGAUACCGGUAAAAUUGAAAACAUAUUUUUUUUUAAAAGGGGAAAUAUGCAAAACCCCCCUCAAACGAAAAAUAUUAUGAGUUAAACUCAUUUGACUUUUUAGACUUUUGCCCACACCCAAAGGUCAAUCUUAAUUAGUGAAACCCCCCUCAACAACUGUGAUAAGACGAAACUACCCUUAUUAGUAGUUUUUAAAAUAAUUGCAAUAUUUUAUUUUCCAUAACCGUCUCACGUGAUUGUAGGAUUACAUUAAUUCUCUCUUUAUAUCUUCCAUAUCUCUCUUUCAUUCUCUCUUUCUCACGCAACUUCUCUCUUUGUUUUUUUUUUUUUUUGUUCUUCUUCAGAUCUAUAAUCCUCCAUGACUCGACAAUGGAGACAACUCAGCUGCACAUGGCGUCAGCGCCGGGUUUCGAUUCUCCUUCCGAAGAGCGGACGGAAAAAGAGGAGAAAAAUCAAGUUUUUGAGACGUAGCAGUUUUCGUGCAAAGGCUAGAUCGGAAGAUCAACCCGUCGGAUCGGCUUGAUAUUUCUAUACAGGAUUCAUAACACAACAAUAUAAUUUAUGAAUGGUGGAGAUCGGAAUCAAAAUUCUCUAAAUAUAGAUCGGAUCUUAAAACUUGCUGUUGAUUUUUUGUUACUGAAUAAUUCAGGGCAGCUAGAUUGGACGCGUUUUUCGUGAAAUUGAACAGUUGGAUGUGGCAGAAAUUUGGAUAGAGUAUUUGGAGUAUAUAUUUUUAUAUAUUGUACUGAUGAGAUUGAAUUUGGUGCAUUCUAUCUCCGAAUAUAAAUUGUGAAAGUAUCACAAUUUGGUGAGCUUUUUUUCAUUUUUUAGUCUUCACUUUUUAGAGAUUUUCCAUUUACAUUUUUUUAGGGUUAUUUGUGUUUGAUUUUGAUAUUCCAAUUGUUGUAAAUUAGGCAUUUUUUUUUUGUUGAAAAGAUGCAGUUUGAGCAUUAUUGAAUAUCUGAUGAGGAAACUUCGGAAUAAAUGGUGGCGGUGGCUAUGAAAUGCACUAAUGAAAAUGGAGCAACUUGCAAGCCAAAUGCCAAGAAUUUGUUUCUUAGUCAUAUACAUAAUAGUCAUAUGUGAUCACAUAUAUAGUCAUAUUUAAGUUUGGUAAUUGUUUCUGUGUGUUUCGAUUUCUUUUUAUUUUUUUGUUUUAAUUUUUUUUUUUCUACGAAUGUGAACAUAUAGUUUCAGAUUUAAGGAGCAACAAUAACAUGACUAUAAUCAUAUUCGAAUAUGACUAUUGUUGAAUAUGACUGUAGUCAUAUUCGAAUAUGUUCUAUCUUCUCGUUUCAAGAUUCAAAUUGUGAUUUUCUUUUUGUGGAUGUUGAUUGGAUUGUUUUCUUAAAUAAUAGGUAAUCUUCGUUUUCUUUAUAUAAUUUGAUAAAUAUGAUUGUACUAGACUAUAUAAUCAAAAAUUUUAAAUUGAAAAUGUAAAAAACUGCAAUAUAAAUCAAGAAUAUGACUGUAGUCAUAUUCGAAUAUGACUAUUGUUGAAUAUGUUCUAUCUUCUGGUUUUCAAGUUGACUUCUAAUAACAAGAUUCAAAUUAUGAUUUUUUUGUGUGGAUGUUGAUUGAAUUGUUUUUUUAAAUAAUAGGGAAUCUUCAUUGUUUUAUAUGAUUUGGUAAACAUGACUAUGUCAUAUAAUCGGAAUUUUUAAGUUCAAAAUGUAAAAAAUAACAAUAUAAAGAAAGAAUAUGACUACAGUUUAUAGUCACACAUAGAUAUAGUCAUAAUCAACUAUAGUCAUAUUCGGCGUUGCAAACUUGUCGAUAAAAAAUUUCAAUUUUUUGUUUAAAUUUAAAAAAAAAAAAUUAAUAAUAUUUUUAUUAAAAAAUAUUAAAAAUAAAAAUAAAUAAAAAAUGGCUAAAUAAAGUCCGAAAAUAAUAUAAAAAUAAAAAAUAAAAAAUAAAGUCCGAAAGUACUUUUUUUUUUUUGAUUUGGUAGCAAUUUAUUAGAAUGUUGAACCAUAUUUUUAGAAAUUAAAUUGUUGUUAUGGAAAGAGAGAAAAAAUGAAUAAUUGAGAUAAAUUAUACAAAUUAAUCCUAAUUAGCGGGAGUUAGGUGCCUCAUUAAUAGGAAUUUUGUAAAUACUGGGGAUAAUUAUUAAAAAAAACGUGACGGGUAGUAUAAGGGUAAUAUUGAAAAUAAAUAUUCUAGGGGGUUUUUGAAGAAUUAUGGUAUGAACAUAUACCAUUUUUUAUCUAUAGGAGGGGUGUAUUGCUAAUGACCCCUAUUUAAAAAGGUAAAAACAAAUAUUUAAGCUAAUUAAUUCUUGAAUUUGACAUUCAAGUUUCAAUAAUCCGCCCUAAAAAAAAAAAAAAAAAAAGUGAUUAUCAAUAGAGGCUAAUUUAGAAAUAAUGGAAAAAAUUAUCAAUAUAAUAUAUAAGCAUUUAUAAUUUGUUAACCUUCAAGGAUUUAAAAUAAAAGAAUUCUUUUUAAAAAAUAUUUAUGUAUUCGGUACGGCACGGUGUACCGGACAUCAAAUCCAUAUGCCGUACCGAAUCCCGGAAUUCAAAAAAUAAAUUACCGAAUACCGAAUCAAAUUUUCGGUUCGGUGCGGUUCGGUAACUUUACUGACCGAGUGAACACCCCGACGUUUUAUCCUGACAUAGGGACGAUUACAACUAUUCGUGGUCCAAAAAAUACCAAUUGAACAGAACACCUAAAUUUUGAAACUACUUCACACAAGAUCUUUAAUACCAAAAAUAUCACCCGACCUGUACAUGGGUGAAAUUUGGCAACAUGAACGUCAGAUAUAUUAGAAAAUAUUGACGUCGAAAAUUUUCAGAAAAGCAAAAUAAAUCCAAAAAUUACUAAUCCUACUCUAAUUUUUCAUUUUCCAGCAAGCAAGUAUAUCAAUUAAUGGGCAGAUAAAGUGAGAAAUAUACGAGAAUUGUGAUUUGUGAUGUAGGAUCAUCAAAGUAUAGAAUAAAGUGACCGAUAAUGGUCACACUAAUGUAAUAUGAUAGAUACAAGAAACAUAAUAUAAUUAUGCAUACAAGUUCAUAUUUGGUUAUUUAUGAUAAGGAACAGCAAUGAGUGGUGUUUCUUUCCUCAUAACAAUCCCAAAUUUCUCCGACAAGUCAAUCUUUUGUCCCUCUGGCAACCCCCACUCGUACGUAUGAACGAGUGUUGCCAGCAAAUACAUUACCAUCUUCUCAGCCAACGGAAUACCAGGGCACACCCUUCUCCCCGACCCGAACGGAAGAUACUCAACGUUGUUUCCAAUGAAAUCAAAUUUUUCAGAGUUAUCAUUCAAAAAUCUCUCGGGUUGAAAUAUUAAAGGAUUCUCCCAAACAUGCGGGUCCAUGUGGAUUGACCACAUGUUCAAGAAGACCCUUGACCCCUUUGGGAUUGUGUGCUCUCCGAUUGGGCAAGAUUCACUCGGAUACCUUGGAACGACGAGUGGCAAUGGAGGAUGUAGGCGGAAUGUUUCCUUUACAACCGCUUCGAGAUAGUGCAGUUUCGAUACGUGGGAUUCUUCAACGACGUUGUUCGCUCCUACAACAUUUGUUACUUCUUGCUGCACUUUUUGCAUUAUACUCGGGUUGUGCAAAAGCUCGGUCAUCACCCACUCGACCAUCGUUGCCGUAGUAUCGCUCCCGCCGGCAACAAUAUCCUGUAAUCAAAGAGCAUAUUUUAUGUCAUUUCAAUGAAAGAGAAUCACAAAAAGAGUUACAUUGUUAGCUUCAAAGAGUAUAUUUGUCUGACUUUGGAUCACAAGAGGGUUUAUGCCUAUAAAAAUGAUUAGCAAUUUUUUUUCUUCAAAUUUGAACACAAAAAUUUGAAUUUCUCCUAUAUAUUCAAGAAACAACAGAACUAGGGGCACGCAUAAUAAGCAAUAGAGGUUAGCACCAAUCAAGCUCGAGUGGCUUGAUUUUAAUCGAUUCCCGACUCAACGAUCGAGUUUCAAAUCAUAUCAAUAACAAAAGUAUACGUGUUGAAGUUUGUUUCGUUAUGUUAACAAAUCAAGUCCAAACAAGCUUUUACUGAACGGUGUCGAAUCUAGCAUCGAGUAAAUUAAGAGACAGAGGGCAAACCAACAAGAAAAUGAAAUGAAGGAAAGUGGAGAAAAUUACCAUCAAAAUCGCCUUGAUUUGAGUUAAACCAAAUGUUGAGCCUUCUCCGAGUUGCUUAUCCUUGAGCUCCAAAAGAAUUCCCAUAAAGUCCUUACUCCUUUCUUCACCCUCCAUACCACCACCAGCCGCCAUGCUCUUCACUUUCGCAUCGAUAAAACAAUCCAAAAUUCGUUCCACCUCAACCACCACACCCCUCAUUUCUUUCGCGAUUCCCUGCAAAUCAAACCUAGCCAAAACCGGAAAAAAAUCGGAAACGUUAGGCUUUCCCAACAAAUCGACGAGUUUCGAAAUAUGAACCCGAAACUUGUCUCCAAGCCUGCUUCGCUUCGUGGGGUCCAUCUCACCUCCCCAGAGCAAGCUCAUCAGUACAUGGAGCUCUGUCAGGAAAAUUAGUUCGCCAAUUUGAACGGGACUCCCGAUUUGUGUAUCGAGAUUCCCGAUAAGCUUCCGCACUUCCUCCGUGCGGAAAACAUUCGAAGCCUGGAGGUUGGUGUUGCUCAUCAUCUCACGAACGAACAGCUUCCGUAUGUCGCGCCAGUAGGGACCGUUUGCGGUCCAGACGAUGUCGUACCCACCCGUGGCGACUAGUGCUGCAACCGGCGGGUCCCGGUUUGCGAAAAUGGAGUCUUGAUCGCGAACUAUCUGCUUUAUCAAGGAAGGCGAACUUACAACGACACAGAGUUUGCUGCCGAGCCAGAGGCGGUAAAUGGGGCCGUACUGGCGAGACAAUUGUGUGAACUGGUGGUGCAAGUUGUGUUUGAGAAACGGGAGGUAUCCGAGAAUCGGAAGGCCGUAUGGUCCGGGCGGAAGUGGUGGCUUUGUUCCUGUUUUUGAGUUGCCGAGUACUACUAUCCAUGAGUAACAAAAUAGGGACGCUAGAAGAAAAAAGAAGGUGAGAGCAGCAAGUCCAAGCUCAUAUUCCAUUAUGUUUUUUUCUUUGUUGCGACAAAUUACUAUUGUUAAGUGCAAGGAAUAUAUGCUAGAAAUAAGAAUUAUUAUAACAAAAUAUGAGGAUAUGAAAGACUAAAUAUGUGGCUUGGAAACCAAACGUUGGAAGAUAGAAGACGGCGAGAGCAGUAAGUCCAAACUAAGGGUUCAUUAUUAUGCUACAAUUAGGAUUCAAACCAGGUUCAUUAUUACACUAACCACUAGAACAUGUAUGUUUUUUUGUACAACUAGGAAGAUGCACGUGCACUGCACGUGUCUACUAAAAUAUUUUAUUAAAUUUUAUUUUGUAUAUUGCGUUUGAUACAUUUUUCCUAUAAUGUUAUAAUUUCACAAUAUUAAAUCAAUAUCUUCAAAUAAAAUAUUAAAAAUCAACAAUAGAAUUUUACGUUAAAAGUCCUAGAAGAGGCUAUGAUCAAGUCAAAAUGUUCAAAAUUGAAUAAUCAGUGUGAGCGAGAUUUUAUGUCACCAUAAGGAGUUACCAUGUUGCAAAUCUUAACUUUGUAAAAGGUUAAAUGAAAUCUUAUAAUUUAAUUUAACAUUUAAAAAAAAUCAAAUAUACGAACAUAAAUAAUUCUAAAUUAAUAUAUCAAUAUUGUUGACUCUAAAAUACAAAUUAUUAAUUAUAUGAAUGAUUAAAACAAAAAGUAAAUUAAUUUUAACGUGAUGUAUAAUAAGAAAAUAUACAAAAUAAAAAUAAAUAUAGAAAAUAGAUAAAUAAUAUUUAUUUUAACAAAACUACUUGACCUACAAAUGACGUCUUUAUUAAUUCAUAUUCAGAGCUAACGAAAUGAUAACUAAUACCUAAUAAUGGAUACAUAUUUGUGACAAUUUCAGAACAUAGUAAUUAUCUUGACAUAUUGUUUAAGUUCAUGUUCAUUAGGAUUGCCAACUGGAUUAUGUGAACCAAGUUUGGAUUGGCUCAAGCUCACAUAUUAUCUAUCAUCAGGUCUUAUUACUAUGGGCUCAAAUUAGGCUCAAAUAAUAUUUUUUCAGGCUUCAGGUUUAUAUCGGGCUUAUGCAUCCAAACGUGUCCCCCUUCGACUUAACCGUGCUUAAUUUCUUCCAAGAGGUCCAUGCCAUCCUUUUCUCAGUACCAACCCCCACCAAAAUCUUUUAAUCGCCGACUCCAACUCCUUGAGCAAGCCAUGCUGUAAGGUGAAGCAACUCAUCAUAUAUGAUGUGAUUGAUUGUAGAACGGCUUUAAUGAAAACUUUUUUCCCUGCUUCAGACAAAUGUUUUUCACCCCACGCCUUGAUCUUGGCCAACAAACGAUCUCUGAGAAAUUGAAAAAUAUCCUUUGUUGAUUUUCGUAAGAUGGCAUGCCAAGGUAUAUUUCGUGACGAUCCACCACCCUAAAGACCAACAUAUUUUGUAUAGUUUCUUUCAUUGUCAACGCAGUUGCAGUGCUAAAGCACAUUGUCCUGCCCGGAGACUCUAGAAUAUUGGUCAAGGAUCGAUUUUAAGGUGUUGGAAUCUUCUUUAGUGGCUCGGCAAAACAAGAGUGUAUCAUCGGCAAAACAUAGAUUGGAGAUGAUAGGGGUCUUCAGGGCAAUUUGAAUCCCAUGUAACUAACCAUUGUUCACGGCUCGUUUACCAUAUAAUAAUAACGGCAUAUGCACAACAAAUAAAGAGAUAGGGAGAAAGGGGUCGCCUUGUCUUAAUCCCCGUGAAGGAGAUAGAGAACCAAACUAUGAGCCGUUGAAUAAGAAAGCGUAAGAGACGGAUGAGAUACAAAUCAUAAUGAGAUCAACAAAUUCAGGUAAGAAGCCAAAGCGAAAAAAAGAAUUUUCCUCAAAAAACACCAUUCAAUCCGAUCGUAUGCUUUACUAAUAUCAAGUUUAACCGCCGUAUAGAUUGAAAACAAAUCAAUUUUCUGAGAUGAUGAAUGCUACAACACACGGAUCUAAAAUACAUUAUGAUCAUUACUCAUUAGGACCGCCAAUUGAGCCGGGUCUAACCGAAGCCCGAUGGCUCGGCCCGACUAUAUUUGAGUCGAGCCUAAUUUUAAUUAGUCGGGGCGAGUUCUGAACCAUUUAAUAAACCUGAUUCAUUUAUGAGCCGAUUUUGAGUCUACUAUAACUCAAACCGAAUAAGGCUCGUCCGAUUAAGUUAAUAAUUAAAUAUAUAAUAUAUUUAUUAUUUUAAUGAUAUGGCUCAUAUACAUGUUACAAAUUAAAUAAUUAUUAGAUCAUUUUACGUGCGGCGACGGCAAUAGUAAAAUAAAAAUCAUAUAAUUACUUAAGGAUUAAAUAUUUGCAAUAUUAAACUUCAUUUCGUUGAAGAAACAUACUAUGGUUUUCACCUUAUUCUACGAACAUGGUAUAAAUAAUUGCAAUUCCAGUUAAUUAAAGUUUUACACAUUUUUUUAAAAAAUAUAAUGAAUAUUGUAUUUUUUGAUAUUAGAACGACAGCUUGUAAUUUUAUUUAAUAAAAACUUCAAUUAUAAAGAUCUCAUGAAGACAAAGACAUGAAAAUUGUGACACAGGGAGAAUUACACUUUUACUCCUUGACUUAUGAUCGAUUUUAGUUUUCUUCCUUGUUAUUCUAAAAUGGACAAAAUACACAUUAAUUAGCAACUAACUCGAAUAUGUAUCGUACGUGCAAUGCACGUAACCCCCAAUAUAUCUGAAUUAGGGCAAAAUGAGAGAGAAUUGCGCUUUUGGUCCCUAAUGUUUGGCACAUUUCACUUUUAGUCCCUAUUUUUCUUUUUUUUAGGAGAGUCCCUAUUGUUCGUGGUGGACAAAUAAACAGAAUUUUGCACUCACUACCCUUAUGCAAUGUUUAAUUACAAGGGUGGUGAGUAGGGGUGAAAGUCGGAUGGAUCGGAUCGGAAUUAGCGUUUUCGGAAAAUUUCCAAAAUAUUUCGGAAGUACAAAAUCAAUUUCAAUUCCAAUUCCAAUAUUUUCGGAAUCUAAAAAUUCAUUGCAAUUCCAAAAGGCUCGGAAAUUUCGAAAUUUGGGAAAACAAACGGAAAUCACAUAAGCUUUAAAAAUUCAAAACUUAGCGGAAAUUUUCGAAAAUGUUCAUAAUUUUUCAAAAAUAAGAACAUUAUCCACGUCGAUAAAAGUAAAACUAAUAAUUAAUAAAGUUCAGUUCAAAAAAAUAUAAUAAAAAUAAACACAACAUAAUAUCCAAUAAAACUUUGGCUUAAUUCCACUUUGCACCCUUGAAAUAUACCAAGACAAAACUUAAAAGGUGUAUUUGUCGGAAAAAAUAAGUAUUAUAUAAUAUAUAUUAUUUAUGGGUGUAUUUUUCGGGAAAAAUAGGAAUUUUUCGUAAUUAAUUUUGGAAAUUAAAUCGGAUCGGAAAUCAGAAAUUCCAAAUUUAUUUUAUACAAUUCCAAUUCCAAUCCAAAAAAAACGAAAAUAUUCGAAAAUCAGAAUUUCGGAAGUUAGAAUGAAAAAAAGUUGUUCCAAAAUCAGAACUUUUCGGAUCGGAACCGGCGGAAAUUGGAAUUUCCGUUCCAACUUGCAACCCUGGUGGUGAGUGCCAAAAACACGUGUAUUUUGUCCAUCUUGGAACAAUAUGGACUAAAAGUGAAAAUGAGGCAUAACAUUAGGUGAAAAAAGAAGAAGAAAAGAAUUCAAUAUGGUAACAUUAUCUCAAUGUUUUGCCCUUUGAGUUGCUCUAAGCUAAAUAUUAAUUAUUUGUCUAAACUUUUGCUAAUGUUAUAUAAUUUUUAGCCUUUUGUUGCAUUAGAUAUCUUUUUGUUCGUGAUUAGAAACUGGAGAUCUCUCUUUUCAAAAAAAAUAAAAAUAAAAAUGAAAAACAAUAUGUGUAUUGUGUAUUUGAUUUUCAUCAUAUUAACUUCUCCUUCUCCUGUAUUAGUACUGUAGAAAUACACUAUUUUAAAAGAGAUUUUGUAAAAGUUUUUUGGGAAGUACCAAUAGAUUGAAUAAUUGAACAAACAAAAAUAAUCUUACAAUAUUUAGUAACUCAGGUGGUGUUUGCAAAUGAUUAUUUAAAAGCAGAAGUUAGUGAUUGUGAUUUAAGUUAGUCUUAAGUGCUUGUUUCUAAAAGUUUGGGGUGUUUGCAAAUAUUUCGGAAAAUGAACUAAAAUUGAAAAAGUAGGGUUAUGGGUGCUUUUAAAAAAAAUAGCUUAAAGCAGAUUAUUUUAAGAGAAGCAAAAGCAAAAGUUGAUAUUGCAAACACCUAAAACCAGAUUAUGAGCUAAAAAAACCGCAUAAUCACUUUCAAAAAACAUUUGCAAACACCACCUAAGACUCAACAAUUGACCAAUUUAUUAUUCAAAUAAGUACACCAAAAACAAUUUUUUCAAAUAUUUUGUAAAAUACAUGUAUUCCUGUACACCUUCAAUUUUUAUCCUUUUUUCGACAUAUCCAUGUAUCACAAUUCUACCUCGCUAGAAUAAAGACACCUCCAAAGGCUGGUUAGAACCCUAUAGGAUGAAAAUUAACUAAUAUAUCAAAUUACAACCCAUUAGGAUUAUAGGUAUAUUAAUCUAAAUAUAUAUAUUAGACGAUAUGGUUUGAUGUAUAAAUAUUGCUAUAUAGAAUUAUUUUUGGUGACUUUGAAUCGUCCUAAUCUACUAAAUAGGAUUAUAGGUAUGUUAAAGAUUCGUUGAAUCGUUUAGCAAUUCAUCUACGAAAGUAGUCAUAUGGCAACCACUGCACAAGCUUGUGCAAGUUAUAACCAUAUCAAUAUAUACCACCAAUAGAAUGGUUAGCAAAAGGUAUUCAGACAUAAACGAACACGCCACUGGUUGUGACCAUUUGAUCACGAAGGUCGCUCCCUUCUUCUUUCCUUUUCGCACAUACGCAUGCCUCGCAUUUGUUCAUCUUCCAAGCAUUCUCAUCCUGAAUGUAAAUUUUCAUUUUUCAUUUAUGAUGUUCUAUUUAAUUAGACUAAUGAGGGACUAAAUAUAGAAUAAUAAUGUGAAUUGGAACAUUUUCUCGAUAAAAAAAAAAAUCCUAGAUAAUCAUAGUAAUAUAUUUUUGAACAAUAUAUAUACAUCGAUAGUAACAACGGAGACACCAGGAAAAAGGGAGAAAAAUGAAAACUCUACAAAGAAUACCUUUGAAGGAUGAGAAAUAGAAAAUCUGUUGAAAAUCGGGCAUCGAAUAACAAGUGAAGUAUGGAAUUGUGAGAUGACAUGAUAGUAAUUCAAUGAAUUUAUGUUUAUUAGUCUACCAGUAUGAAUUAUGUUUAUUAUUUGAUUAUAUUUAACUUAAUGAUAAAACUAAGUUGCAAGAGUGGGAUAAAAUAUUUUUCUCAUAUAAUUCAAUGAUAUUAAUGGUGAGUGAAGAUGUUAUUUAGUAAGACCAAAAUCUGAAUAAAGGAAUAAACAAUGGAAUACCAAAAGUUGGAUGAGAGAAGACGUUCUCAUCAACUCAUUCAUUACAUAGACAUGAACUUAUUAAUUAUUAAAAAUAUUAAUUGAAAUCAAUUGUUAGAAGAAGAUCUCUAUUUUACGGAGCUAAUUGCACAUACCCCCUGUGUAAUCUCGAACGACUAAAAAACACCUUGUGUUAAAAAAAUUAGCACAAACCCCCCUAUGUUGUUUUGUACGAAGCACACUGCCCCUUUUAUUAAAAUUAGCUAUUGACUUACAUACAAUGACUAAUUUAUCCUUAUGAAAGAAACAUGAAAUUGUUAAAAAAAACAAAAAAGAAUUUCGGACAAAACCCAAAACCAUCUUCCCCAACACAUUGGAAAAUCUUAUUUAAAAAAAAACAUAAAAAAAAAAAAAAAAAAACAGUUAAAAAAAAUGAGCUAUUGUUUUGUUUUUUUUCUUUUUUUAAAUACUCCCCAAAACAUUCAUCUUCUUAGAUUUUUAAUAAUUUUUCAAUAAUCAUAUCUCACAACUCGCCAGAAUCGAAGUGUUACAGUUCAAUUUGUCCGAAAAAUGAUUUCCCCCGUCGAAUCUACAUCGAACUAGACCCACUUUUAGAAAUCACCGACCAUCAAAUUUGGCCGGAAAAUGUUUGCCCACAUCGAAUCUACCUUUAACCAGGCCCCCACCCUUAUUUCUCGCCGGAAUAACUCUCCGUAGUCGGAUCCGGUUGUUCUUGCCGGAAAAAUGUUGUUGAAGGACGCAUGUGUUGAAAAUCCUCCAUUACUGAUGAACGGCGGAGGGUUGGGGGGUUCAAGCACUUGGCGUUGGAAAAGAGAAGUUGUCGGUGGAGGAGAAGAUUGGAGGAGGCCGGUGGUGGGAGGAAAGGGGCGGCUGUAGGAGGAGGAAAUUCGGGAAGAAGACGAGUCUAAUUGAGAUCUAUUUUUUUUUGUUAUUUUUGUUUGCGUAAGAAAUUUUGAAAAAUUACAAUUUGAUCCAAAAGUUUGUAUUAUUUACAUUUACACCCAAUUGAAUUUGUGUUUAUUUAUAAAAGAAUUUAAGAGGGUGUUUUUGACUUUUCACAUCAAAAAUUACACUCUCAGUUACACAAGCAGCGCGUACAACACACGACAUGCUGUCAAGGGGUUUUUUGCCUUUGACUAAUUUUCAUCGGGGGGUUCCUGCUAAUUUUUUUAACACGAGGGGUUUUUCGACAAUUAGAAAUUACAGAAGGGUGGUCCUUGCAAAAAACCCCUAUUUUACGUACCAUAACUAAUUAAUAAUAAUACUAAUACUUAUAAUUAUUAUUAUAUUAAUUUAUAUUAUUAUAGUUAUUAUAAGAAUAAUAAUAAUAAUAAUGAUAAUAAUAAUAAUAAUAAUAAUAAUAAUAAUAAUAAUAAUAAUAAUAAUAAUAAUAAUAAUAAUAAUAAUAAUAAUAAUAAUAAUAAUAAUAAUAAUAAUAAUAAUAAUAAUAAUAAUAUGUGCAAGAGUUCAAAUAUGUUGAGUGCAUUUGUGGUGUAAUGACUGUUAAAAUAAUAAAGACAUCCAUUCAAAACUUUAAAAAAAUAAUGCAAGAUUUAAUAUACAGUUAGGUCACCUAGGAGGGGUGGCAAAUCGUAAAACUCCUCUGUUGAACAUUUAUCUCUAUAUCAAGCCUCAUAACUAAGCAACAAAGUAACAAAGAAGUCUAUCAGCUCUAACCCAACCAAAUCUCCCCACACCCACCUCCGCAACAGUGGAGAAAUUUUGUGUUCUAUAUUUGAUAGGAUGAAAGUACAACACUGUUAAGUGUAUAUUUUUACACUUAAUUGUACCUUUUAAUUGGAGCUUUUGGUGUGUUUUAAUGAUAAUUGGUGCUUAAAAUGGUUAUUAUUUGUAUUUUAGGUGCAAAUUGAAGAAUUGUCAACUUUUGGGGUGAAAACUGCAAAUUCGGAGAAAAAGUGGGCCAAAAGUGAAAUAAUCAGAAUUCUGAAGAAUUGAAGACCGCGCGGCCGUGCGGGUUUUAAGCUUAUAUUUCACACGGCCGUCCGGAUUGACGUAGGGGCGCAGUGAAGGAAGUUUAAUUACACAAGGAAACCCGCCCUAUUAUAUUUUUGCACCCUAUUUAAAGGCCACAAGCACACAAUUAGGAGGAUCUUUUACCUUUUUAUCGUUUAUCUUUAGUUUUUAUCUUUCAUCUUUCUACAAGCAAUCGAGGAGGAAGAGAACGAAGACGAAGACUUGACGAAUCUUCAUCCUAGUUUUCCUUUUUACUUUUCUUUUCUGAUUUUUAUGAAUUCUCGUAUUUUUAUUAUGCUUUCCGUUACGAACAUGAGUAGCUAAGCUUUUAAUCUAAGAUUUUGUUGGAACCCUAUGUGGUAAUUCGAACCUAUUUUUCUACUUUUAUGCAAGUUUAAUUCUUCGAUUAUUUCUUCUAUCUUGAUCUUAUUUAGCGCAUGAACGUAGCUAAUUUAUGUUGCUACUUGUUAUUGUUAGAAUUGAUUGACAGGUCGUUUUAAUAAUUAGAACAGGGAUAGAAGAGCCUUCGAGUAGUUUUUCACCGAAUGCGUGUGUUGAUUGCAUGUAUUAUCGUAGACAUACAGAUAAUACCUUAGGUAGCCGUUUACGAGACUUGUUAUUUAAUGCUUUAUUUGUACUAGGUUUGCAUAGACAUAUAGUGAAUCUUUUAUGAAUAAUAGGCUUAUAACGCAGCGACAGCUGGUUAUGAGUAAUUUCGUGUCUUGGGUUAAUAAUCGGGAAUCGUAACUUGCAUGAUAGGAGAUUAAUUGGGUGAAGAAUUAUCGCAUAGGGGGAAGAUAAAAUCCUAGAUCCGUUUUAUAUUGAUAUUUUCUCGUAAUUACUUGCUUUCUUAAUUAGUUUAAUUUAUUUAGUUAAUUAAAUUGACAACCCUGCGUAGGCUGGAUAAAAAUAACAAUUGUGAGAAUUUGGUACUUAGGAUUAAAUAAUUUGCGUAUUCCCUGUGGGAUCGACAUCCGACUCUCACGAGUCUACUUUACUACUUGUUUGCGAUACGUACACUUGCGUGUUGGUAUUUAGCACCCAACAAACACCUAUAACUAUUUUGCAAACUUUAUGCUAGUCGCUAUAAAAAAAUAGUAACAUUUUUUUUCUUCUACAAAUCUACAUUUAUCAAAUAUACGAAACAUCAUAAAAAAGAAAAGACUGAAUCCAUAUUCAUUAGUUUCUUUCAAGUUGUAGGGGGAGAAGGCAUAUGGAUCAAAUUAACAUUUUAUGGAUUCAAUUUGAAGGUCUGGCCUCAAGGUCCAUGAUCUUUGUCUGAUUUGCACUAAUCAAUGACCCCUCUGAAAGGCUAAAAUCAUCUAAGCACGGAUUUCAAUUAAUUAUUUCGUAGAACACGGGUGAAGAUGCUCACCUAGUUUCCUGCAUAUCUUUGUUGGAUAGCUUUAAUCUUUGGUUGAAGAUUCUGUAUUGCUAGCGUUGAUUCGACCAUUCAUCGACGCCGUCACCAACCGUCGCCGGCGGUUUAAGCCGUCACGCCCAAGCAUCUGCCGCCCGCCACCACCCAGCAUCUGCAGUAGUGCUUCUUCUUCAUUUUUUUUGUCGGCGCCAGAUAUGGCGAGAGAGAGUUAACGAGUGGGAGAGAUGGAGAAAUGGAUCUAUAAACGGCUAGACGUGUGAGUGGGAGAGAUAUGGGGUUAGGACAUGUAUUGAAUUGAAACUAAAAGAAAAAAAUAGGCACUUCAAGUUGCCCAGGGGAUCUGCCUAAUCAAAACUACAAUUGAGUUUUUUUUUACUAGGGCAAAAAAAUCUUUAGGACCUUCUUAUAUGUAUUUUCAUAAAUAUGGAGUAUCACUCAUUUACCCUUUUUUGUUUGCAUUUUUUUUCACAUGUUUUUUUUUUGGUAUUGUUGUGUUGACCGGCAUUAGGGUGGAAGGUCGUAAACCCGCGGGUUUUCAAGAACCAAAAUAAUGGGUUUUAAGCGGGAUUAGAGUUUAGACCAUAUGGAUUCAUGUAGGGUUUUUAAUAUGACCCAAUUUUACUAAGCGUAACCUAUUAAUAGUUAAGUAAUAGUUUCUCUCUUUUUUUUCUUUUUUUUUUUUUUUCUUUUUUUUUGAUUUACAAGAUUUUUUCAUAUUAUUUUACAUUCAAAUAAUUCAAAAAAUUUAAAUAUUGAAUUCAAACCAGUAAGGAGCCUCAAUUUUGAUAAAUGUAUGAAUUGUUGUAUUACAUAAAUAUAUAUGUGUGUGCAAUACAAAAAAAUGGGCUAUUAGUGAGGAUCCUCUCUAAUAUUAUUUUAAUAAGGAUGGUUUCAAAAUCCUUUCCUUUUUUAGUAGGCGACCUAUCUUUUUUUUUAUUCUCAAAUUUACCCUCCACUAUUCAUUACCCAUUAUCUACUACUUUUAUGUAUUUUUUUUAUUUUUUAUUUCUUAUAUUUUAAUUUUCGUUUUGGUUUUUUUUUUCUUUUUUAAAAAAUAAUAAUUUAAUUUUUUUUUAAAUAUAUUUUUAAGAUAUUUUAUUACGAUAUUUUUUAGUUUUCAGUUAAAACAACUAUAUUUCAGUAAAACAACUAUUAUUAAAAAUAACUGUUAUUAAAACAAAGUAGUAUUAAAACAAUUAUAGAACAAUAUGACUAUUCAUUAAAUUAAUUAUAUAUUAUAUUAUUUCCGUUGUAAAAUUAACUAGUUAUUUAAUCAAACCAUCUCCAACAACUCUUGUUUAUCAGAAAUCAACUACUUGUUAAAUCUAACUAUUUACUCAAACCAACUAAUAAAUAAUGAAAACAACUAUAUUGUUGUGCGAAAACAACUAUAUUGUUAUAUGAAAACAACUACAUUGUGAUCAACUACAAAUUAUUGAAAUCAACUAAAACAAAAGCAAAAACACACACCAAAACUCCAACAAAAAAGACUAUUAAUUAAACCAACUACAACCAUAGAGAAAUCAACUAUAUUUUUUUGAGUAACACGAACACAAAUUCAACUAUAUUUUUUUGAGUAACACGAACAAAAAUUCAACAAACAAACAUAUGGUCUACUAUUGAUUCACCGAUAAUAAGUCUCCCAAACAAUAUCGAACAUAACGGACGAAACAAAUCCGCCUAUGUUAACGGCAUCCGAGGUUACGCUUGGGCGUCGGCGGUCGCAAUUCUCACAUGAAAAUGCAGUCCAAGGUUUCGUCAUUCUCGUCAAGGUUGAUUGAUUCUAUUACAACAGCGGUGGAGGUGGUCUUCCGACGAGAUUGCAGUAAUGCUUCCAUAAAUUGAAGAACAAAAAGAAAAGGAAAAAGGUACAGCAAAUCUGCCCAUCGAACGGAAAGGACAGGGGGAUACCAAAAAUGGCCGUUGUUGUCCUUGUUUUGGCAGCGGCGCCUUGUCGUUGUCGAGAUAUGAUGCCGUCUUCGUCCUCUCCUUGGCCCUCACAUCCGCCGCCGUCGGAUUCCCUAUUCAAGAAAGAAGAGAAGGGGGUCUUCCUCUUCAUUGUUGAGAUGUGGCGCCACCUUCGCUGCCGCCGCUGACACUACUGAAUUUCAGUUCCAGAAAGAAGAGAAAAGGUGAUGGGAUUAGAGAAUGGCGUUUUGUUAAACACGAUGUGGCUAGGGUUUGUAGAUAUAAGAUUUGGCAAUUAAGAGUAAUAUAUGUAUAGCACUUUAUAAUUGUAUUAAUAUUAAGGGGCUCUUUGAUAAAUCCCCCUCAAUAUUUCUUUUAAUAGGGAGAUUGAUACGCGUUUUCCUCACGUAUAAAUUACCGCAAGUAUAUACAGUAUCGCAUUUUGCAGAACAAUGGUUCUGGAAAUCGAUCCAGAUGGACCUAUAGAUUCACAUGCUGAGGAAUAUAAUUAUGUUAUCGUAAUAUUAUCUAGCCGAUUGUAAAUAAUUGGAAUGGUGAUAAACCCUAGUUUAAUAACAUGCAAGAUCGUAAACAUGCAAAUAUAGGAUGUACGUAAAUAGAAUAGCGAAAACUCAACACGGGAGGGUUUCGAUUUAAAGGGGACUUCUAGGGAAAAAUCCACCAAAGUAUAAUAAAAAACAAUCUACAGGUCGAUGAGACAAUUCGUGAUGGAAGUGACGAAAGCACGGCCAACUCAAUUGCGAUAGAAAAAGUGCUCGGAAAAAGCAAAGGGCUUGGAAUUAAGAUUGCAACCACCACAAAGAGUUCAAAGUCGAGAUUUUCUUCAAUUCCGCCGGAAGUGCAAAUGGAAAUGAAUUCAAUGAAAGAGCAAAUGCAACUUAAAGAUGAAAAAAUGGAAAGAUUGGAAGCGGAAUUGAAAGAAACCCGAGAAAUUGUGAACACCUUAGUCGGUCGUUUUGGACUACAAGCCUCGACAUCGACUCCUUCCAAUGAUGGUGGAGUAUAAAAAGGGAUGAAUUUUGUUUGGUUUUUGAAUUAAAGUUUGAAACACUACAUUAUAUGCUUUUAAGUUUUUAUGUACUUUUUUAAUUUAUGUUUUGUGCUACCUUGACACGAUCUUAAUCCGUAUCAAUGGUUUUAAUAUUUUCGAUAUAAGUGUAUUUUUUUUUUGUACAACUGCAAAAUACAGGUUGAAUUUCUUAAUUGGAAAAAUAAAUAAACCAGAAAUUAUAUUAAAAAAAAAAAAAACCUAGCGACGAAUAAAUAAAACAAAUCGUCGCAAAUAAAUCGUGGAACUUGCGACGAAAACUGUUAUCAGUCGCAAACUUUUUCGCAAACGUAGCGACGAAACCGUCACAAAACGUCGCUUAAUGUAGCGACGAAACACCUAAUUCGUCGCAAAGGGUUGCGACUUAUUAUAGGAUCCGUCGCGAAUAUUAAAAAAAACAUUUUUUCCAGAAAAUACGAAUGUUGCGACGAUUUAUGACAUUCGUCGCCAAUCUUUGCGUCGAAAACAGCUUUUCGUCGCAGACCUUGCGACGGGUCGUUUGGCGACGUUUUUUGUAGGAUUUGGCGACGAAAAAAAUUCGUCGCAAAGCGUAAAAAAUCGUCGCCAAAUGCACAUUUUCGUCGCUAAAUUUCGUCGCCAGUCGACCAUUUUGGCCUAGUGCAGUAUCGCAUUUUGCAGAACAAUGGUUCUGGAUAUCGAUCCAGAUGGACCUAUAGAUUCACAUGCUGAGGAAUAUAAUUAUGUUAUCGUAAUAUUAUCUAGCCGAUUGUAAAUAAUUGGAAUGGUGAUAAACCCUAGUUUAAUAACAUGCAAGAUCGUAAACAUGCAAAUAUAGGAUGUACGUAAAUAGAAUAGCGAAAACUCAACACGGGAGGGUUUCGAUUUAAAGGGGACUUCUAGGGAAAAAUCCACCAAAGUAUAAUAAAAAACAAUCUACAAAUCCGUUAUCUAAAGUCACAUUCCUAUUCGUUAACCCAGACGCUAAAUUACUCUAACCCCCGUAUCCAGUGUAGUUAGAGUCUACCCACAGGUCCGACGUCUCCGUUCAGAACCUGCUAUUAAUAGAGAAUUUAGGUCAAGUCCUUGAGGGCUACCCGAAGUGCAUCACGUCUCUGUUUCCACACCCCGAGCUAUGUUUUCAUAACUUCAAACAAGAAAUCCUCUCUCGAGUUCAUUGCUAUUUAAUAUCAAUCCGGGAGUUGAUCAAACAAUCAGAAGCAUUUGAAAACAUAAACGAAACAAAAACACGACAAAUAGAUAACACAAAUGACGAUUGAAAUCAAUAUAUGCAAGAUUUCAUUACCCUAGAAGAAGAUGUUAUUAGUUCAUAACAAACAUAGAGUUAAGAGAAUGUACACAGGAAAUGAAGAACAAAACGUAAAGACAUUGCGUAAGAAAAACCAAAGUCGAAACCCCCGUUGACGAUUCCCGUGAAGAACUAUUGAAAACCGUAAAAAGUCUAAGAAGAAUGAAGAAUGAAAGGGCCUUCCUAUUUAUAGUUUAAUGCAAAGCUUCCUCAAUAAGAUUUGCAAAUAAAUAUCUUUACUGAAAAGUCAUGCCCAGAUCACUAUCAGGGAUGGCUGGAUCGUGAUCUGGUAGCCUUGGGAACCGCCCACCGCCAUGCCAGAUCGCGAUCCGGGUAUGUGCAUCGUGAUCUGGGUCUUCAACAAAUCCGCAUUGUGAGAACCCCCAGAUCGCGAUACGGAGUGCUGGAUCGUGAUCUGGAUCUUGAUAAAAAAAUCUUUUGUAUAAACCCCCAGAUCGCGAUCCAGAAUGUAGAUAGCGAUCUGGGUCUUGAUCGUGUUUCUUUAUGUGACAUCCCCCUGAUCGCCAUUUGGGUCUUCUUGGCCCCAAAAUUGACUUGAAAAUUCUGUUUCUCUUUCAAAUGGCUUCGACUCGGCAAAUAUAUCUAACGAAACCUAUGGAAAAGAAAUAAAACAAGAAACGCAAUAAUAUUUACAUAUAAAGCCGAAACUCGGACGAACGAAGACCAAAACUCGAAGAUUCGAUAAGCAAAAAUCGUGCAAAACGAACACUUAUCACACCCUCAAACUUAGAUCUUUACUCGUCGCGAGUAAAUCAAAACGAAACUAUAACAAAAAGGAAUAAAAACAACAAACUAAACUAGGCCACUAAUGUAGGGAAACACGAUUGCAUUUAGCUUAUGCAACAAGCCUUUGAACCCCUGGGUACCUCCAAAGGACGAGUUGUGUCUCAUGAGAGUUUUCAGACAACACACCCACAAAGUUGCCGGAUUGGUCAAAGCAUUGCAAUUAAUUUCAAAGGUAAAACGAGCUAGAUAACCUAAAAUCUCAGAAUGGCAUAUGGCUUAAGAUAUUCGACUUUCCCACCGACGCAAUUAGUUGUUUCUACACCAAAAUAAUAGAUAGACUCAAGAAUCCGUAAUCAAACAAUAAACACAAUCAUCGAGGGUUUUGAGUAGAAAUGUGGAUGAAAAGUAAGUUUUGAUUCUGAAAUUCAAAAUUUUGAAUUGGGCAUAAGUAGAUCAACUUAUUCAAUAGAAAAAAUGACAACAACAACAACAAUUGUUUUGGUGAUUUUCAUCACAACUUUUUAUCUUUCCAUUUUUCUUAAACGGGAAUAAUCGUGACUCGUACAAGACUUGAUACCACUGUGUUAUCUCUCUGACCCAUGUAUCGAACUUUACUCCAGGAAACCUCCAAGCUUGAAAGCUCGAGAGACUAGGCGACGAAGUGCACCCAACGGGUUAAGCUCGAGUCAGAAAGGCUGAGAAAUCAAAGCGCCAAUCACAACAAUACGUUAUUAUUAUUAAUUUACUUUUUUUUUUUCAGAACGUAAUAGCAUAAAAUAAAAACGUAAAGACCAUUGAUUGAACUUUUAGCCAACAACUCGAAUUGUGAAUACAUAAUUCAAUUCUAACUCGCCCCCCAAACCUCAGACUGUUAUACCCCUCAGAAAAGUGCACUCAUGCUUAAUAGGAAAGGAUUCGAAAGGCUCUACACACAAAGAUUCGAAAUGCAUGUGACAAACAUAACACAAUUACGGAAAUCGAAAUACAUAAAUGAAACUAAAUUAUAUGAUAUGCAUGCAAAAGACCAAAUUAAAAUAAGAUAAAUAAAAUAAAAAUAAAAUCAAAGUCUAGUAAAGAUAAAUCAUAAACGAAACCAAUCCAAAACAAACGAAAUAAAAAGAAAACAAAUAAAACAAGUUCAACAAACACCACCCUCAAACUUGAAAUCUAGCAUAGUCCCUAUGCUCAAAGAAGAAUAAAAAAUAAAAGGGAUAGAAAACACAACAUCCCCUAGAUGUCAUGGUCUUCCUCGAUAGCUCGUCCCUAGUCCUCCCGAAGGCCACGCUCGUGCUCUUCCCAGACUGGCCUCACUAGUGUGGUGGCUACCGCUCGUGCUGCUUCUUCGGCAGCUGCGUUAGAGGAAGAUGCUCCGUCAAAUUGAGGCCGUGGUGGGAAGGGUUGUGGCUCGACUAUGUCGUCCGUCCUACACUGUAAUGUUGCUACCAUCACCUUGAUCAUCUUCCUGAACCAGCCCACGUUCUCCUCCAUAGCAUCCAUCCACUCGUCUAUAUACUCUGGAAGUGGCGGAGCUGUUGCUGUCUGCUGUCGUUUCCCGCCUCGUGGUGCGGGUCGGGCUGGUCGGGCAUCAUCGGAUGGUGGUGCAUGUGGUUCAGGGCCAUCGCCCUCGCCCUGUGGACCAGAAGCUGGCUGGAUCUUGUCGAACGGGAAGAUCAGCUUUGGAGCCUUUGUCACUUUGUCAUCGGCAAACAUCGCGACAUUAGCCGCUUUGCACAAGGCCGAUGAGGGACGGGAACAUCGGGCCCAAGGAGGUGUCGCCCAUGCACUGUCAAAUCUCCGAGUGAAUAAUGGCACCCACGUUCAGAGGGGUUCCCUUCAUGAUUUCAUACAUCAACGUGAGGCGAGUGGCAUAGGUCCGGGCCGUUAAAACUGUCGGCAUGAGUUGGGAGCAAACGAAGUACAUCCAGAUCUUGGCCUCCCUCGACAGCUCUGCUUGAUAGAACCAUUUAUCUCCGUGUGCCGAAUAAGAUCCUCUGGAGCACAAGGCCAGAAUGAGAUGUUGGUACGUUGUUUCCAUCUUUAAUGCUUGGAACGGCUCGGUUGGAAUGUUUAGAUAAUUAGGGGAUAUCUUGUAGACUCGAUUGAUGGCGUUUGCAUCAUAGCAAACUUCCACGCCCCAGAUAAAACCACCGAGCCCUUGUAUUGACCGGCAUUGGCGUAGAAUAGCCGGACCAAAUUCUCGUUGUAGGUGCCCGUUUUGUCAAACGAGGAUUCUCCAAUGCCUAUCCAGGAUGUUGUUGACAACCGAAGGACAUCCAAUCGUGCGCACAUCCAACUCACGUCUGGGAUGAUCGAUCGAGGGAAGCGGUCGAUAUACUCACUCUUGGCUUCGACAUUCACAUAAAUAUCUUCACCGUGCUCGUCGAAGGUGACUUCAUUCAUGAGCAUGCACGGGUGCCCGUGUUGAGUGGCACGUCACCGGUUCUGGGGAUGGCUUGCUCGGCCGGUCCACCCGAAUGUGAAGGCGAGUUUUAAGUACAUUCUUCCCCCUUUUGGUUUAACCCUUGCCCUUCUUCUUUGCCGGAGCUUUUCCCUUUCCCUUCGGUUGGGAUUUAUUGGAGUUCUCACCCGUUCUUUGGAGUUUGUUUGGCAGUGAAUUCAUGUGUGAAUGAAGGGUGCAAAUAGGCUUGAGAUUUGGUUCCGACAAUUCGUCGAACACUUGGCGCGCGCAAGUUCUUGAGAUUCUUUGAAUGUUCGUUUCUUUCGAAAUCUUACCCUCAUACAUCAAUCAACACAACAACAACAACAAUCAAUAACCAUCAACAGACAAAAAUAAGCAUAAAAGACUCAACCCAAGAAAAUUUCCACAAGAAUUCCGAAAUUAAGCAUAAUAGGGCAAUUCAUAUAUCUCAACAUUGGUUCAACCAAUUAAUCAAGCUUUUAAAUCCCAAAAUCAAGUACACAAAUACGUACAAGCAUAAACCAUGAAAAAUCAAGGGAACAAACAAGAAAAUUGGAAGAAAUUCGAAAUUUCAAGCAAAACUCAAAAAUUUGGGUCAAGAACAUACAUUUGUUGAAGAUUCGUCCACAAUUCUCAAUAACAACAAGAAAUAAUCGUUAAUUGUUGAUGAAAAUCUAAAAAUAUGCAAGUUUUAUGAGAAAAUUUGAUAGAGAAUUGAAGUUCUAGGGUUUGAGGGAAAAGGAUUUCGAGUUUUGUAAAAGAAAGAAGUGAGAAAAAAAGAAAAAAAGGGUUUUGAAUUUGUAACUGUUCUCGUCCCCAUAUCGUGAUACGCAAUGGGUGGAUCGCGAUCUGGGUCUGCCGUUUUUUACUUACUGUGAAACCUGCCAGACGCGAUACGGAUAUCUGGAUGGCGAUCUGGGUCUGCAACUUCUAGCUUCUGUAAGACCCCCAAGAUUGCGAUACGGAUAUCUGGAUUGCGAUCUAGGUAUGCCCCCUUUUUGCUCUCUGUAAGACCCCCAAGAUUGCGAUACAGAAAUCUGGAUCGCGAUCUGAGUCCUCGGUUUUUUUUCUUCUGUAUAACACCCCAUAUCGCGAUACGCCAUGCUGGAUCGCGAUCUGGUUCCUCUCCAAAUUAUUAUUAUUAUUAUUAUUAUUAUUAUUAUUAUUAUUAUUAUUAUUAUUAUUAUUAUUAUUAUUAUUAUUAUUAUUAUUAUUAUUAUUAUUAUUAUUAUUAUUAUUAUUAUUAUUAUUAUUAUUAUUAUUAUUAUUAUUAUUAUUAUUAUUAUUAUUAUUAUUAUUAUUAUUAUUAUUAUUAUUAUUAUUAUUAUUAUUAUUAUUAUUAUUAUUAUUAUUAUUAUUAUUAUUAUUAUUAUUAUUAUGNNNNNNNNNNNNNNNNNNNNNNNNNNNNNNNNNNNNNNNNNNNNNNNNNNNNNNNNNNNNNNNNNNNNNNNNNNNNNNNNNNNNNNNNNNNNNNNNNNNNNNNNNNNNNNNNNNNNNNNNNNNNNNNNNNNNNNNNNNNNNNNNNNNNNNNNNNNNNNNNNNNNNNNNNNNNNNNNNNNNNNNNNNNNNNNNNNNNNNNNNNNNNNNNNNNNNNNNNNNNNNNNNNNNNNNNNNNNNNNNNNNNNNNNNNNNNNNNNNNNNNNNNNNNNNNNNNNNNNNNNNNNNNNNNNNNNNNNNUUAUAUCUUUUUUUUCCAGCGGCGAGUCUUUGGAGAUCCAAUUUGUUGACUCAACAUUAAUUAACUUCAACAUUAAUUAACAUUACAUAUUUUGUUUUCCCGGCAAAAGGUAACCUGAGCUCCGAUUAUUUAACUUGCAUUAGCUGACUCAGCAUUAGUUAACUUCAACAUUAGUUGACAUUAGAUAUUCCAACUUUUUUUUCCUUUAUCUUUUUUCCAAUAUCUUUUUUUUCCCUUUUAAUUUGUUUCCGAUGCUUGAUCGUCGGAGCUCCGGUUAACUAACUCAAUGUUAGUUAACUUUGACAUUAGUUGAUACCAAUUUAAAAAAAAUAUUUCUAAAAAAAUUACUUAAAAAAAAUAAAAAAUCUACCAAUGUUAAAGUUAACUAAUGUUGAGUCAGCUAACCGGAGGUCCGACAACCAUCCACUGGACAAAAAGUAAAAGAAAAAAAAUUGGAUUGUUUCAAGUUAAAUAAUGUUGAGUCAGCUAACUAUAAUUCCGAGUACCCACGACAAGAAAAAUAAAAAGGAAAAAAAAUUAUACUGUUUUUUCCAAAUAACAAAACGAAAAAAAAUAUUUCUACCAAUGUUAAACUUAACUAAUGUUGACUCAGCUAAUCAGAGUUUCGACGACCCUCCACCGGAAAAAAUUUAAAAGAAAAUAGAGAAGAAAAAAGAAAAAAAAUGGAUUGUUUAAAAUUAACUAAUUGAAGUUAACUAAUGUUGAGUCAACUAAGUGGUGCUCUGACGACUCACCUUUGAUAAAAAAAAAUUAUAUAUAUAUUUUUCAAAAAUAAAAACUACAAAAAAAUCUGACCAGGCCAGACCGGACCGGACCGGCCUGGUGGGCGGGUGGGAUGGGAUGGGAGUGGAUAAAUAUGAUUGACCUAAUUUGAAGAAAAAUAAUUCAAAUUUUAAAUAAAUAAAUAUUUUUUGGCAUAAAUUCCACUUUUAUUGUAAAUUUCAUGCACUGAACCACUUAUCUUACUAAAAACUUGCAUUAAACCCCCACAAUAGUUAUCGACAGUGGCGAAUCCAGAAUUUUUGCCAAGGGUGUUCGAAAAUAAAUAUAAUAAAAAAUAUAAUGGUUGGUUAAUAGUUUACGGGGGUUCGGGGGCAGCGCCCCCCAUUUUAUGCAGUUUCCCGGGAUUUAGGCCUUGUUUGGAUUUCAGGAUUUCAGUGAUAGUGAUAAAUACAGAGAAGAGAGUGUAAAAAUUUGGAAGGACAUGACGAAAUAUUUGAUGGUGGUCGUUUCUGGUGGAAUGAAUCAACAAAGGAAUCAAAUUUUUGAUGCGGUUGUUAUUGCAAGAAUCUUAAAUUCCACCUUUGUUUGGGAAUUUCAAUUUUGUUAAAAAUUCUUAAUACUAAAUUUUAGAUUUUGGGUUGAAGAUGCAGAAAUUAAUUCUUAAUUUCAGGUUUGGGAAUGGUGGUGAUGGUGGUGGUGCAGCGACGGAGCAGAGGUGUGUUGAUGUUUGAUUGUGCGAGGUGAAAUUCACGUUCGGCUGCCAAGAGGGAAGAGGAAGAAGAUGACCAAUUCUUCUCCUUUUCUUUUUUUUCUUCUCUCUGUAUUCUAUAUUUCUCUUUCUUAUAUAAUAUUUCUAAAAACCUGGUGAGAUAGCAAAAUUACCCCUCUAUUUUCUCGUGUGAGUUGCACGUGUGCAAUUCAGAGAAUAAUUUGGCUAAAUAGGUAAUUUCGGUGCCGGUGCUAUAACUAAUAGAGUUUCGGUUGCUCGUGCAAGUUUUUUUCAUUCAGGGGAUAAAGUGCAAAAACGUCCAAAGUUUAGGGAACUUUUUACGGUUAACCUUUUAUAUAUAUAUAUAUAUAUAUAUAUAUAUAUAUAUAUAUAUAUAUAUAUAUAUAUAUAUAUAAUAGAAUCAAAUUAAAAGAAAAAGAACAUGGGAAGAAAUAUAAUUCUCUGCUAUAUAUAAAAAAAUAAAGGAUUAUAACAAAAAUAAUAUAAUUAGCAAAUACCACAAUCAUACUAAUGUCAUAUCUUUAUUUCAAAUUCUUAUUGAAAACUUAAAGAAUCAUUACGCAGCAAGGCUACAGAACCGGUUGAUUCGGAUUCAGUUCCCCAAGUCUGAUCAUCAUAGCUUGGAAUCUCAGAUGAUUGCGAAGGUUGAGGAGGAAUCAUCAUAUUUUCAUCCUCACCUUCUAACAUUUUCAAAACAUUACUCAUCGACGGGCGAUCACUUGGACUCAUCUGUAUGCACCACAAUCCAACUAUUGUCAUCUUUCUCCUCAUUUUUCUCGCAUCAUCAUCGUCGUCCUUUUCCUCAUCAUCAUUAUUUUCAUACAUAUUUCCAAUUUCAAUGUCUUCGCCUUUAUUCAAGUGAUCAUAUAUCCAACACGGAAAAUAUUGGGUCGAUUUGUUUUCAAUAUUAGGCCCCGUCCCUUUGUUAAGCCCCAACAUUUCCAUCAACAACAUCCCAAAGCUAUAAACAUCGGCCUUGUAAGACACUCCACCGAUGCUUCUAUUCAUUAGCUCAGGAGCCACAUAGCCUAUUGUUCCCCUAACUGCAGUGAGAGUCACUGUAGUAUUAUCUGUUGAGUAAAACUUUGCCAGACCAAAAUCGGAUAUUUUAGGUGUGAAAUUUUCGUCAAGAAGUAUGUUGUGAGGCUUUAUGUCGAAAUGCAGGAUUUGUAUGUCGCAUCCUCUAUGCAAAUACUCAAUUCCACGAGCCACUCCAAUUGCAAUCUCGUACUUCCUCUUCAGAUUAAGUGAAUCACCUUUUUCCUUAUUAAAUAUGUACUUUUCGAGCGAACCAUUAGGCAUGAAGUCGUAGACAAGGGCGCGUUUGGAUCUUUCUGCACAAUACCCGACAAGUUUAACCACAUUAACAUGAUGGAUCCUUCCAAUUGUGGCUACUUCAUUGAUGAAAUCUUGCCCAUUUGAGCUAGGCUUGGCAAGUACUUUGACCGCUACAUCAUGGCCGCUUCGAAGUUUUCCUUUGUAAACAGAACCGUAGCCUCCUUGGCCUAGUUUUUCUCGAAAGCCUUUUGUGAUUUUCUUCAUAUCUGAGUAUGUAUAGCGGAUUGUUUUGAGAUUUGUGUUACUUUGCAGGAAGCCUUCAAUUACGUCGAACAUUGACAAAUGCCUUCUUUGAAAUUUAUAGAUCAAAAGACCAAGCAUGCAAGGCAUUCCAAUUACGAUCCUCAGUGUUAGGCUGGACAUAAGUAUCAAAGCUGGAAACCGAAAACCUUGAAGUUAUUAGUGUCACUCACUUCAAAUUAGAAAAUCCUUACAAGCAUUGAAAAAAGAAUAUUGUGAAAUAAGUUCAUAAUGGCCUCCUCACAACAAAUUUUACAUAAUACUAGUUGGGACGGUAAAUUAAAAGCUUGCUUUUUAGUUACAUGAUUUAAAAUUUAUUUAACAAAAUAAUAUUUUGUCAGUUUAUAAGAAUCUUCAUUUGGGUAUAGUUUUAUAUUCUAUAUGACUCCAAAUAUUUUUAUUUACGUAAUAUAAUUUUGAUCAUUAAUUUAAUAAAAUAGUACUUUGUCAUUUUAAGAGAAUCUCCAUUUGGACAGUCUUUUAUUAUAAUAUGAUUCAAAAUAGUACUUUGUCAUUUUUAAUCUCCAUUUUAAGAGAAAGCCGACGAAGGUUGGCGACGGGGCUCCGAGCGGAAGCGGGAGCGGAGCGACGGGGAGGAGUGGUUUGCUGGUUUUGAGGAGGAAAGUACGGACGAUGUUUGGUGCGUCGUACAUUUUGUUGGAACUCGGUUGGAGCCAUAAAAAUAUUUUAUUAUUUGAUUACGGUAAUCGACUACAAUUUUAAAUUUAUUUUUUAGUAUGUUUAUUGGUUCUUUGUUUUACACACAUAUAAUUGGGCUUGGGAGUACUACGGUGGUGCUUCUAUAUUGGGCCACUAUCAAUCUAUUCUCUAACCUGGAGAUUUUUCGUUUAUUUUUCUNNNNNNNNNNNNNNNNNNNNNNNNNNNNNNNNNNNNNNNNNNNNNNNNNNNNNNNNNNNNNNNNNNNNNNNNNNNNNNNNNNNNNNNNNNNNNNNNNNNNNNNNNNNNNNNNNNNNNNNNNNNNNNNNNNNNNNNNNNNNNNNNNNNNNNNNNNNNNNNNNNNNNNNNNNNNNNNNNNNNNNNNNNNNNNNNNNNNNNNNNNNNNNNNNNNNNNNNNNNNNNNNNNNNNNNNNNNNNNNNNNNNNNNNNNNNNNNNNNNUUGUUUAGUUAUGUUGAAUUGUGUUGAGUGCCAGUGACGACAUUACAGUUGUUUUUGUUACUUUUAAAGUUGAUUGCAUAAUCGAUCACUAUUUUAGCAGUCAAUUUUAUUAAUCAACUACGAUCUUAGUAGUCGAUUUCUAUUAUAUAAACCUGACAGGAAAAAAAAAAUUAAACAAACAAGAAAAAUGAAAAUCAAUUUAAGAGAAAAAAAAUGAAGAUGAUGUGUAGUGGAAAGAAGAUAGUUGAACGGUAAUUUUGAGAUUAAAAAAUAUCGUGAGUUUAAAUGGAAAAAAUAUAAAUAGACCUCUUUAUAUUAAAACAAUUUAUGAGGGGUCUACAUCAAAAAAUCCAUAUUUAUAAAAGUGGCUAAACGCAAAACAAGCUAAAAUUCAGGCGGUAAAGUGCUAUCUACAGGUAAAGAUAUGUUAAUGGAUAAGAACAAUUUUUUUUUGAAAAGAUAUUCAACAAUUUGAUACUCACCUAUGCUACGCCAAAGAUUGUCCACGAUCCCUGCACGUACACAUGUAUAUGAUUCGGAAAGUAGCAGAUACGGUACGAGUAUUAUAAUAGUUUGAUAAGGGGUGUAACCGAUCUAAGGAAAUGGUUUAUAUAUCAUAUUCAUAUUCAUAUUACACUUCUUUGUUUUCUUUCACCGCUAUUUGACUAAUUUUCUUAUUAAAAGAACUAAUAAAUAAAUUAAAGAUUAAAGAAAAAAUCCUUCAAAUAUUGUUAAAAUCGUAAAAAUGAUAUCGAAAGUCCAUUUUGGUCACUGAUAAAAUGAUUACGUUAUUUUUUACUUUUUAUUAGGAUAAACUAACGCAUGUUUAAAAAAAUUGAGUUCACUAUUUCAACACCAAUUAUACGAUGACCAAUUGAAACUUGCGGUAACCUUUGGGCUGGUGUUAUUUGAAAGGAAUGGAUUGUAAAUGGGUUCAAGUGGGGAGGAUUAGAAGUGACUGUAAAUGAGAAGGGUUUUCAAAAUCCACCUUAAUUGUUAAAA
This 107529-nucleotide long non-coding RNA is filed under the name Erythranthe guttata (spotted monkey flower). RNAcentral's name for it is "long non-coding RNA (EGUT_LNC001172)". Lineage: Eukaryota; Viridiplantae; Streptophyta; Magnoliopsida; Lamiales; Phrymaceae. The record is from RNAcentral.